Molecule: long non-coding RNA, 90040 nt
Filed under: Sorghum bicolor (sorghum)
Lineage: Eukaryota; Viridiplantae; Streptophyta; Magnoliopsida; Poales; Poaceae
Description: long non-coding RNA (SBIC_LNC007305)
Source: RNAcentral
UCUCGUCAGCCCCAUCCUAGUAGCUUAGAAACCACCUGCAUUUUCAUUUUGAUCUUCCUAAAAUCUCUCUGGCUAGUUGCUUUCCAGUGACCAAAAGAUUUCAAGAAACCACUCCCUGUCUUCCUCCCCCGGCUGUCUGUCAUCUUGCUCUGAAACAAUGGCUGUCCUGCAAGUUGCUGCUGCUGCCCCUCCCCCUGUCUCAGCGAUUGGGUUUGAGGGAUAUGAGAAGCGCCUUGAGAUCAGCUUCUCUGAGGCACCUGUCUUCGCUGAUCCCAAUGGAAGGGGAUUGCGUGCGCUCUCACGUGACCAGAUUGAGACUGUUCUUGACCUUGCACGGUGCACCAUUGUGUCUGAGCUCUCAAAUGAGGACUUUGACUCUUAUGUCUUAUCCGAGUCAAGCCUGUUUGUCUACCCAUAUAAAAUGGUGAUCAAGACCUGUGGGACUACAAAGCUUCUGCUCGCUAUUCCGAGGAUCCUUGAGCUUGCUAAAGAGCUCUCGUUGCCACUUUCUGCAGUUAAAUACUCCCGUGGGACAUUCAUAUUCCCUGAUGCACAGCCUUCCCCACACAAGAACUUUGCUGAUGAGGUUGCCUUCCUGAAUCGCUUCUUUGGUGGCCUCAAGUCUGGCGGUAAUGCUUAUGUUAUUGGUGAUUCUGCAAAGCCUGGGCAGAAGUGGCACGUCUACUAUGCCUCUGAGCACCCUGAGGAGCCUGUUGUUACUCUCGAGAUGUGCAUGACUGGGCUGGACAAGAAGAAAGCUUCUGUCUUCUUCAAGACAUCUGCUGAUGGUUACACAUCGUGUGCUAAGGAGAUGACCAAGCUCUCUGGUAUCUCGGACAUUAUUCCAGAGAUGGAGAUCUGUGACUUUGAUUUCGAGCCCUGUGGCUACUCCAUGAAUGCUGUUCAUGGCCCUGCUUUCUCGACCAUUCAUGUGACCCCAGAGGAUGGCUUCAGCUAUGCAAGCUACGAGGUCAUGGGCUUCAACCCAGGCUCUUCUUCUUAUGGUGACCUGGUUAAGAGGGUGCUGAGGUGCUUUGGCCCAGUUGAGUUCUCUGUUGCCGUGACUAUCUUCGGUGAGCGGGACAAUGCAAAGACCUGGGGGAAGAAACUGGAAGCUGAGGCCUAUGCCUGCAGCAACAUGGUUGAGCAGGUGCUGCCGUCUGGUGGCUUGCUCAUAUAUCAGAGCUUCACUGCUACGGGUGCAGCCACCCCUGGGUCGCCGAGGUCAGUCCUGCAUGACUUCGCUGGUGACAUUGUCAAGCCUGGCGAUAGUGGUGAGGCCGAUGGCCCCUGCUGGGAAGCUGAUGCUGUGGAUGAGAGCGAGGAAAGAGAGGUAAAGAAGAUGAAAUGCUGAUGCUGUGAUGAGCUAUGCUGAAGGUUGACAAAUCAGAUUUAGAGUUGCUGCCCUUGGUCAUCUUGUGUAGCAGCCAAGCCAGAUUAUUUAUGCUGCAUAACCUGUGCUAUUGUGGUGUGGCACAUGCUUAUAUUUGCAAUAAAGAGCUCUAGGUGGUUAGCCUUGUCUGCCACAGUGAGUAGUGUACCCAUAUUGCGUUUCUGAACUGUAUGAAUCUAAAUAAAGUCUUGUGUUUGAUACAAUUUGAAUUUGAAUGAUGUCUUUUCAUGUAAUCUGUUGGCAUCUGCGUUUCUUGAUUCACGUUCCUUGGUGAUAUUACCCCCCCCCCCCCCCCCUUUCAGUGAUUAUUUCAUUCGAAGAUUCUUAUUCAAAUCUGGAUGAUGACUUAAUCAGCUUGCUAUUUAGUCCUUUUUUCUAAACAAAAAUGAAAAGAAACCUAAAGUUAAAUCUAUGUGAACUAUACGAAUUUAGGCAUCUAAAAUUCGACUCACACGGACUUGGAGAGUAGGCAUCUAAAUCUAAGUGUCAGUGAUACUGAUUCCUGACGUUUUGGAAUUGGAAUCCGCCAGGCCGUUGUGCCACCUGCCAACUUGUGGUGGUAGGAGGGUACUUGGGACGUGAGCAUCUCCUCAGACAGCAUCGCCCGUGGCCACUGGCAUGCUGGAAUCUGAUCAGAUUGAGAUGGGCAAAGUUGAUCGCCGCAUUGAGCGUCUUCUCUUGGGGACGUACGUGGAGCUUUUAUCUGAACUGAGCCGCGAGGCACAUGGUGGUGCCGGGUCAAGACGAUUUGUGCUCCCUUGUUCUCGAGAUCUCUAUUGCCGGCCUCGGGAGUCUGGAAUUUUCUAGGGUCAUGAGCAGGAGAAAUCUAACGGAGAACGAGCUAACGUAUGCUGCAUUGAUCCGCAGCAGGCUCCAGUAGCCCAGUGCGAGGUACCAACGCAAUCUUGGCCCUUUGUUUGCGACCAGAGGGGCACUUCAAGUAUUCAACUAUUCAAGUCAAUCUUAGACAGUACGGUAAACGGUGGCAGGAUCAUCACUCCUUCCGUGCAAGGAUUACCUUCAGUGUUUGAAGCAGUCAGUUUCCUAGUUGCGAAACGUUAAUCACCUUUUGUGUCAAACUGAUGGUCAGCUAUGCGCUCUAGCACGGCUAGGGCGCUAGGACUUUUGCUCUUGUUACUUCCUGAUACAUAUAGUAAAUGGGGAUGGGGCAGCAUUCUCCUAGAAGGCAAAGAUUCGGGUCAUGUUUUAAGCCAUGUUAACAAGGACUAUUAAGUUCUGUAACAUCAUCUCACAUAAAAGAGCAGCCGCAAACAUUACAUGAAGCUCAAACAUUUGUUUGAUCAGAAAAUUUGAGCACAUGUUUUCGCAAACUACCACCUGUAAACUGACUGAAUUCCCUAUGAAAUCAAAUAAUGAAUGUUGCAGUUUACAACAACAUAGAUGAACAAUGUGAAAGAAUCGUUUCCAACCAAUGCAUGUAAAGAAUGUACCAUGAAAUUAUUAUACAGGACAAGGCUUGCUCUUUUAGCAGGGGCUCAAGGAAGGGCAGUCAGAUAUCCGCAGCAGGAACUUCACUCAUCGAUGUUGGCAUGCUUGUUGAGGAUGCCUCGAGGGAUGUUCUCUUCUUCUUGUGGGCCCAGCAUAGCCGGCUAAUUUUCCUUUUGCUUCUCAGGUUAAAAGAGACCUCUAUACAGUUGGUCCAGGGUAAUAAAUGUUUUAUUGGCUUCAAUCUUGAAGCUUCUUGUUGUGUGGACGAAACUUCUCGCAACUGCCCUUGUGAUGUUGCAGAAGCAAUAAUGCUUUGAAUUGGGUUCUUUAUUUGGCUGCCCAGGUAUCCCUGGCAGUUCACUGCCUCGCAAUGACACUUCACUUUCUCUCCAAAAUGCACAAACCUAUAAAAAAACAAAUAAUUGUCGCUCAAACAGAACAGGAUAAAAUGCAGCCCAGUUUCAGAGAAUGUUCUGUGGCCUCUGAAUAUAAUCCUGGCCAGUCAAAAACUGAGGAAAAGAUGUCAAUGUCUGGGUUAGCAAACCCAAGAGCAGUAUAGCUGAGAAUCAAUACCAACGAAAUUUUUAUCUUGGUUUCAGGCGGGUAAAUGUGGAAACAUCCACCGCAAGUCUACAGCAAUUUAGCCACAUGAAACGGGCUAUCUAUAGUGUUCAAAAAAUGGGCUAUCUAUAGCAUCUUUGAAAAGUUCAAAAGCUGUUUGAACUAAAGAGAAAUCUAGUCUUACCCUGGCCUAAGCUUGUAAGCCUUAUUCAAAAUUUUACAUGACCAAGUCAUUGAAAAAGGGAUUUCAUGAUGCAUGAAAAAGAGCGAAAGAACCUCCAGAAAGUUUCUGGUACUAAAGUUUGCACAUAUGAUUCACCACACAAAAAGGUAAAGAAAUAGUGCUAAGGCCUGAGGUUUUAGGUGGGGAAACUAUUGAUCAUGUGAUAAAACUACAAGCAGGCGCAGAUGCUAAUUUGAUAAUUUUGAUGCUACCUGCUCAAACUAGAUUCACGAACUCAUAGCUUCAUGUGUCACUGCAAUCAGCUUAUUGCAGGGAGGCACAAUCUUGGUAACAAGUAUACAUUGUGAGUAACUUGUAGCCUCUCAACAAUGAAAGAACACUUCCCUCUGUUUUUCAUUUACCUGUCACCAAUAAUUUAUUGUGCCAACAUUGACCAUCCAUUUUUUUCUACAAAAUGUUUUCAUAUUGUUCAUAAUAUGUAAUAUGAAAAAUUAUACUUCACGACAAAUCAUAUGAUAUGAAAACUUGAAGUAUCUUAAAACUCUUCAGAAAAAAGUUACAGUAAAGAGGUACUGCUAAGUAAAUGAUAACAGAGGAAGUACAUUUAGCCUUCUUAAUUAAGAAUGCCUCUUUAAUUAAUCUUUAUAAGUGGAAUAAAACAAAAUAGCUGUUUAAACUACCUGUAAUCAUAAGUUAAGGGUUCUCCAACUUUGAUGGAACGAGAGGCAAAGACACCAACUCUUGUCUCACCAUCAACCUGCCUGACAAGGCCAUAGAAACAAUCAGGAACAUGCUAUAAAACGAUUUUGUUUUUAAAGAACACAUCAUUACCAUUUUUCGAGUUUACAGUUGGGCUCACAACUGUGAUUUAGAAAACGUGACACGUUUCCCUUAAAUGUUGCAUCUAUUGUAAAAUCUUUGCUGAUUUCGCACAUGUAGAAGUUUUUGUCACCACGAUAUCUUAUAUCCCAAAGCCUUUGUUCACAUGUUGCGUCAUCAAUGACUGAAAAAAUGUUUAAAAAGAGGCGAAAAGAAUGUACAUGAGAUUAACUGUGAAAUACAAUUAGAGCAACUCCAAGAGUUUGUUUAUACUCUUCCUAAUUGAUAGGAAUAGAGAUUUUGAUGAAAAAUACUCUCCAACAGCUUCUCUAAUUAGAUCUCUAAAUAUUGCUAUCAUCUAUUCCGGAUUUCUCGCUAGCCAAAGAUAGAGCAUGGCUCUCUAGAGUGAGCAUAAGAUAUAGAGAAGCUGUUGGAGGGUGGAAACAUAUAGAGGGCGAUUUUUAUUCAAAUGGCUCUCCAAAUGAUGAUUUACAGAGUGAGUUUAAGAAAGACUCUUGGAGAUGCUCUUAUGUACACAAAAAUUAGCCUGUAAAUCAGAAGCGAAGUGCCAAAAAAAAUAUCUCUCUCCAUUGACCAAAUGAUUCCCAACAUGAUAGUACCAUGCAGUGCCAUAGGGUAUCUUUAUUCUCGUGUUUCUCGAGUUCAGAACUGUUAUGUUUUUUAGUUCUUAGUUAUGCUGAUGAGAAUGCCCCCGGUUGCUGGCUGGAACUGGGCUUUGGAAUAUUUUCUAUGCUGUAAACUGGAUAUUUGGUCUUUUGAGUAAUUGAAAGGCCAAGGCAGUAUGCCCUAGAACUCUAAAAAAAAGUAUUAUACAGUAGGUUCUAAACAAAUUGUUGCCAAGUCUCCAAUACUGGCAAUACAUCCCAAGCCAGAAGACUGUGGCACAAAUUGUGAAUAGUGUCCCUGUUUCCAGUUGUAGCUAUGUUAUAUGUUUAUGAAUUAUGAUUACUAGCUCAAACUUACCCUUCAGUCUCAAACAUAAAAAAAUGCUAAGUUCCCAGUUGGGCAAAAGCAUCAAGCAACAUGCCGUUUAGGUUAGCCAUGAUAGCUUAUAUAUAUGCCACCUUCAGUGGCUUUUUCCAAAUAGCAUAAGGCACCUUGUAAGAUAAUAUUAUUUAACAACUAAAAGAACUUAAAUUGUGUUGGAACAUCCUCAUGAGCUUUACUGGAUUCAUACUAGUAAGGAUGAUACUCCCUCUGCCCAUUAAUGGUAGGCAUUUUUUUUAUUUAAAAGCAUCAAGUUUUGACCAACAAUCAGCCAACUGCAUCAAUACAUUCGCUUCAGAUGAUAUGAUUAUGUAGAAAUCGACCAUAUACUGAGAAAAUAAAAGUCAAAAUCUACUAUUGCAGACUUUCUUCUAAAAAGUGUUGAUGGAAAAGAGUACUAACUUACUAGUGGAAUGAACCGCUGAUAAUGGAAAGUUAGAAAUUUGGUUGGACACAGAAAGUGCAUGACCACUACAUAUUAGAGAUUAGAGAACAUAAGCAAAAUGUGACUAUUGAACCCACCACAACUAGUGUUAUGCAGAAGGUCAUCUACCAAGACCUUGCUAUUUCUGCUGGUCUAUUUCCAAAAAUAAUAAUAACAUGAAAAACAGUUUUACCUUCACCAACAUACUCGAUUACAAAGUCACCUCUCUCCAAUGGUUCCAACGCAACAGCACCCCAUCCACAUCGCUUUGUCUGUAAAGGAGAAGUGUUGCUAUGGUUAUAAUGAAAUAAACUAAAGCCAUCUUUGACAAGUAAAAUGCACAAGUAAACCCAACUCUCAGAAAAUAGUCACUCUCACUGAAGCAGGUCAGCUCUACUGCCCAGAUGAAGGUGCAAACUUGCAGGUGUGAGGUGUCUGAUUCUUUUGUUUCAUUGAACCAAGUGAUCUCCACAUGAUGCCAGGUCAAUUUCACAGACCACACUAUCAAUGGCACAUGUUUUCACAUCCAAAAAUAAAUACAAAAGGAAAUUCAGGUUUGAAUGGACAGGGUUUACUUUGGCAGCAGAAGGUAAGAAACCAAAGAUCAGGAUCAGGAUCAUCAUCAUGGUUUGAGUCAAGGUGAUCCACUUUCCCCAUUGCUUUUCAUUCUAGUUAUGGACGUCAUCAAUUUGGUCCUUGCCGCAGAGGCAGGUUUACUGCAACCACUUUCACCUGGACUCUGAGCAUUAGGAUCCAUGUACCCUACAUUGCACGGAUAUGUGACUGAGGGAGCAUAUCGCGUAUCGGAUACAUGUCUGGUACGGAUACGCAGCCGAUACGUACCAGCGCAGUAUCCGAUUUUUUCUUAAUUUCACGAAUUUUGAGUACGUUUAUGGAUACGUAUCUGUGUAUUGGAUACGGUCGAGCUCAACAAACAAUGUUCCCUUAUCUCCCUCUGUCCUUGACGCCCUAGCCCCCAACGGACGCACUUCGUGCAGUCGCGCCACCUCCAGCGAACGCGCGCACGGACGCCUCGUCCUUGCUCGCCGCUCACAGGCGACGGGUCUCCGCCCCCGCUUGCCAGCCGCCAACGAUGAGCCUCCGCUCCCGCUCACUGGAGACAGCCUCCACUCCCACGCACAGCCUCCUGCGCAGGGGAUGUGCCACCAUUUGCUAGCUGCCAUAAUGCCAUCGCCGAGCCUCCGCCCCCUCCGUGCCAUCAAUCAACUUCUCCUCCAGACCCCUGCGCCAAGAAGCACCCACCAGUCCACCACGGCCGCGACCAGCUCCAGUGAUCAAAGGGAUGCAGGGAAGAGGAUGAUUCAGCAGCAAAGCAACCUAUCUACUGUCUACUCUACUUCUGCAUGUACAUCAUCUUCCCCGUUCUUGAUCUACUCUACUUUUGCAGUUAUUAUUGCUUGGUUUUGUCUGUUCCCCACUUCCCCUUCUUGAUUAGUGUUGCCCAUGCUUUAUUGCUUCAUUGCUCACAUGCAGUAGAUGGCCUCUCCAAAAUUGGUAGUGCUGGCACAAGCUGAGUGGUAAUGCUGAUCUUAGCAUAGGACCUGUGGGCUGUGGCUACCAGCCACAAUCACAACAGAGAACCGACAUUAGGGCUCUCCUGUUUGUAACUUCCUAGUUAAGACUUUUAGUAAUUGAGCAUUCAUCCAGAUCCAGUAUAUAUGGUUGUACUUGGAUCUCCUGUGAAACAAGGAACCUACAAGGUGACCUAGUGAUAUAUCAAGUAUGAUUGUAUGUAUCAAACUAAUGAUUAGUGAUUAUUACUUAAGUUUUAGAUUUUCACAAUUUUAAUUUGUAUUAUUAUUUAUAGUUAAACGUCUCCGCGAAUCAUGUUUUCUAGAAAAUUGCAGUAUCCGUGUAUUCGUAUCCUUCUGAUAUGGAUAUGCGUAUCUGUAUCCGUGCUGCAUAGCAUGUACCCUGAAGAGGUGGUGUUAUGCUUUAGUCCAGUCAUGAAGGAGCUUGAAGCUAUACAGGAGAUUAUUAAUUGACUUGGAGCAAUUUCGGGUCUUAAAACUAAGAUCAACAGAUGUUCAGCUAACCCUAGCCUGACUCCUCCGGUGGACAUUGAUACAAUAAGAAAUACUAUGCCAUGAGCUAUUGCUGAAAUUCCACGCGCCUACCUAGGCCUACCACUUUCAGUCAAGAAGCUUACUUAGGUUGUUCUCUAAUCCUUGUCAACAGGGAGCAGGUCAGCUACCCAUUGGAAGGAUGCACUGAUCAACCCCACUGGUCAUAGGGUUCUCACAGCCAUACCUACCUAUCAUAUGAUGGCUCUAAAUAUUUCACGAUGGGUGAUCAAGUCUGAGAAACUAUGGUGUGUUUUCCUGCAGCAAGAAAGAAAGGAAAGGAGGUAAAUGGUGGCCAUUGCCUCCUAACAUGGAGCAAAGUUUGUGUGCCAAUGAGAAUUCAUAAUUUAGAAUUGCGCAGCCGGAAUCUACACAUGACAUGCCUCUGGAUACAGAAAACUGGACCUCACCCACCAUGGGUCACAGUUUUGGGGUGCCGGUUCCAUCACCAGUCCUCGGCUCUGCUUUCUAUCUAGGUCAGCACCAAAGUGGCAAUGAUAACUCUACAGAUUUUGGACAGACCAUUGUCUUUGGGAAAAUCCCUCACUCGAUCUGGAUGUUGGCAAUGGAAUUAGUCAACAGAAUAGAGUUUCCAAAUCAAUGACAUGCUGAAAUGGUAUUGGACUGCAAUUCAGUUUCCACACAAUCUCUUUAAAUUGCCACUCGAGAAUCAGAAACUGGAUCCAUACCUCAUCUUCCUCUUGGCCACUGAGGCCCUCCACGCCCCAGCUCAACCCUACCAUGUGUCAGCAACCCCUGCCCCUGCCCCCCUCGCUGCCCCUCUCCGUGGCAGCGAGCCCCACCCCCUCCGCGCCGUGCAACCCCCGUAUGAGGGUGAAGCAGCGAUGAGAGCCUACCCACGGGAUCCCUAUCGCAGUCACCUUGGUGUGGAGCUCUCUAGUGGCAGCAUUGAUUCCAGCCAAUACCGAGCUCCAUAGGUCUGUAUUGGGAGCAUGUUGUUCUGUGGUGUGAGAAUACCGUGUGGAAUUGUGAGUCAAAUUCCAAGAUCCAAUUCUAGAACAUCCAAGCGUGUGGUAUUGAAGAUGUACAAUUCCAAUUCCCCAAUUUCAAGCCGAAUACCAACAUCCAAACAGGGUGUGAUCAAGGAAUUGGCACCAUACGGAUUCAGUUUGGUGCCUAAGCGUAUUGCUGGGUGCACUGUGAGCCAAGCGGUAUCUAAUAACUCAUUAGUGGGGGAUCUCAGGGGAACCAUCACAAUCCGUGUCCUUGAGCAGUACCUGCAUAUGUGGGACCUUAUGGCCAAGGUGGAGCUGCGCUAGGAGGUGAAGGGGACAUAUCUGGUCUGCUAGGCUUAUUCUCCAUGGCUGCAUAGGAUUUGAACAGUGGGAGAGGUUGUGGAAAUCUUGGGUGCCUCGACCGGGGAAUUCCUCAUAUGGCUUUUUUCUCCUUGGAGUAUGUUGUUUUCUUUAUAGUGCGUAUGGUUUCUGUUUUGCUUUGUUGGAUUUCUCCAGGCUGUUUUGUACUUUCUUUCUCCUUAAUAGUUAAUAUAGUGACGGGUAAGAAAAAGAAGAAACCUUAGAGCAUGUUGGAUGAGGGGAUUUUGUACUUAAUCUUAAGGGGUUGGAUCCAAACUUCCCGAUCCUUGAUGCAUUGAGCAAUGUUUAAAAAAUAUAUUGGCUCUUGCACUAGCUAGAAGCCUGAUACCUAAGGUAACGGUAACACUGCAUAUGACCUUUUAAUACAACACCUAAAUAAAUCAGUGUUUCAAGGAUUACGCAACAAUGCAUAAACUCUCGAGUCUUGAGAAAGAAAGAACUUCAACUUGAAAAAUUUGGAAACUAACAUCAAAACAUGCAACACUAUUAUGCACAUAUAAAGAAAAUAAGUAGGAGCGAAUACAUUGGUGCACAUAAGUUCCUAGAAAAAUGAAGAACAUCACUGACAAGAAAGCUACCUUCACAAUUUUAAUUUUCUUAUCCUUGCGGAAUGGCCUGUUUGUACAUAGAUCUGAGCAGCGGCAAUUCUUGGAACAACUCGUAGAAAUACCCCUGAUAAGUCAGAAAAUAAAUUUAAAUAAUUAUGUUGGAGGAAAGUACACAAGUAUGGAUUCUAUAUACAUCAUACAUAACUUUAUAAAGGAUUAUGCUAACUUCUUCAUCAAAUAUUAGCAGUAGAUGAGUGCAAGCAUCCAUAAUAUGCACAACUGGCAGUGUCACUGUUCAGCUAAUAUGGCACUGUAUUCACUUAGCAUAUGAUACGGAAAACAAUAUGAAUGAUUGCUAAGUAGAUAUUCAAACGUUUAAACUUAGGCCCAAGUUAAACUGCAGGAAUACUAUAGUAGUCCAAGUGAAGUGAAAACCAUGGGGUUAAAACCACACGAAAAUUAUGGGUAGCAGGAUUAUUGCCGUGAUCUUACAUCAGCAAGAUGAUAAACGAUGUUGGAAUGAAGGUUCAGAUUACUGUGGAAUUCUUCCAAAAUCAAAGAGAAAGGAACCAUAUCUAGUUUCUUUUAUGGACUACGAUGUUUCAAACACUCAAAUAGUGCUCGGUUAUAUGGUAUGGAAAAUCCUCGUCCACCAGUGAUAAUCAUAUAUUCCAAACCGCCUUAACAUAGCCUUAAUAGCAUGGUAACAUGGGAGUGAGCAUGCUCUAAAGUGCUGUCAUUUAAACAGUUUAUAUGCCACGAGUUCCCACAAAACACAAGGUACCAAACAGCAUAUAGUAACAGUGUACUCGAAGUGACAUCUGGAUUUUGUGCAAGUUUCUUGCAACCCAGGCACAAUACCUAAACAAUGUAAGUGCACUUUAGGGGAAAAGCAACAAUAAAUACUACAUAUUUAAUUCAAUUCAGCUCUGUAGUGUUGAUAUAAAAAAGAUGGCACAUGUUUACGCUCUCUUUUGGUAAUAUGAUUCCAGUUCCACAUUUAAAAGACAGUUUUGCACAAUAGACAAAAGAAGUUGACCUGUGGGGGGGUAAGACAGCCCCCAGGUAUUUUGCUAAGAAGAAGGCCUUCUCAUGCAGGUUAAGACCCCGUGCCCCCCCCCCCCCCGGAACAAAAUCCCCUUGUUUGGCCCACCCAUACACAGCGGCACCGUAGCACAUUUGAGAACCAUGACCUAGGCUGGAACUUAAGGCAUGUUGCUUUGGCGUGGGGCAAACAAGGGGAUUUUGUUACUUAUCACCUUCUUCUCCAGUCUUACCGUCUGUAACGCUCCCGCUGUGACUGCGGGGGGAUGUUAGAGUACAUAGGACUAACACAAACCAUACGGUUGGGGCCCUCUCUCUUGUACGCUUGGUAUUGGCAACACCGACGCGUGCUCUCGUCCCCAACGUGUUGCUGGAUCUGACAAAUCCAGCUGCGCCUCGGUGCUCAGGCGGCUUGACUGCAUCGACUUCGGCAUCGACCCUCCCGUUCCUACCCCGUCUGCCUCGAUUGCGUCGUCGCCCUUCUUCUACGACGGUCCUGAUUGCAUCGACUUCGGCAUCGCCCCCUCCCACGACGACUGCCUCUACGCGUCUCCGUCAUUACCAUGGCGCCUCUUGUGUGCCUGCAGCUCCAUCGACACGCAACCCAACCACAACUACGUCGACCUCGGCCAUCUUCAGCACGCUAUUGUGCCCUUACGCUCGACUACCUCGACAUUGGCAGAAAGGGCUACCGCCUUGCAUGAGGACUCAUCGGCUCCAGCCACAGCAUACGCGGCGCAUCAACUAUUAUGACUGCGGGGGGAUGUUACUUAUCAGCUUCUUCUAUAGUCUUAUCGUCUGUAGCGCUCCCGCUGUGACUGCAGGGGGAUGUUAGAGUAAAUAAGAAUAGCACCACAUUGUGUAUCCACAUAAGGUGUUAGUCCUAUGUACCCUAUAUAAUCAGCCCAUGAGGCCCAAUGCAAUAUAUCAAAUAUUUCACCAAUUAUAUUCUCCUUCAGAUUUUUAUAACCCCAGACUGAAAUUCACCACAGGAGGUCGGACCCAGGACCUGAGGAGUGCUACUAGAGCCACCUAACCAACUCAGCUAGAGGCCCAACCGCACAGUUUUGCACAAUAUUCAUAUGUCUUUGGCAUGUUGCAACAGAGUAAGAAAGAACACCUGCAUUCACAGUCUUCUUUGCAAGUAGAAUCAGCCCUGCAGUUUGUGCACCCAAUAUCCACACGAACACUAGUGCGCUUCUUCUUUAUCAGAUAUACAUCUUUUACUAAUUAAGGAAAUAACCAUGAUGUACUUGUAUUGAAAUGAAAAGCAGACAAACACAAGGAUAAUCUAACUACACAGCUGCAGAAGCAUAGAAAUCAUUUAGUAAAGCGUUAUGCUUUAGGAUACUGCGCCUGAUAGAUGUAUAGGGGGGUGGCUUGUAAACAGCCUGAGCAUACUCUGCAAGGGUUGACUCAAUAUUUAAGUCUUCGUUAACAUAUGGAAGAGGUAGCCGGCAGAACACUUCCUAUCAAAUAAACAUGUAGUGUAGGCAUCAAUAUAAAUUGCGAAGGAAUUCAUCUUGAUGAGAUAGUGGUACUUGUAGUUGUACUAGACAAAGGAAGACAAGUCAAUUGAUUUUUUUUCCUGACGCUUUACAUCAUCAGAAAGUCAGAAACUUAACCAUGUUCCCUGUCAAAUAUUUAUUUUACCAAGCAUUCCAUUCUUGUCACUAAGUACUUCAAAUUAGCUAAGCAAAAAAUAGCCUAUCAAUUAUGUCAGAUGAAAUAUAUAGAAGAAAAGAUGGCAAAGGUACAAUUAUGUCACGCAUGCACUCACCUCUAUACUGUUGGUAAAGUCAGCACUCUGUCACCAGCAAACAAAGUAUUCCUGUCAGGCACCUCAACCAUUACAAAAAUAUUAACAAAAGGGCAUGUGGGAUGCAUUGCAAUAAAAUUGUCCAAGCUAAACCUCAGAGGUAACUUAUUUUUAUUAAGUAUUAAUCUUCCAAAGAUCUAAAGAUGAAACAAAAAGAUAGUUGAAAUUGAUGGAGGAAUAAGCACUGGGUGUAAAAAAAGACAAUGACUAGAUUAAAUUAGACUGGAUAAGCUCUUCUUGCCUAUUUCAUAUAAUGACAACAUGAAGUGACCAAUUUUAAGGGAAAAAGGAUAGACCUCAUUUUGCAGCAGCCAAUCAGAAGUAUGCCUCCAGCAAAUUGCACUUCCUUGAUUAUCUUUUAGAUGAACCACUGGCCAUGGUGCACAUUUCGUAUGUGCUGCAACUGUACAACGUCCGCAGCGCCAAAAGAACAUCUUUUGCUUACAAACCAUACACCCCUAAUAGGAGACAGAAAACUAAAUGAUGUCCAUAAUGAUCAAGCAAUGGAACCAGUCCAAGCACAGGAAUUGAAAUACAACAUGACCUAAAAACAAAAUACAGGUUUGUAUCUUAACCAUUGACUGUAUCUACUUAACAAUUUUUCAUGCCUGCAAUAUCAGACCCCCAAAGUUUAUUGCAGAAAAACCUCUAUCAUUGUCACGGUUAUGAUAUUUACAAUGCACUCUGUGUUCCUUACCUUCGGACCAAUAAAUCUUACAAUUGUAUACUGAACAUAGCAUGCAUUGAUGAAAAAGGAAAUAGCUAAAGAAGAGUAUAUUACAAUUAUAGGACACUGGAGUAUAGUAAUCAGAGAAGUUUAAAAUUAAUAUUCUGUUUAGACUUCUCUGUAGAUUUAGUGAAAUGUUACAUGUUCCACGAUACAAAGUAACACAAACUUAAAAGUGCACCAUGCCAUAAAAUAGGAACUUACUAUUAGGAAUUGGAUACGUCGAAUCAGUGGAAUGUGGUAUUCUUCAAACUAAUAUCUUUAUUAUCUCUUCUCUCACAUACAUAUGUCUCAAGGCUAUCUGAAGCUAGCACAACACUCUUUCUAGCUUUCUAACUAGCUUCAAUCUACAUACAGAUCAAGGCUAUCUGAAGCUAGCAACCCUUGUAUAUAAUCUAAUUUACUAAAUUACCUACAAAGGAGCUCAGCGUGUCAUUAUAUAGGCCAUUUGGGUUGGUUUGCUAAGUAAUCGACCUUACAUGUACAGCACGUGCUAUACAAAAAUGCUAGCUAAUAGUCAAUUUCAUGCUAUACAAAAAUGCUAGCUAAUAGUCAAUUUCUAUUUUACUACUUCUUCCUUUUGCUGAACUCCAUAGACUGUCCCUCAAUUCACAGUUCAUGGUGCAUGAACAAUCCAGUAGCUUUUAGUAGUAUCAAUCACCUCUUAACUAGCAAAAUUCAAUAUGCUUUUAACUUGCACCUUUCCAACUCAAACUUCAUGAGUCCAGUUUCACUUCUUCCUUUUCUUUGUCACAUAUUUCAUUUCUUUGGACUUCGCUAGAAACGUCAAGGAUCAACUAGUGUAUAGCACCCACUAAUCAAAUUAUUUUUUCUCGUCUCAAGAAAAUAAAUUAAUUCCAACACUUACAUGUUGAGGGCACCUGAAGCUUUCAGCAGUGAAGUUUGAAGUAUCUUUCACAACACAGCUGAGAUGGAACAUCAGUAGACAUUUUUUAACUGAACAUUUUAUUUCUUCUCCAGCAUAAAUAAUCUUGGAGCACGAACGGCAUUCAACCUUUGCACAAAUGAAGAAGGUAUUAGAUGCUAAGCAGAUGAAAAGGGGGGAAAACUGGAUCCUAACUUCCUAAGUCAACAAACAAGAUUAAUUACUAACACUGGUAACAGUUAUAAGUCAUUUUAGAAUUUCCUAAUAAUCAAACUUUUCACUUUGACCAUCAAUAUAAUAAAAUAGAUAGACUAACAAGGUAAGAUUGAUGUCAGCAGAUUCAUCAUGAAAGGUACUUUCAUACAUACGAUUGUGUUUAUGUUCAACAACAUCAACAUCAACAAAACCUUAACGCUUGCGUUUAUGUUAGGUAUAAAAUUUUAAUAUAAAUUGCCAGUCAAAGUUCCAUAUUAUAGAUAGUACCAAUGUCCUAAACAACCUAUAUUUAUGACAGCGGAACAACUUCAUGAUUAAUGAACAGCAGCUUCAGAUUUUAACUAAUAGACAAUACCAAGGACAAUGAGUUUUUAAGAAACAAAGCAAUUCAGAGGUGGAAACUUUAUAAAAUGGUUGCGCACUUUGUAUCUAGGGGAUCGUGUCCACUAACGGAUUUAGUAUGUUGGAUCUUACAAAACAAAUCAUGUAUGUAUUGCAUAAAGAAAUAAGCUAACUGUUAUCCUGCAAAAUAUUAUAUAGAUGUCAAGAAAUAAAAUAGAAAGCAUUGUUUAUUAUGUGAUUAAAGUACCACUUGUGUUUCUUGAAACAUAAUAUAACAGAUUAAUUUGAAAUUGAAGUUCUUUCAAGUUUCUUUAACUCCAUGUACUAUGCACAUGAGUUUUUAGAAUAUAUUAAAAAAAUCACAACAUUUUGCAUUAGUAGUAUUUUAGCUGGUGGGGACACUAGAACCCUGGUAACCAACACAUUUUCUAUAUUUUUGGCUAUCAUUGGGUUGCACAUUUAGCCAACCCAGCUUGCUUCAGACUAAAGGCAAAUAGGCAAUGUUAACCCACAUGGUUUCUACUCCCUCGCUAAAACUCUUUUGAAUUUUGUGGCUUUUCAUGACCUCUUACUCUUGGAGGAAACAGAGUAAUAGAUAUCAUCAUGACAGAGAUGUAAAUCUAUUACAUAAAUAUUAUAGCAUUUUAAUGACAAAUAUACUAGCACUAUGUUUGAUGUGACUAAUGUACAUAAUUAAAAAUAUGCCACCAAGGUAAAGAAGAAAAAAACUGAUUGCAAACUGUCCAUAGCGUCUUAAGUCUCAAAAUAAGUGAUUAAUGGGAGUGAAAUGUGCAACGAACACACAUAAUGAGUUCCUAUACUCAUAGCUCAAGUGCAGAUACAGUUGUUGCCACAAUGCUAAAGAAUUUCCCGGAACGACCUGAACUGCACAAACUCAUUACCAGCUGCAUUUUGCUUGAUCCGCCCAGACAUAAGAAUCGAGUUAAAUGGGAAUUCGAAGUAAGGAAAGAAGAUAUUGGUCCAUCAACGCGAAGCGCUUCGACCCAAAAUCCUUACCGCUUUUGGCGCCCCGGUGAGGAAAGGCAGCACGCAGUGGUGAGCCGGAACACCGGCCGCUGCCUUCUUAGCCGCCCACUCGCUCACGCGUUCCUCGAGAGUCGGAGCCGAUGCUGAAGACUGCGUCCGCGCCGGUUCGAGUGACGGAAUCAGGGACAAGUUCUUCCCGCCGCCGCGCCGCGCGGCGGGGCAAGCGGUUACAGCGCCCGUGUCCGCGCCCGCCACGUCGAAGGUGCGGACACGGCUCCUCCACCGGCAUUCCGCUGGGAUAAUGAGGUCGACGCUGCCGCCGCCGCCCACAGUGGCGGACGACGACGCGUACGCGGGCGCCGAAUCGGCGGCGGCGGCGGCGGCAUCCUCGGCGUGGUCGACGGUGAGGGUCCCCGCGUCGAGGGAGAAUUCAGGGAAGGGAGGGAGGUAGCCGGUGCUCAGAUCCGGCAUGGCCGCCGGGGGACAGGGGCUGUGGACUAGGGUUUGGAGGGCAUUGGGGCUGGUCGGAGACGUGGAAAUGGAACGAACGAAGACGUGAACCGGGAGGGAGAGGACUCCCCGACCUCGAGUCUCGCCAGAAUUGGGAGAGCGAAGCUGCGAAAGAAAUGGACCUUUUCGGCUUUUCGAAUUUUUUUUUUCACAUGAGAAAUGCUAUACAGCGAUGUUUUGGAGAAAUCCAACGCUCAAAAUUUCUCUUCAUCUUCUCCGGGGCCGAUGGUCCUAUAAAUUAGGCGCUGAUCAGACACAACUAUAUAAUAUAAAUAUUGUAAAACUUCUAGUAAUAAUGUAUCGUUGUACUUUCUUAAAAUUGCUAGAAAAUUUAUGAAAUGCUUAUGGUCCUAUAAUAUGCUGAAGAUUCAAUUCUUAGAUUUUCGUGUCCAAGUGUUUGUGGGGCUAAAAUUAGCUCAUAAUAUGUUGAAGCUUGAUAUGGGUCAACUUUUCUACCUAUGGUUUUGUUAGUUGGAUAAAAAGGUAGACUCAACGGAUUUGUGGAUAGGUCUGGCUCUAUAGCUCAUAAUAUGUUGAAGCUGGAUAUGGGUCAACUUUUCUACCCACCAAUUCUCCAGGUGAGUUGCAAACCAAGAGAAAUGCAUAAGAGGAUCAGGAAUGCUGCUAUUUGCCCACCGAGGGAAAUGCUGCUAUUUGCGGCAUAUUCUAUUUUUUGGCAAUUGGCAACAAUUCAAAUGAAGUUGUCUUUCAAAAGCAAAGAUAAAAUUGUCUUUCAAAAAUAAAGUGAAAAAUACAAUUUAAAUAAAUUUGUCAGCCUGCCUCCCAACUUAUAUAGUGAUUAUGUCUUCAUAAUUAAUAUAUAGCCUACCUCUCAACCCCACCCAUAUAGCCCUAGCACGAUUGUAAAACUUAGCACUGUAAUGUCUCGGCAGUGUGGACUUAUAGCCUUAUAGCAUUAUAAGUCAACCAUAUAGCAUCAACUUGAUCAAAUGACUUGUUAUAGCUUAGUGGUAAGUGGCCAGGAAUUUGGGAGGGAGGACUGAGUUCCAUUCCUAUAUUAAUUCGCUCUAUUUUUUUCAUAGUAUGUAGCCUUGAGUUUUCUUUCUCAUAUUAUGCGGUACAUAUUUCUGAGUUUAUUUCAUACAAAAGUUAGAUUCAGGCACCAUGUAAUAAUAUCCAAACAAGACAAUAGAUGCAUCAAAAUUUCAUCUAUCCACAAACAGAUAAUAAAAAUAGAAUGAAAUAUGAGUCUUCACUAAGAGCUUCGACAUUGAAAAUUAUGACUUCAAACACUUUCCAGUGGCACUGUUAUGUAAGUUCCAUUCGGCUCAAGUACUCAAUCGGAGAUCCAGCUUCAGUCUCAUUGCUCGGCCCUGUCAGCAAGUUUGUGUCCAAUCGGUAUAUAUUAUCACAAAUUCGAUGUGGCUUCUACAUUGAGAUAUUGAACAUAAUUGACAAAGAGUCCACGAGUGAAAAACAUAUUGAAACCAAUACCGAAAGUAUAAGUCGAUGGUUUACUGUACAUGCUUCCUUCAGCAGCUCUUAGACUCAUCCAGGAAAACUCCUGGAGGCAAUUAUGAUGUAGCGAAUCACCACAACAGUUCUGCAAAACAAGGUUCAGAAGAUUGAUAGUACCAACCUAAAUCAACAAUAUCAAUGCACUGAAUAAUGGCAACUUCAAUGAAAAUUGUCAUAAUCAAUACUUCUUAAUUCUUAUCAUCUUGAAAGGAUGAGGUUCAGAUUUCUUAUCAGCACCUGUUAGGCCCUAGGGACCUUAGGGUGUAGUGGUGUGAGGUGGAAGGCCGUGGCUUGAAUGCCCGGCGACGAGGAGGAGGCGUCGUGCUCGGCGCCUGAGUAGUUGGGAAGAGAAGAGGCUAGCUGGGAGCCCAAAGGAGAUAAAUCUCAAUCCCAGGCUGAAAUCUUUAUUAACUGAAUUGUUCCAUACUUAUACUCAAUCCUAACAUACCUCUUAGCUACUUUUAAGAAAAUAACCAACUAAUUCUCCUAUUUUACUAGCUUCAUGGACAUCGGGCUGGCUGGUGACCACGCACCAGCUAUUCAGCGUGGCCCCCUAGUCAGCCACGACGCUGAUACACUUUGCCCACCAUAACAUCUCUCCCUCUCUUGAGAAACAGCUCGUCCUCGAGCUGGAAGUCCGCGAAGCGAGCCUUGAAGUCGUCGACGUGCUCCCACAUCGCGUCGGAGUCCGUCAUGCCGGUCCACUGGAUGAGCACAUGCCACACCCCUCGGCGAAGCUGGGCACGCACUGCACAUGCUGGCUGAUGCAGUAAGCGCCCAUUGUGAAGAGGAGGCAGGACCGGUGGUGUAGACGGCGACUGUCCCCGGAAUGGCUUGAAAACACCCACAUGGAACACAUCAUGUAUGCGGGCACCCUUAGGAAGACGAAGCCUGUAGGCGACUGGACCAACGCGCUCCGUGACCUCGAACGGCCCGGCGUAACGCGGGCUGAGUUUGCCACGAAAGCCAGACAGCAAAGACUGCGCCGGAUGAUGUAGGAGGCGAAGAAGCACCCAAUCCCCCACACUAAACUCCAGCGGACGAUGCUUGGCGUCGUAGUACUUUUUGGCAUAAGCUUGGGCUUGGAGAAGCCGAUCUCGCACUUCAGCCAGGAAAGCGUCGCGGUCCCGGAGAAGAGCAUCCACUGACUCCGUGGCAGCAGACCCUGCUGCGUAUGGCAGCAAGGUAGGAGGAGGCCGCCCGAAUACCACCUCGAAUGUUGUCGCCCGCAGCGCCGAGUGGUAGGACGUAUUAUAGCAAUAUUCAGCCCACGGAAGCCAUUCCAGCCAUUUGCGUGGGCGAUCACCAGUAAGGCACCUGACAUACAUAGCAAUAAUCUUGUUAAAAAUUUCCGACUGGCCAUCGGUUUGUGGGUGAAAUGUCGUGCUCAUCCGGAGCUGCACACUCGCCAUCUUAAAUAGAUCCCGCCAGACAUGACUCGUGAACACAGGAUCACGGUCGCUGACGAUGGACAUUGGAAAACCAUGGAGGCGCAUGAUGGCGUCAAAGAAUGCUUUGGCCACCGUUGCUGCUGUAUAUGGGUGGCUCAACGGAAUGAAGUGUGCAUGCUUCCAGAAGCGAUCAACAACCGUCAGGAUCACGUUCUUGCCAUUGACGCGGGGCAGCCCUUCAAUGAAGUCAAGCGAGAUAUCUGCCUAGACUUGAGAAGGCACCUCGAGGGCUGGAGAAGGCCGGCCGGAUGGAGCGCUUCUGUUUUGUUAUGCUGGCACACAACACAUGUGCUGACCAGGUCCUGUACCAAACGACGAUCGUGGUCGAUGAAGAAGUCCCGACGCAGCCGCUGGAGCGUCUUCUGGAUGCCUUCAUGACCGGCAUGGGCCAGUUGUAGGACUACUGGCAGCACUGUCGAUGAUACUCGCACGACAACACAGGUGUCGUGCAGCACCAAGCCGUCGACGACGCGCCACAGGGCGCCCUGCUCAGCCACGACUCCAUUGCGGUAAGCUCACAGCGUCGGAUUCUCCUGAAGUUCACGGCGUAGGUCGUCGUACAGCCGAAAAGACAGCAUGCUGGUCGUAGCAAGGCACGCAUCCUCAUCCUCCCCGUGAGAAAGGGCGUCGGCGACUGUAUUGAGCCGACCCGGGCGGUACUCCACACUGAAAUCAUAGCCAAAUAAUUUGCUUACCCACUGAUGUUGUGGCACGGUGGAAAGGCGCUGAUCAAGUAUGAACUUGAGAGCGUAGUGGUCAGUUCGAACGAUGAAAGAUCGGCCCCAAAGAUAGGGACGCCAACGGUGCACCGCCUGCUCCAGUCCGAUAAGUUCGCGCUCAUAAGCCACAAGCUUCAUAUGACGUGCUGCAAAUGGCCGGCUAAAGAAGGCGAGCGUGCCAUCACCUUGAUGGAGAACUACACCGAACCCUGAACCGGAGGCAUCACAGUCGACGGUGAAGGGUUUGGUGAACUCCGGUAGCUGUAAAACUGGUGCGCCGGAUAGGGCCCGUCUGAGGGAUUCAAACGCCUCUGUCGGUAUCGAAGACCAUAGGAACCCAUCCUUUUUGAGCAGCUGAGUCAGUGGGGUUGCUAUGGAACCAAAGUCCUUGAUGAACCGGUGAUAGUAACUAGUCAGCCCCAAGAAUCCACGGAGGCCACGCGCUGAUCAUGGUUGUGGCCAGGUAGUAAUUGUGGAGACCUUGUCCUGAUCCAUGGUGUCACACCCGGAUGUAAGAGAGCAUUCGGGUGCCAAAUCACAUGUGCGCCAGGAUCUCAAAUUCACACACAUGGACCGACAUCAUCAAUGGUACAACACACAGUGUUCAAACGAAUUACAUAAAUGAGAAUAAACGUACCAUUAUUACAAGCCAGAUGUUUAUCAAAGUGCGAAGGGGAAACAUAAGCUAAAUUGUUCCAUAAAUAAAGGGGAAACUAAACGCCGACGUAGCAGGACCACCUUGCCACAGGAAGGUCGACGGCAGAACCACACGAGCCUAACAACCAGGAGACUCAGGGUAGUCCUCAGGGAAGUCGCAAUUGUACUUCUGAUCGUCCGAGCAACCUUUAAUGAUUAUAGCAAGAGUGAGCUCAUGUCGAACUCAGCAAGCACAGACGGAAAGUAAAUGACAUGCAAGGCUUAAAACAAGGUAAAGCUGACUCGGUUUGACUGCGGUAGCAUUUUAAUUGAUCACUUUUAAUUAUGACAAUUAUUAGAACAACCUAUUACUAAUUAUGAGUAGUAUAAACCCAACCCUUAAUUAGUGUAAGUAGUAAUUAGCAUCUUUUAAAAGACUAUCCUAAUUAUUAUAGUAAUCCAGGGAUUAACCCCAAUUAUUAACACAGGAUAGCAAUCCUGCCAACACGGAAUAGCCAUUCCGCCAAAACACGAGGUAGCAACCUCGUCAAGUUCCCUCUCCAAGUAUCCAGUGUAUCCAAUUUGCUCAUCAAGUGAGGGUCUGAGCCGCUCGUGACCGUGAGCACGGCUGAUAUAUCAGUUUUACACUCUGCAAAGGUGUGCACGUUCACUCCAAGUCGUGAUUCCCAUUUGCCCGGGGUCGCGACUCCCCAAAACACUACCAAGGUGAGCAGGCAGGGUUUCACUACGAGACCUUUCACAGGGUCCAACUAAUAGGAUGCCACUCGUAAGUUUUUGCCGGGGCGCGCGGCAGCCGUGCCCAUAGCAAUGGGACCCCGAACUGACCGACCUCUUAAUAUGAAUACCCAAGCUACAUUCCUUACGCCUACCCGGAAAGUAACACCCUACCAGUGGAGGUCGUGCUAAUUAGUCAAGCCAGAGCCCAUAUAGCUUGGAGCUGCACUGUAAGUCCCAGGGGGCCGCUCCCUGACUAAGUCCUUACGGAGAGCAGAGACGGGUACGCCCGGCAAACCGGACCACCAACGGUACCCGCUCCCCCUUUCACCACCAUCAUCACGAUGCUCGUAAGCAUCCAUCAUCGCCAUCACCAUAGUGACCAAAGGUUCAGCACAAUUUAAGCAUCAAGUUGAGUAGAGAGUAAUUCUUGUUUAAACAUGUGUAUAAGAUGAGUAGGGCAGCUAAGCAAAUCUAGUAUGGCCUAGUCUACCCAUAUACAUAACCCCAGGUGAACAAGAAAUAGUAAGUAAAGCUAGUCAUGUCCUUAGGAUUUUGCAUUCAUUGGACACAUGCAUAUAAAGUAAAUGACAUUAAUGAGUAGGUUCAAAAUGAUCAAACGGUGUCUGCACUUGCCUUGAUCGAAGUCGGGUUGCUCGAACUCAGCGGGAUCCUGAACCUCUUCCUUCACAAACGUCUCGUUGGCUAUACGCGACAAUCAUCAAUCAUAGGAACAAUACAUGCAAGCAAACAAACUUAAUCAGAAACAGUACACCAAAACAUGCGAAAACAGAAAGCAACUGCACUACUGUAAUCUACUCGACGAAACGAAACCAUAGCGACCAGAAUCACCUAAAUCGGAGUUACGAUGCAAAAGUUAUGGCUAAAACAAGUUGAAUGGCAUUUCUGCAGAUAAACUGAACUAUUUUUCGUAAUUAAAACUAAUUAAAACUGAAUUAAAACUCAUUUUGGAUUAAAUAAACAAAUUCUAACCGAGCCAGGGGUUAAACUGCAAAAACUAAGAGCAUAAACUUAAAUAUUUUUGAAAGAACUGGACUGCGGGUUGAUUUUGAAUAAGCCCGAGGGCUUUUCUGCAAAGCGGCAGGGGCGUGCGGGCUGGCCAGCUUGGCUGGCCACGUGGCGGCCGGUGAGUGGCCGGUCCACAGCACUAUGCUGUAGACCGGGGCGCGGGGCAGGGCGGCCGCGGUCCAUGGGGGACCGCGCCUGCGGGAGAGGCGUCGGCGGCGGCGUGGACCCGGUCCACGUGGACCGGCCGCACGGGGGCGCAGGGCCGCGGUCCACGGUGGACCGCGCGCAGGGGCGGCCGGCGGGCGGCGGUGGCGCCAUUGGCGCCGCCCGGAGCUCGCCGCGGCGGCGGUUCGGGGCGCGGGGAGGCGAGCCAAGGGCACCGGCGGGGUCGGCACGACGAGGCGAACGCGAUGACGGCCUCACCUCCGCGAAACGAUGACGGCAAAGAGAAGCUCGACGGCGGCGGCGCGGAUUUCGACGAAAACGGCGGCGGCGCUGCGAACUUGCGGCUCGGGGUUUGCGCUAGGGUUUUGGGGGGGGCGCGGACGGUUGUGGCGGCCUUUAAAUAGGUGGGGACGGGCCGGGGUCCUCGAUCCGCGCGCGGCACGGAAGUCGGAGCCGGCCGUUCCGGUCCGUCUCCGAUUCGGCCGGAGGUAGAUGAUGACAGGUGGGUCCCACCUACGGGGCCCACCAGUCAGCGGGCGGCAGAGAGAGCAGGGGCAGGGGGCGCUGCUGCCGUGCGGCUGGGCCGCGCGCGGUUGCGGGCCGGGGAGGGGAGGCGCUGCCCACUUCCCUUUCUUUUUUUUAUUUUCAAAACAGAUUUCCUCCUAUUUAAAUCUUUCUUCCAACAAAAUAAUUCAAGCACAAGCAAGCAAGUCAAACAAAAAUAAAUGCAGCGGCAUGAAUGCACACGAACAAGUUUUCUACCUUAUAUUUAAUUUUACUUAAUUUUGUAAAUUAUUUAAUAAUUUUCUGGAAAUUCAAAUUGAGCCAAAAUUAAGUCAAAUUUAAACUAAAUUUGAAAUUCAAAAAUUUGGAGUGUUAUACAUGGCCACACCCUUUGCUGAAAUAACAUGACCUAGGUACUGAACAUUCGGUUGAGCGAAGGAGCACUUGCUGUGUUUGAGGCGGAGCUAAUGAACACGGAGGGCAGACAGUACUGCGUUCACGUGUUGUAAGUGCGAGGACCACGAAGGGCUGUAGAUGAGGAUAUCAUCAAAGAACACCAAGACAAACUUGCGAAGGAAUGGCCGGAGCAUUGCAUUCAUCAAACUCUGGAACGUGACCGGCGCAUUUGUCAAGCCAAACGGCAUGACCAGAAAUUCAAAAUGGCCCUCAUAGGUGCGGAACGUUGUUUUCUCAAUGUCCGCUGCGUUCAUUUGAACUUGGUGGUACCCGGAGCGCAAAUCCAAUUUAGUAAAGAAGCUGGCGCCUUUCAACUCAUCUAACAGUUCUUCAACCACAGGAAUUGGGAACUUAUCCUUAACUGUGUGCUGGUUCAGCGCGCGGUAAUCCACACAAAACCUCCAAGAGCCAUCGUGCUUCUUCACUAAAAGCACCGACGCCGAAAACGCCGACAUGCUUGGUCUGAUGAUGCCCUGCUGCAGCAUAGUGGCACACUGUUUUUCCAACUCAUCUUUCUGGAGCUGAGGGUAUUGAUAAGGGCGAACUGCCACCGACGGCGUGUUGGGCAGCAGAUGGAUGUGGUGGUCACAGGUCCGGGCCGGGGGCAGCCCCUGCGGUUCAGCAAACACAUCAUCAAAAGAGUGCAGCAAGGUGUCUAGCAGUUGUGGCUCGUUGUGUAUAGCAUGGAGUCGGCGCGUCGACUGGACAUCAUGGCGGGUAGAGCCAAUGCCCCGCCAGAACACACGCCGGUCGCCACGUGUGAAGGCCAUGCAGAGGUCGUCAAAAUCCCAGAGAAUCGGCCCCAGGGUGCGGAGGAACAAGACGCCAAGGACCAUGUCCCACUUAUCAAGUGGAAUUGAGUAGCAGUCCACCGAAAAGAACUCAUCGACAAUGCGGAUGCCCAUAUCACGUGCUAGCCCACGGCAGGCCACGCGGUCACCAUUGGCGACAAUGACGCCCGCUCCUGGACAGGGGGCGAACUGCAGGCCGACACGGUGAGCGACGUCGCCACAGACGAAGUUAUGGGUGGAACCGGAGUCCAGGAGGGCGAUGAAAUGCUCGUUGCGGAUGGUUACAUAAAUCUGCAUAGUGUCCUGGAUGCGUAUGCCCGCAAUGGCGCCCAAGGAGAUCAUAGCUAGGUGCUGAUCCGGCAGUGCUGAGGCAGCUGAGUCCUCUAUCUUCUCAUCAUCCUCAUCUGGCUCUUUGACAAUAUAAUCUACAGCCUCCAAAUAAAAGAGACGAGCACACUUAUGGCCUUGAAUGUAGGGCUCAUCACAAUUAUAGCAGAGACCCUACUUGCGGCGCUCAGACAUCUCUGCCGGGGACAGCCUUUUGAAAGGCUGCGGAGUAGGUGAUGCAGUGGAUGAUGUCGAAGACCCUGUGCUGGGUAGCGCCUGCAUCGAGCUCACCACGACGCGUCGAGGGUCCCGGGGUGCUGGGAGGGCAAGCUGUGUAGGUGUGUUGCGACGCUCAUAAGCACGUGCCAAGCGCAUGGCCUGCUGUAGAUCUCGAGGGUCGUGGAGCUCGACUCGAUCCGGAUGUGCUCCGGUAAACCCCCCAAAAACAGCUGAGCCUGUUGGUAUAGCGUUAGGCGUCCAGCAUGUGCCAAGCAUGCCAGGAACGCUUCUAGGUAGGUGGCAACAUCCGUGGUGAACGACAGUCGCGCCAAUUCCGCCAGAUGGUUGGUGGUUAGAGGCGGACUGAAGCGCUAAUGACAGAGUUGCUUGAAUUCCUCCCAAGAUGGCGCGCCGGUAUCGCGCUCAAUGACGUAGUACCACUGUUGUAGUGGUCCUAGUAGAUGGAAAGAGGCCAGCCACACUUUGUCGAUGUUGCGGGUGCGCUGGGCGUUGAAGAAGUGCUCACAGCAGUUGAACCACCCCAAGGGGUCUUCUUUGCCGUCAUACAUUGGGAAGGACAGUUUGUGAUAGCGCGGCACGCCCGCUGCUUCAGGAUCCGGUGGUACAUGAACACGCGGAGGUGGCAGCGCAUCAACGUGACCUCCGUUCAUGAUGGACGAUAGCGAGGGCACCGGGGAUGGCGAGUGUGCGAAGUUGAUCUGCAUGAUCGGCACCUGGCCCGUCGUCAGCGCCUACGGUGGACACGUGGUGACCGGCGCAACAGUAGAGGGCGCCGUCAGUGUAGCCGCCGGCGCUGGGGUGGUGGACGUGGCCUCGGGCGCGACCGGUGGUGGCAGCAGUGGAAGACCACCAAACCCGGGCAAGCCCAGGGUGGGCUGCAGCGUUGAGUUCCCAUAUGGAACGCCCUCCAUGGCUAAAACACGCAGUGCCAGGUCACCCAUCUGGCGCUGCAUGCCCAGGAUGGCCGUGGUGAGCGCAUCCAGUGCGCUGGUGGUGUCCGUCGGCAGUGGAGGAGAGGGGGAUCAAGGCGGCGGAGGUGGACAGCGGCGCCGUCGCAAAUGCUUCAACGGAGGUCUGGUUGGCGGAGGAGGAGCCAGGGCCUGACAUUGAUACCAGGUUGUUAGGCCCUAGGGACCUUAGGGCGUAGUGGUGUGAGGUGGAAGGCCGUGGCUUGAAUGCCCGACGACGAGGAGGAGGCGCCGUGCUCGGCGCCUGAGUAGAUGGGAACGUGAGAAGAGGCUAGCUAGGAGCCCAAAGGAGAUACUAGUGUGUAUUCAUGUUCUCCUUCAGGUUUAAAGUUCUAAUAAAAGUUGACGUUAUCGACCGUCAAUAGCCACGAAUGAACUAUCGUUCCUACAAUAAUCAUAUAUCUAAAAGAGGUGCAACCACAUAAGACCUCUCUGUACAAUAAUCAUAUAUCUAAAAGAGGUGCAACCACAUAGGACCUCUCUGGUGAGGAUACAAGUGGUAUGAAGAAUCUCAUUCCUCAUUUACCAUAAGAAAAGAUCUUAUUCAUCAUUUAUCAUGAGUAGUAUGUCAGUUUGUGUUUACUUUUUUUAAGAGAAAGGGUGCUCAUAGACACUAAUUAGAGCAAGGUCAAUAAUAAAGCCAAGUGCUUUAUAAGCCAAGUGAUUAGAGCCAAGUUAUACAGUAAAUUGUCUCAUACUUGUUUCGAAUACACCUUCUCUUUCCUAUUACUCCUCACAACACUUGCUAUUUGGGUCCACCACUACUUAUGCAUCCGUGUCCAGCUUGUUGCUUGCAUAAGAGCCAAACUAUUAUCUCUCAUGUCUUCUCUACUCCACAUCAGCAUUAGCUUGACUAUAAGCCUAUUAUUAUACCUGCUUUUAUGGAUAUAUUAAUUCUGGUCGUUAAUGGCCGAGAGAAAAUCGUCAAUGACAUGUGAAUCUUUGAUUUAUGAUGUACUCAACGAUUCCAUGUUCUUUUAGCCAUUAAAACAUGUUUUGGUUUUGUUUUCUAGAACAUUCAAUGUCGUAGCAUGUCUUAGGUUCUAAGGUUCGUUAGCAGAUUCACCUUUAAGAUGAUACAUCUGAUCUGACUGCGGUGUUUGCCCCAUAGGAGAAGACGGAGUAAUUUGAGUAAAACAUUAUUUCUUAAUUAUUUUAGGUCAUUUCCUAAUUUAAGAUGUACUCGCCCUAAAUUCUAAUAUCAUCCUCAAUUCCUCAUCUCCUUCGUCACUCGAUUUUAAGGAACAUAUGAUGUACGCUCCUGAUUCAUGACGAUAUAUUUCGUCUUUUAUCAAAAAGUGGUGGCAAUAGAACUUUUAUCAUAGUAGGUUUUGUCAUUAAUAUAAGAAAAGUGGCAAUAGAACUUUUCUAAUGAGCUUGUUUGUAUCUUCGAGUUUUGACACUUUUCAUUCAUAAGUUGAUAUAUCAACUAUUUUUCAAUGGCGAGUAUACUAUUGUUAAUUUCAAAAUAGACUUCUAAAUGUUAUAAUUGAAUUUCCGAGUACGGAAAUAGUGAUCAGAACAAAAUAAACAAUACCAAUAGAAACAAACUUAAGAGCAUCUUCAACAGUUAGCAAAUGACUUUUCAUCUAUAAUUUUUUUAGCGGAAUGAGAAAAAACCAUCUCCAACAGUUUGACAUUCCAAUUCCCCAUCUUUACUAACUUGACAUAUCUCUGUGUCUAGUGCACUGAUAUGCGCGCGGGCUCCGUGCUUGACAUCGGUCUUUUUCCUCAUGCUUAGCGGAACUGUUCGUUCAUUUAGUGGGGCUCUUCGUUCGCUUAGCGGGGCUCUUCGUUUUGUCAGCGGGUUUUUGAAUUUAUAGAAAUGAAAUUUGGCAAACUGUUAGAGAUGAGUUUUUUUCCUCUCUAUAUUAUUUUAGAAGUUGGCAAAUAAUAAAAUUUGAGAAACGAUUUAGAAUGCUAGCGAUGGUUUUAGAGCAGGAGCAGGUGGUGGUAAGCCUAGGCAAAAAUAACCGACAACCGAAAUAACCGGAACCGAAACCGAAAUAACCGAAACCAAAAAUUUCGGUUAGCUGUUCGGUUCUCAGUUCUCAGGAACCGAACUAACCGAUCAAAUUUCGGUUCCCAGGCUCGGUUAAUCGAAAGAACCGAAAUAACCGAAAUUCAUAAAACAAGCCCAAUAAACCUUACAACAUAGGCCUAAUACCACCUUAACCCUAAAUAUAAAAAGUGAAUGACACCUUCUCAUAGCCUCACAUCCUCACAUUUUUUUUUAAAAUAACGACAUCUUGCUUUUUAAAAAAUAUUUUUUCCUAUUUUCCUAUUGUUUUUUAUGCUUGUGUAAAUUUUCGGUUAGUUCGGUCGGAACCGGAACCGAACCGGACUAACCGAAACCGAUUUUGCUCGGUUCCAAGAUUUGUGAAGAACCGAUCGGUUCCUAUUUGUAGAGAACCGAAUUUGUGUCAAAAACCGAAGAACCGAACCGAACCGAGGAACCGAACGCCCAGGCUGAGGUGGUGGAACAAAAAUGAGUGUUAUCUCAGAUGCAUUCAAAUCAUCGAAUCAUCAGUUGUCUAUCUCAUUAGGCCUUGUUUACCUUCAAGAUCCUUUAUCACAUCAAAUCUUUAGGCGCAUGUAUAGAACAUUAAAUAUAGAUUAAAAAAUAAUCAAUCGUACAAUUUACCUAUAAUUUUCAAAACAAAUAUUUUAAACCUAAUUAGUCUAGGAUUUAAUAAUAAUUAUCAAAUACAAAUACAAACAAAAAUACUCCCUCCGUCCCAAAUUAUAAGUCACUCCAAGAAUCUUGGAGAGUCAAAUUUUUUCAAGUUUGACCAAAUUUAUAUAGCAAAAUAAUAAUAUUUUUGGUACCAACCAAGUAUCAUUAGAUUCUUUGUUAGUUAUAUUUUCAUAGUGUACCUAUUUUAUGACAUAAAUCUUUAUAUUUCUCUAUAUAUUUUUUGUCAAACUUGAAAAUACUUUGACUCUCCAAGAUUCUUGGAAUGACUUAUAAUUUGGAACGGAGGGAGUACUACCCUAAACAAAUCUGAAAUUUUUUCACGGACCAAACAAGGCGUAAGAAAAAACCCGCUGACGCGAUACACAGUACGCUAUCAACCAAGCUAGGGGCAGCAUGCAGAAACAUCCGUCGGAUCGGUGGAUCCACGGUGCAGAUCGAGGCGCGGUUCUCCCCGUCGCCGUAGGGUUUUUGUCCUCGCUUCUCUUACCAAGUUACCAGAGCCACCUCCUCCGUCGGCCGCAGCUACCCCACGCCGUCGGCCGCCAUGAGAGCCCUCCUCUCCCUCUCCCGUCUUGCCCGACGGGUUCCAGCUUCUCUCGCCCCUGUAAGCGCGCCGACAACAUUCCUCCUCCGGCACAUCCAUGCCGACGUCCCUCCGCCGCCGCCGCCACCGCCACCUCAUGACUCGCCGCUCUUCGUCUCCCGCAUCCUCGAAUCGGAGCCGAGCCUGACCCCGAACGCCGAGUCGGAGCCGGCAUCCGAUCCGAUCCUCGACGAGUUUCUCGCGCGAUUCGUGGCUGCCUUCCGCCCGCGACUCACGGCUGCCUUCCCCAACCAUGACCGUGACGUGCUCGACGAAAUGCUCCGCCUCGUCGCGGACGCCGUGCUGUGCCGCCUCACUGGGGCCGACCGGGGGCCCGAUGCUAUCGAGCUCAAUGACGACCUCUGGGCGGUCGUAUGGGAGGUCAGCGCCUCCGUGCGCGAGGCUAUGCGCCGGGAUCAGGUCCGCGCCGACCUCCGCCAAUACCUUCACUGCGACGAGGUUAAGGAGAUGACGCGGUUCGCUGUCGAUGUCGGCAUCCGCGGUGCCAUGCUCCGGGAGCUCCGCUUCAAGUGGGCCCGCGAGAAGCUCGAUGAGGUCGAGUUCUAUCGAGGCCUUGAUGACAAGCGCUCCGAUGCUGAGGCCGCCGCUGACCCGGCGCCUGCGCCUGUGCCGAGGCUGACCGCUUUGCCGAAGAGGAAGGGAGAGGUGAAGUUCACGAUGUACGGACUGGACAUGUCUGACCCAAAGUGGGCUGAGGUGGCGGAGCGAGUGGCGGAGGCUGAGGCGCAUUUUGUGCCUGAGGAGGCCAAGGCUGUAGAAGGGAGGGCGAAGAAGGCCGAGGAGCGGCUGCUGUUGGUUGACCCGAGGAGAGGAGAUCCGGUGCCUGCCAUUGAGGAGUGGAAGGAGGAUCUCCGGCCAAAACGUGUUGAUUGGAUAGCACUGCUUGAGCGGAUUAAGGCACGGAAUGUCGAGUUGUACCUCAAGGUGAGAUCUUUGGUAACACUGAAAGCUUGUGCAUCGUGCUGCAAUGUUUGUUUGCUAGUGUUUUUUUUUCUUUUUGCAUGUAGUAAAAUUCUUCCUUUCUCCACAAGUUUCUCGCUGUAAACUACUUGAAUUAUGGCUAGAAUAUGUAACUAGUUACCUGUUUUCGCUGGGUGAAUAGUAGAGAUAUCCUGGAUCGACUCAGACAAUAAUAGCUUAACCUGGAUGGAGAGACAUAGAGUGUGCUUGGACGUUUUCAUUCUUAGAGAAGAAAGUUGUAUGAUGAGAAGCAUUUUCUGGAACAAUAUUUUGGGGACAUAGGGAGUUAAGUUGUAUUUUAUUGGGCCAUUUCGUCCUUUGAACCUAGUGACACUAAGCUUAUUUGGACCUCAACUUUCAGAAAUUGUUCGUGGGCUUACUGGAAGUGAAUACUCCCUCCGUCCCAAAUUAUAAGUCAUUCCAAGAAUCUUGGAGAGUCAAAGUUUUUCAAGUUUGACCAAAUUUAUAUAGCAAAAUAAUAACAUUUUUGGUACCAACCAAGUAUCAUUAGAUUCUUUGUUAGUUAUAUUUUCAUAGUGUACCUAUUUUAUAACAUAAAUUUUUAUAUUUCUCUCUAUAUUUUUGGUCAAACUUAAAAAUGCUUUGACUCUCCAAGAUUCUUGGAAUGACUUAUAAUUUGGAACGGAGGGAGUACUAGAUUACCCUGAAAUAUUUCAUUCCAAACUUAUUGUGCUUGGGCAAAACAGAUUGACACAAAUUGUCUGCAUAGUGAUCUGUGGUGUUUUCCAAUAUCUUUUGAGCCCAUCUUAUCAUGUCUAUCAAGUGCGAUCAAAUUUGAUCAUAAACUUCUGGAGAUCAUUAUGCCCUUCACCUUCAGACAAGGGUUAUGACUCUAGAAUUUCUGAAAACUUUAAUGAGUAGUUCUCGUAAGUUCCUCUCCCACAAGGUGAUUAUCAUUUGACACACGUUUGGCAGGAGUUCAUGUUUGCCAGUUAUGCACAUGUGGUUGCGGGGGAGGGAGGGCAUUGAUUUGAGGCUUCGGUGGGGGUGCUAUGGGUGCCACUGGUCAGCAACCUGGUGUUUCAGAAGGGUGGUAUGUAGGAGAGAGGGCUGUUGUCAGGGAGGGUCAGGCAUGGCUGCCAUUGAGUUCGAGGAGAAAGAGGGGCAUUAUUCAUGUGAAUGGGGAUUUUGAGAUAUGUUAGCCCUGGCAAGUCUUCCCUAGAUUCAGGGUGGGCACGGAUUAGGCAAUGCAAGCCACUGUGGAUUAAGGCAUGGACAGGGGGUUUUUGGUAGAUGUGGAUUGGGGGGAGAGGGAGGCGGGGAUGCUGGAGCAGUUACUUGCUGCAGACGGGUGGGACAGAGAGGCCGUUAGUGGCCUGGGGGUUGGCGAAAUGCGGGGCCUGCUUAUUGCUGCCGAAGUCAGGUGAGGCGGCCUACCACAUCCUGCUCAGUGUCCCCUGUGCGAUCAGGCUGACAAAGAUGUUAAACAUCUGCUCACUUCCUGUGUCUUUGCACAACUGUUCUGGUCCAGAAUCUUUAUACCGAUGGGAUUGCAGGAGCCUGGUUCCCCAACGACAUGAAUCUCUAUUUGCUGUGUGGUGGUGCAAAUCAAUCAAGAAAGUUUAGGACAAGAGGAAGGGAGUGAAUACUGUCAUUAUCUCGGGAGCUUGGCUAAAUCUGUGUGGUUUUGAGGGUGCCAGCCCAAAUAAAUAUCAACACCGUUAUUCAGGCCCUCAAUGAGGAGCGUCAUCUUUGGUGUCUAGUGGUUGCACGUGAUCUUAACACCCUUGCUUUGGGUCAAGUUAGCUAAGCUUAGCGUCUUAGUUUUCAGCGGUCUGGUCUCACCUGUGUUUGGUUUUUUAUUAGUCCAAACCUUUUAUGCUCCCAACCCACCUCAUAGUCCAGCCCGGAACUAGGUGUUUGGUUUUCAACGGUCUGAUCUCACCUGUUUGGUUUUUUAUUAGUCCAAACUUUUUUAUGUUCCCAACCCACCUCAUAGCCCAGCCUGGAAUGAGGCGGUCUUAUUUGUAAGGGGUUGUUUUUCUCUCUCUUAAUACAAAGAUAUGCAGCUCUCCUGCGUAUUCGAGAAAAAAGGUUGUAUCUUAGACUGGCUUUUACAAGGUCAACCACAAAUUCACAAUGCUUAUGUCAGCUCACUUGCGCUCACUGACGAUUUAGUCAGCUUCACUAUCUUCAUGUCUCCCCCCCCCCCACCCCCCCCAACACAUCCACACACAACUACUCUCCUCCAAAACAGUGUAUGAGUUAGGCAGUAGGCAUUUAAAUGUAUUUGGUCAGCUAAAUAUGUUAUUAGCCAUGGUUAUUUAUGUUAAUCAAUUGUUUAGUUACCUUAAAAAAAAGAAAUGUUUUCACACCACUUAACAUAUGCUAUGUAUUCGAACUUACAGGUUGCUGAAAUUCUGCUAGAUCAAGAAUCUUUUGAGGCAAACAUCCGAGAUUACUCAAAAUUAAUUGAUCUUCACGCUAAAGCAAAUCAUGUGGAAAGCGCAGAGAGAGUACUUGGUAAAAUGAAAGAGAAGGGUAUUGCACCUGAUGUCAUCACAUCCAUCGUAUUAGUCCACAUGUAUAGCAAGGCAGGCAAUCUAGAGCAGGCCAAGGAGGCUUUUGAAUUUAUUCGAAGGGAGGGUUUUAAACCAGAUCUGAAACUCUUCAGUUCAAUGAUUAAUUGCUAUAUCAACCAUGGAGAACCAGAAGAAGCAGAAAAUCUGAUAAAAUCUAUGAGGGGCACACGUGUCAUUGUCAAACCCACUAGAGAAAUCUACACAGACAUUGUACGAGCAUAUGCUCAGCGAGGCAUGAUGACAUGUGCACAGAGGGUUCUUAAUAUGAUGACACAUGAUGAAAUCAAGCCUACAGAGGAACUCUAUGCAAUAUGUAUAGAAGCAUAUGGACGUAUUGGUGAUCCUAUUCAAGCCCGUGCCAUGUUUGAUCAAAUCAGGAGGAGGCUUGGACACGAACCAGGUGACAGUUCAAUUGCUGGUGUGGUGGCUGCGCACAUCGAGAAGAACCAACUAGACGAGGCUUUGCAGUGGUUGCUGAGUUUAGAGAAGGAAGGAGUUGAACUUGGUGUCAAGACGAACCUCGUGUUACUGGAUUGGCUGUCUAUGUUGCAGCUAGUUCUGGAGGCUGAACAGCUUGUGCAGAAGAUAAAGAAGCUUGGAGAAGAGCCCAUAGAAGUCCAUGUGUUCCUUGCCGGUAUGUAUGCAAAGUCUCGCCAGGAAGAGAAAGCCCGCAGGUCCCUCAAGAUCUUGGAAGAGAAGAAGAAACUAUUGAAGUCUGAUCAGUUUGAGAGGGUUAUAAGAGGCCUUCUUGAUGGUGGGUUCUCAGAAGAGGCAAAUAAAUACUACAAAAUGAUGAAAUCCUGUGGUUUUGAACCAUCAGAAACAAUCGAGGUCGGUGUUAAGGCUAGUCUCAGGAUUAGGGGUGCUUCUCGUCACAUUGGCAGGCAUUGAGAUUAGGGCCUGUAUGCUGGUAGAGUGGCAGCGAUCUACUGGGCACGCAGGCAAGCAAGGAGGGAUUCUGGUGUGAGAACCUUGUGGCACUGACACGGCACAAUCAAAUUGACCAAACUCAGUGCUGAAAGAUAGCUUGGCCAUUUUUCUUUUCUGGUUAUCAAUUGUCUGAAGGCACGACGUUGCUUCCAUAGACUAUGAAAUUAAUAGGCCCUGGUUUCAUGAUUUUGUUGUUUUCAGUGAUCAGGAUUUUCACUUGUAUUAGAUGAGGUUUGAAGUGAUUGUAACACUGAUCCAUCUUCCAGGUUUUCAAAGAAAACAUAUAUCCGCGAAUAGUGAUUAUUGCUGUGUUCAGACAUACAAUGAUGUAAGUUAAUUAAUAAAUAUUCCCUCAAUGAUGUAAGUUAAUAAAUAUUCCCUGCGGCCUCCGGUCACGAUGGUUCACUAAAACUGCAUACAUCAACAACUUUUAAAUUAUUGAGUCUGGAAACACACAAAUUAUAUAUGUGUAGAUUCGCAUUAGAAAAUACUUUUGAAGUUUUAGGAGUUUAAGAAACAUUUUAAAAGAUAAUAGAGGUUAAAAACAUUUAACAGAAAAGACUUGUUUAAAUCAAGUCAUGUGUAGAUUUGCAUCAGAAUUUGAUGCGGGCGGUGUCUUGCUCAUUUUUCGCUUUUGCAAGUUCACUAACUUAAGUGGCACAUGCUCUCAAGUUAAAGACCCACUAGUGUAUUUAACUAAAAAAACACAUGCGGUUGGAUAUUUUUUCCUGCUAAUUUCUACUCUCUAGAAUAUAUUAUAAAUCCUACACAAAAUUGAGAUUUCUAGAGGUACUUUUCAAUAGAAACUAUGCAUAUAUAUAAGAAAGGAAGAAGUCCAUUUUUUGUCAUCAAACUAUCCCUCGAGCCUAAUCUCAACCGUCAAACUUAAAAACCAGAGAUCUUUAGCCAUUUGACUAUCAAAACCUUUCGUAUUGGUCAUUAAGCUGGUUUCAACGGUGUUUUUCAAACUAAAUAAUCAAGUCAUUGAUGCUUGUAGCCUUUAGGUUCUGACAAAAAUCUUGUCCUAAAGAUUUUUUAUGACCGUAGGGCACAUUUCUAAAGAACAAUAAUAGAUAGAAACUAUCUAUAAACUUUUUUUUACAACAGGCAAAAGGGUUAUCUGAUUCUCAAUCCGAAACAAGACAAGUUUAGGGUACCACAACCACAAGCAAGCCACCAAUGAAAUCCGAGUCAAUACAAGGGAACAAAUCUGCCAUGUAACAUAUCAUAAGUUUACAAGAAACACCUCCCAACACCACUGAUUGGACACCUAUUACCACGCAUGCUUGCUUGUUGGAUAAAAGACAUCAGACCAAACAACAGUUGUGCUACCGCUGAGCCAGUUUCUUCAGGUGUUGAAACAACUUUUGCUUUAUCCACUGUCGAUCGUAUGGCAGAAAUGCCUGAAUCGAGUGAUCAUAACUGCAUAUGGAGGGGGGAAAAGCACAGGUAUUAUGUUGUUAGUUUUGGACACGAACAUGUAUAAAUAUACUUCAAGGAACUCCAAAAAUCUUAAAGAAGUUAUACUCACACCAGAGCACUAAUGUCAGCUAGGCCAUCAAUGAAGUUAUAGAGGUCGCUGAUAUCAUAAGUUAUGUUUGGGACCAUUGGGUUGAUAUCCCUAAUUUUCCUUUCAUAAAGCCCACAGAUCCCUGCCAUUACAGUUGAAUGUUACAAGUAACUUAUGAACUUUAGACGGGAAAUAAAUCAAGAAGAAUCACUGCAGAUGUGUAAAUCUGAUUUUUGGAAGAGCAUAAGCUGGAUCCACGUCAAAGUAGCCUAUUGCUAACAGUAGGGGGUAAAACAUCAGGCCAGCCAGCAACAAAUUUAAACAAAGAGGACUAGAUCCGAUCAAAACCUCUAAGAUAGAUUAAUAUCAUGUUUCUAUAAGAUAUAGUUAAAUAGUUAAAUGCCACUGUUUUUUUUUCUGAGUAUAGGAUCACAUGAAGACCACCAUGGUCAUGCAAAUAAUGCAAACUAGGGAGUUUUAUUUGUUUUCUAAAGCAGGUCCUUUUUCAAACCAUACAUACCAUCCAAUGCAUGAUUAACCGAAUUGUAAUCCAUAAAUGUUCUAGAAGCCCUAUUCUGAGAUGGCUGCAUCAGAAUAAUGGUGUGCCUCCCAGCCUGCAAAGAGCAAUCAGUCAGAUACACACAUCAGCGCAUGGCAAGUGCCAUGGGUAUCAUUGCAUAAACUGAUGGUGUUUCUUCCAAAGUGCCAAGCAUUGGGUAUUAACAACAGAUGCUACAAUAUUCCCUGUGGCAAAAGUGAAGAUUUACCACACAACCCAUUUAUUAGCUACCCUUAUUCACUUUCCUUUAUUUCGAGCAGCAAUAACAAUAAUGGUAUUAGUCAUCAUCAAGUUGGCUUUGGACAGGAUGCACAGUUAUGGCAUCUAAAAACUUUUGAUCUUUAAGACACAUACUGGGAAUAAAGGAAACCCAACCCAACACAAUGCCUAUCACUAUCAAUAGUGUUAUCUUACUUUGCAUGCAAACCACACAGCUUUUUUUUUUUCCGAAAUUAAUGAAUAAUAUUUACGUAUUAUAACUUCAAGGUAACCUUAUAUUUUCUGUUUCUUCAGACAGAAAAAGAAGUGUCAAGCUAGAACUGCAUGAUGAUUGACGAAAAUAAAGGAUUCUGUAGAAGGAUAAGAAGGAUUUCUAAAUGCUCCUUCAAGUAUUGAAAGCUGAGCAUAGCUAUUUAAAGGUUUAGAUGAUAGCCUAGCUCCCUAGAUGCCUAUAGCGCACGUCUAAGUAAAGAAGCAUCCUGUAGGAAAAGCACAACGGAACAGUAAAUAAUUUGUUAUGUUUUACAAAACAAGAAGCUAUAACCUAAAUAAGGCAAAAAAAAAAAAGUCUAACAUGUCACCAGUCUAUGAACAAAUAAUCCUUGAAACAAAGGAAAAGGCACAAUAACCCAUGAGCAUGUAAAAUUCAUUGAUAAAAAAAACUAGAUGCAGAAUAAAGUAUAACAAACAUGUCUUUAUUUGAAACUUAAAAUGGUAAAGAAGAGAACGGAAAGGAUAAAAUCAGAGACUGAAAAUUGCAGUUGGAUACAGGGAUUUCCUUGUAUAUGGAGUCCCACCAAUCAUCCAUUAUAGUCAAACUUACAAAAUGAAAGUUAGCAAUUGUGCCGUUUGCUUCCAGCAAUACAGGCCAAGGCAUUAUUAAAGACCUAGUGGUAUUCAUUUCCCAGCAAUAAAUUAUAACCAAGCAAGUUGCAGUGUGCAGUCUCUGAGCUGACGGUGUAGCAAGUUAUGAGUAGUUGGGGAACAUCAGAACUAAGGUAAGAGCAAUGAAAUCAAGGGUAUUGGCAUAAUGAAACUGGCACAGGACCGGUAGGGGAUGGGCUUGUACUACAUUUUCUUAUUCAUGAAGCAUCACAAUUGGGUUUUCAAGUUGUCAAGACACAGCCUCUAAAUGACAUAUUUCCCAAUAGUGAGAACCCAUUAUUUGGCAACCUUUGUUAUCUAGUAAUUAUAACUCCUAUAUGGUGUCAUGCUGCUAUGCAGCUUCAGUGUCAAAGCAUUUGCCAACCUUUGAUCAGAAGAAGAAAAAAACUAUCAUAUCUUAAAGUAAAAUACAGCUGUCUAAAUACAAAACAACAGUUCCACAUAUUAUACCUGAACAUUCAGAACACUUAAUUUCAUGUUCUCAAAAGAACAUUAAUUUUGACAUACAAAGUUUAGUUAGCAGAUGACACAUUGCAGCAUGUUCAUACAACUAAGAUAAGUCUAUAACCUUACAUAUCAGACCAUAGAAGUACAGUUAUCUGAGGAUCUUAAGCUUAUAACCAAGUAUUUUUGAGAACCAGAAUGUUCACGAUAUCACCGCAUCCCCAACCCUCUCAAUAAACCAGAACCCGAACAAUUCAACAAAAGCAAUAGCAGAUCACUUGCUUAUCAAAGCUAACCAUGCACCCACCGGUGCCCCAACAAGCACAUAAGAAUCGAAGUUUGGUAGGCAUAAUUCAUGUAUAUAUUGCAAUUAGAUCAGGUCCGAUUACAUACAAAUAGCCAUAGCUUAGGUUAGGCUUCGGGUGCUUCUCGGUUUCGCACAGCAUGAAGGGAAGAGAAGGGGGCAGGAAGGGAAGAGAAGGGGGUUCCUAAAAAAAAAGGGAAGAGAAGGGGGCGGACAUACCAUCUGUUGGUUGGGUGAUCGUUGCCCGAGAAGGGACCGACGAAGACCUGGGCACGGCGGGCGGCGGCGGUGGCGGCGGGCGGCGGCAGCCUAUUCGUCGGGAUUCGUCGGGCAGAGAGAGAGAGAGAGAGAGAGAGAGCACGCUCGCUGGGAGAAAGAAUAGCCGAGUCCGGGGGCUGUUCGGCCGAGGGAAAAAGGCAAUCGCACGGGCCUUCUCCUGGACAUGGGCUGUUCAUGGUUUCAAACAUUUCUUUUGCAGAUUUUUUUUCUUGUUUCUUCAUUUCUCUUUUUUAAUCUUUAUUAUUAUAUUCUUCCUAUAAUUUGUAUUUACUCUUUUUUAUGAAAUUCGGAACAUUUUUUUGGUUUUACUAAACGCGGAACAUUUUUUGGUUUUAUAAACUAGAAGAAUAUUUUUUGGUUUUAUAAACAAGUGGAACCAAGAUGUUCUAUAGCUGUCUAUAGAGUAGUUUCAUCCUGUUCUAGCCUCCAUGCGUGUCAACACUUCGGCCAAUAUCGGUCAUUAAAUGACUAGCGUCAAAAAACGAGUGACAACUCAUUUGAUAUGCAAUUUUAUGAACUUGUAGAACUAUAUAUUAUUGAGCACACGUACUCACUAAAGCAAAAGUGGGCUAAAAAUCAUGAAGUCGUAGAGCGACCGGGUCAGGGUCACCCCUCCUCCAACAUGUGAUCUACUCUCCUUCCUCCUCCGUUCUAAACUGUAAGUCACUCUAGUUUUUCUAAAUACAUAGCUUUUGUUACGCGUCUAGAUAUACAUUAUUUUAUAUACAUAAUAAAAAUUAUGCAUAUUAAAAACAUAAACAACUUGCAAUCUCGAACGAAGAGAGUACAUAUAUAGAAACCACAUGAUCGGCGUAACAAUAUGAUCCAAACAAUUUAACAAGUUGAGGCAGUGAGUCUAACAAUUUGAGCGGCCUCGAAUGAGACGGUCAACCCCAUACCGGCCUAUUCAAUCACAUUAAUCAUCAUUGCUACCAACACCUAGUAAGUAAACAAUCAGGUGUAUUCAUGCGAAAGGAGAUGAAAUAUGGUGAAGAACCCAAUCCAGAUGACCUAAGUGGCAUCAAUGGGCCGGGGCUAAACUUUUGAGUCACUCCAUUCCAUACUCCAGCUAUAUGAACAGACCUGGCUAUAAUAAAUAUCCUACCGGGGCACCAUUCUAAUCUAACUACGAAAAAGAAGAAACAUAUAGCUAGUAGACUAAGCCCCACCACAAUAAACUUAGAAAGUAGGCCUAGAGGAGGUGAGAGUGCCAUAGAGAAUCCGUAGCUAUCAACUGCUUCUCAUGCACUUUCAGCUUGUUUGGUCCACGUACAGUGGCGGAGCCAAGAUUUAAAUCUUAGGUAUUCUCUUGCUAAUAUUUAGUGAGUCGUCAUUUAACUAUUGUCUCUAACCUCAUGAUCGACAUGCACCCUCUCCAAUCACCAUGUAGGCAUAGCAUAGAGAUAGAGGCCGUGACCGCGCUGCACGUCCUGCGCUGCCAGGAGCUUAGGACACUGGAAACCAGCAAUGCCGCCACUACGUCAUGUCUGGUCGGCUAGGGUUAGAGAUUUAGAAAUGAGGAUUAUGGAAUUGCCUCCCACUCAUGCCUCGUUCACUCACAUGAAAAAAUACUUUUAUUAUACAUACUGCCAUGUGCAUAUAUUCCCUUGUUUAGAUUGAAAAAGUUUUUGGAUUUUGACACUGUAGCACUUUUAUUUUUGUUUGACAAACAUUGUCCAAUCAUGGAGUAACUAGGCUUAAAGGAUUCAGCUCGCAAUUUACAAGUAAACUGUGUAAUUAGUUUUUAUUUUCAUCUAUAUUUAAUGCUCUAUGCAUGUGCCGCAAGAUUUGAUGUGAUGAGAAAUUUUGAAAAGUUUUUGGUUUUGGGGAUGAACUAAACAAGGCCUUAUUUUGGAAAAGAGUUAGAAAUAAGAUAUGAUUUGUACUAAUAUUUGGUGGCAUGAGUCAAUAUGUACAUGGUCUGAAGAUAAAUAAUUAGGUUCUCAUUUGCAGAAACAAUAAAAUAGAAUAAUUUCGGUAAUCGAGCUAACCUAGAACAUGUGUCGAAAAAUAAAUACAAAGAUAGAUUAAAAAGAAUGAUAGAGAAAUUUUAUUUGCUAAAUAUAGAAAUACUAAUAUAUUUGAUAUACAUAUAUAUUAAUAUAUCUAUAUAUACUUAGUGCAUAAAAAAGUUGGGUAUUCUUGGGGAAUACCCGGUGUAUCCGCCCAUGUGUUCGAGGAUGACACGAAGCAUCCUGCAGGCGCAGAGACUCAUCGCUACUAUAAACGCCUUCUAUAGAGACGGCUAGGAAGCAUCUAAGUUUCCGUAUCCACGAACCAAUAUUUGUAUAGGUGGUGGCCUAUUCGCCUCUAGCAAUCAAUUUGUAGAGUGGCCUGGUUAGAAGCUAAUAGGAUUCUGACUCAAAUUCCUAUUUAUAGAGACUUCAAAUCUUCUCUCUUAGCCCCAACUCUUACACUUAUGAGUAUGUAGAAAGCUGUAUAAUUUUUUCUAGGAUUUUUUUCUCACGCCAACUCACUCCGCGUUUUUUUUUUCCCCAUCCUGACUCUCUCACACGAUUUGCCGAAAGCACUUGACCCCCACCGGCCACCGCGGCCCCCAUCCUGGUGCAAUAAUCUGCGGAUCAGUCUACUGGAAUGACUACGAACGCGCGCCCUCCUGCUCAGUUCAUGUUCAUGCAUGUGCAGUGUAGGGUACGGUUUCUUUCUACCGCCACCAACUACCAUGACUGAUGACUCCAUUACCGUUGCAUGACCGCACGAGGCCUGUGACCUCACCCUGACUCGGAUCCAACGUAGUAGCUCGAUCGCUAGUACUUCCUGGAUGGGUCCGACGAAGGACCAUGAAUCGCCUGACUUCUUCCUGCAUGACCGCACGAUGAACCUAGGCCUUGUUUAGGCCUUGUUUAGAUGCGGAAAGAUUUUGGAUUUCGCUACGGUAACACUUUCGUUUGUUUGUGGUAAAUAUUGUUCAAUUAUAGACUAACUGGGAUCAAAAAAUUUGUCUCACGAUUUACAGGUAAACUGUGUAAUUAGUUUUUAUUUUUGUCUAUAUUUAAUGCUUCAUGCAUAUGUCGAAAGAUUCGAUGUGACGGGGAAUCUUGAAAACUUUUUGCUUUUUGGAGUGAACUAAACAAGGCUUUAGUUCCGAAAACCAAAAUUUUGGAACUGUAGCAUUUUUGUUUUUAUUUAUCUAACAAUGAAGUAACUAGGCUUAAAAGAUUCAUCUCGUGAUUUACAUAUAAAUUAUGCAAUUAGUUUUUAUUUUUGUUUAUAUUUGGUGUUUUAUGCAUGUGCCGCAAGAUUCAAUGUGACGAGGAAUUUUGAAAUUUUUUUGGUUUUUAGAUGAACUAAACAAGACCCUACUGUGUGUACAGUAUGUAUAGUAAGGCGGCGGGCCAUUAUCGAAAAGAAAAAUGACGGCGGGUGCCGCACUGCACGUUACAACGACCCACCACAAGUAACUCGAGCCACCGCAUAUGUUUACCUUGCCAUUUCUCCCUCACCAAACGCACUGAGAUUUUACGCUUGACUACAGCCGUGUCCUUCUGUGUCCAGAAAAGGAAAACACAGCUGUAUCACUGCAUGGGUGCUUGCUUGAUCUACACUCCUGAUUAGUGAUAACUAUGCCUAUGCGUUGCAGCCUGUUGUGGCGCAUGAUCACUAGACCAGAAUUCGGUCAGGCAAAAGAAAGCACAAGUUCAGAACAGCAGAGCUUAGCUUGAUUUGCCUGCGCUGCGCUGGCUGCUGCUGCUGCUGCUGCCGCCUUGUGCCAAUCUAUAGCGUGAAGCGUGUGCGGACUUUCGAUUGAUUCCUACAUGAAGGAGAAGCACGCGGGGCAGGCGCGAGCUGGCAAUGGAAUUUGCGACGUGGCGGCGCACGCAACUAGCAGAAUCUGCGAAAAGGGCCGGUCCAGCCAUGCAUGCUGACAGACAGGCGCCGCUUGUCAUCAGCCUGGCUGGAGUACUGUAGACUCCGUAGUAGUACAGUACUAUUAAAACCAAGUACGUGAAGACCACCACUGCCAAGGACCCGGAUACCAGGGCCUUGUUUAGUUCCAAAAUUUUUUGCAAAAUCGACACUGUAGCACUUUCGUUUGUAUUUGACAAAAAUUAUCCAAUCAUGGACUAACUAGGCUCAAAAGAUUCGUCUCGUCAAUUUCGACCAAACUGUACAAUUAGUUUUUAUUUUCAUCUAUAUUUAAUACUCAAUGUAUGUGUCUAAAGAUUCGAUGUGACGGGGAAUCUGAAAAAUUUUACAAAUUUUUUUAAACUAAACAAGGCCCAGGUCUAAUUAACACACCACCUCGACAUCGAAAAAUGGAAAAUCGAAACAAUGCCUGACGUGCAUGCACGCCAUUGAAGCGGUCAUUAUAUUGUUCACCAGGAAUUCCAGUAACGAAAUACUGUAUAGUACUGAGCAUCUCUCUGAACAUAGGCAUCUUCACGUUCACAGCUCAAAAACCUGGACGGUGUCGCCGCUGCUGAUCACUGCAUACACAGACCAGGUCGAGCCGACAGCCGAGACGCCGCGCGCGCGCGGUCGGCCUUCCAAGUGUGCGUCAGUGCGUGCAGUGCAGCAUGCGUGCCCGGCCCGCACACCAGCGUGCACUCUUCUGUCACUGCUGAUGCGGCGCGGACCUCAUCGGAUCGGGGCAGAUCACCGGCUCCCGGCCUUCCGGUUUGGGUGGACGCGGUCCACCCAGGAGGGUCCCAACACCAGCACAGCACACCACGCCUCCUUGCCAAAUCCAACCGGCGAACCCCCAUCCACUCCACCCCCAACCUCCGCUUCCGCUGUUGCUUUCCCGCUGGUCAUCCAUCCCACCAAACGCCCGCGAUUUUUUCUUCUUCAUCAAAUCAACAAAAAAAAAGAGAGGAAAAAACGAGACUCUGGCAGAGAUUCAUGGAGGACGACAAGCAAGGAAAACCGGGGGUGGGGGGGGGGGGGGGGGGGUGGGUUGCGCGCACGGCUGCCUGGCUAUAAAAGGCGCUCCACCCCCCGCUAGCUCACCAGCUCUCCACCAAGAGCUAUACCCCCCGCACCACUUACCUAACGCUACCUGCUUUUACACCGCGGCGGCCGCGUUGAGCUCGGCUCGAUCGAGUUCGCGUCCGUCCCAGAUCCGCCCGUCGUGCUCCUCCAUCGCUCGCGCAAAGGUUGGUUGCUGCCCUCGCCUCGCCUGCUCGUCUUUCUCCGAUGGGUCGAUCGAGGGAUCAAAUUCAAUCAGUUCGAUUGUGUUGUGUGUAAGAAUAAUAAUAACGCGGUGGGGAUCGGUCUUGUGUCGCCCGUGUGCAGAUGAAGAUCACGGUGCGGGGGUCGGAGAUGGUGUACCCGGCGGCGGAGACGCCGCGCCGCCGGCUCUGGAACUCGGGGCCCGACCUGGUGGUGCCGCGGUUCCACACGCCCAGCGUCUACUUCUUCCGCCGCAGGGACGCGGACGGGAACGACCUGACGGCCGCCGACGGCAGCUUCUUCGACGGGGCGCGGAUGCGGCGCGCGCUGGCGGAGGCGCUGGUGCCCUUCUACCCGAUGGCGGGGCGGCUGGCGCGCGACGAGGACGGCCGCGUCGAGAUCGACUGCAACGCCGCCGGGGUGCUGUUCCAGGAGGCGGACGCGCCCGACGCCACCAUCGACUACUUCGGCGACUUCGCGCCCACCAUGGAGCUCAAGCGCCUCAUCCCCACCGUCGACUUCUCCGACGACACCGCCUUCCCGCUGCUCGUGCUCCAGGUAAGGGAUCGAUCCAUUCCAUCCACCUAAGAUCCUCCGGGGUUCGGUCGGUUACUGCAUUUCGCUAGGAUUUUGAUGAUUUGAUCGGGGGGAAGCGUCGAAAGUUGAAACUCGAAACAGAGUGGGGUUUGCGUGAGGAGAUCGGGGUUAUCUUGCUGAGUCGCCGCCCGCGCACAACGUCUGGGUCAACGUAGGUAGACGCGUCGCAGUUGUUGGGUGGCCGGUGCAUCCGUGCAUGUGCGCCGUGUGGACAACAUAUGGCCGGGCCGCGGGCGCCGACGAGCACCCGGUCCGCGUGGAGACAAGCUGUCGACGAGCCUGCUUGACGUCGUCCCCUUCCUGCGACAGCCGAGGAGUGGACGGACGAUCUUCAGAUCUUACAUUUAUGGAAGUGGUCGCGAUUUUUUUUUUUUGAGAGUCCAACAGUUGCUUGGACCAAGCCUCAUAAAAAUGCGUCCAAGCCUGCAAAAGGUUUCGUUCUGCUCCAUGAAAGAAAUCGUACUUGUAGUCAAAUAGGCGUUGAAUAACGUGUGCCGUGCCACAAUUAAUUACUACUAUGUAGUACGUUAAUCUGUCACUGUUAGCGAUAAUGAUGGUUUGGUAUUUUGCACUAGUCUUCGGUGUACCGUGUUUCGAAAAGAAAAACGCUCUCUGCCUCGUCAUCCUUCAAAUAUCACUCUUCCAAAUAUAGGAAAUAUAUAAUUUGAAAGGGUAAAACAUUGUAGAUUUUUGCCUUUGAGUACUUCACUUUUGUAAUAAUAACGACAUAUUCUAGUGAAAUCAAUUACAAAGUAACCCUUGAAAUACGUGCCUGAGGUUGCUCUUGAACCUUCUCUGAUGGAUGCGGGUGCAUGCGAGCAUGUGGCUUUGGGUUGCAAAUUGUUAACCACAUGUAUGUAUAGCCUUGUUUAGUUCACCCCGAAAACCAAAAACUUUUCAAGAUUUUCCGUCACAUCAAAUCUUGGAGAUAUAGAUAAAAAUAAAAACUAAUUGCACGGUUUGCCUGUAAAAUCACGAGAUGAAUCUUUUGAGCCUAGUUAAUCCAUGAUUGGAUAAUAUUUGUCAAAUAAAAACAAAAAUGCUACAGUGUCGAAAUCCAAAAAAUUUUCGGAACUAAACAAGACCUAUGUAAUCUUCUUUGUUCUUUGUGCGUUUGCUUGCGUGUAAACAAUUAUUUCCCCUCUUAAUGAAAAAAACGUGUCUCAUGGCACGGUUGAGAAAAAAGAACGCCUUGAAAUAUUUCGAAAUCUCAAUAUGCCUUGUAAAAACAACUCGAGGGAGUACUAAAAACAUAUUUCUUCUUUUCUAGAAUAGCACGGUGCUUAUUUUUUAUAAACAUUUGUAAGAGUGAAAACUGUUGUGUUGCCACCUGGAUCUGGGUUGCAAAUUGUUUAACAUGUAAUCCUCUAGGCACCCUUAAUAGCCCCCCUGGGCCCUGGGCAGCCUCUGUUUGCUCCUCCACCCGGGUCUCUCCCUUCCGUCCAGUUUUUGAAUUUUAGGAAUAUAACUAUUAGAUUGAUAUUACUAAUUUUUGUAAUGACAAUUUUCCAUGAUGCGGAUUUCAAGUUACACUUUGUCUAUUUAUUUAUUUUAUAUUAUAUUGGUUUAUGACUAUAAACUUAUGAUUAUGGGAUAAUAUAUGUGAUUAUAGAUUUAAAGUAUCAAGUUUAAAUAUUGUUGGCUAAAUUACUAGUCAAACAUCGUAAAUUUUGAACCUUUUGAUAACAUACGUGCCUUAUAAACUGGACCGGAGAAAGCUAAAAAUAGAAUACAUAUUCGUUUUAUUGUCCUGGCACAAUAAUCAUUAGUUCAUCAAAUGAUUCUUAAGGAGCUUUUAGAUAUGCAUGACUUUUAGGUCCGCCUAUGGUCCCAUAGCACGGUUGGUGUUGUUAGGUCGAAACAUGACAUCCUUUUCCCUUCGAGAAAAGAAACUAUCGUGACAGCAACGUGCUAUACCACCUCGAGUAUGCAUAAUUAAGAAGCGUAUGCAUGACCAUGACCUAUGUCUAUGGCCUAUCCUGGCUUGCCUUCCCGGCAAUUCCGGCACCACCCGAUUGUCAUUUCGCAAGUUUCUUUCAACUAGUGGACAGGUGUCUAGCACCUACGGAGUGUAUCAUUUAACUACUGCACAUGAUAGCACCCUUCUGGAACACAUGGAUUGGAAACAAAACAACUUCUUUCAUUUGUUUAAGGUUCACAGAUCCUAUCAAAGUCGUCAUAACUCAUCAGGACCAAACCGCGCAACUUCCCGCGGUGUGACCCAGUAACCACUAACCACACUGAUGAGUCAUGAGUAAAGUGGCUUGCUGCUUUCGUUGAACAGCCAAAUGUAGUUGCUCGCUGCUAGUUGUUCUUUGCUUAGCAGGCACGCGUUGCUUGCCCGAUCAAAGAAAAUGAUAGCCAUAGAGCAACUCCAACCCACCUCCUAAACAAGUCUCUAUUCUAAAUCUAGGGACUUGAUUUAAAAAAAUCAACUCCAACCCACCUCCUACUUGGACUCCCAUUUUUCAUGUCCUCCUAAAUUAUAGUUUCAACCCCUCACAUCUAGAACCCCCUAUCCUACUUGUUUAGGAGGUGGGUUGGAGUUGAGUCUUAAUUUGAGCUCCUACUUUUUUUAUCAUAGCAUGUAAAUAAAAAAUUAAAGGCUUAAUUUAGGGACUUGGGUUGGAGUUGCUCUAACAACAUGAGCGCCAGAAAGAUGAUGCUUUAGACUUUUCUUGAGACAGCAAGCAAAGUUUGGUGGCUUCUUCUGUUCUGAUCUACAGGUCUCUUGCUUUGUAUAGUACAGUACCGUUCGUGUUUGGUCCAUACUUAGCUGUGCAUGCCAUGGUUAUGGGUGGCCUCAACUAUUGUGAAAACGUAGCAUGAAGCGAGCGAGGUGUCAAGAAACACCAAGAUUUGCCAACCAAAACUUAAUUUUCUGCAUUUUUGGGGGUGGGGGGGGGGGGGGGGUGUGCAAUAACCCGCUUGGGGUUUUGGUUACAUACUCACAUUGGAUUGAAGUCGCAACUUGCAAGGUGCCAGAGUUAAUUCGUCUAGUCCAUUCGGUUUUGGUGCGAUGAUUGUUUUCAUCAUGGUAGUUAGAUGUAUCUUUCUGAGCCCGCAAAAAAAGAAAUCAUUCUGAGAUGUUGUUUCUACUAUAAAACCAAUAACAAUAAUCCACAACUGCAAGUAAACUUCCGUACGUAUAGUUGAUGGAUGAUGGCUGCGUGUCGAUCGCUGUUUAGUUGAAGCCUUGCUAGGCAGCUGCGCAGCCAGGCAACAAUGUGGACCCACUCUGAUGAAAUCAUAGGCCUGAGCCUUUGACCGCUGCCUGUACCAAGCAGUUUACCACAAUCCCAAUCAGCUUGGGCCUGUUUAGUUUCCCACCCAAAAAUUUUUCAUCCAUCCCAUCGAAUCUUUGGACACAUGCAUAGAACAUUAAAUGUAGAUAAAAAAAUAAACUAAUUACACAGUUUAGUUAAGAAUUGUGAGACGAAUCUUUUAAGCCUAGUUACUCCAUGAUUAGCCUUAAGUGCUACAGUAACCCACAUAUGCUAAUGACAGAUUAAUUAUGCUUAAUAAAUUUGUCUUGCAGUUUCCUGACGAGCUAUGUAAUUUGUUUUUUUAUUAGUUUCUAAAAACCCCUCCCGACAUCCUUCCGACACAUUCGAUGUGACACACCAAAAAUUUUCGUUCCCAAUCUAAACAGGCCCUAACUUGUCGGUCCCUCAUACUCCAAUCUUCUUUUCUACUAUAGAGAAGAAAGAUUGCCCACCUCCUAUCUCAUUCAUUCACCUACCGGCAUCUAGUAUAUAUUGACUAUUGAUUUGGACUUCAGUCUCGUGCUCUCGUCUUGUAUUCUUCGUUUGAUAUGGACACAGUUGAAGAAUGCUUGUAUAUAUAUAGUUCAAAAAGGAAAAAAAAUCGACACCUAAUCAAAAUUCGCGCGCUUUUUUGCUCCAGGUGACCCACUUCAAAUGCGGUGGCGUGGCUAUCGGCGUUGGCAUGCAGCACCACGUAGCCGACGGCUUCUCCGGCCUGCACUUCAUCAACUCGUGGGCGGACCUCUGCCGCGGCGUCCCGAUCGCCGUCAUGCCCUUCAUUGACCGGUCCCUCCUCCGCGCGCGUGACCCGCCGGCCCCGGUCUACCCGCACGUCGAGUACCAGCCGGCGCCCGCCAUGCUGUCCUCCGAGCCGCCACAGGCGGCCCUCACGGCCAAGCCGGCGACGCCGCCCGCGGCCGUUGCCAUCUUCAAGCUCUCCCGCGCCGAGCUGGGCCGCCUGCGUUCGCAGGUCCCCGCGCGCGAGCGCGAGGGCGCGCCGCGGUUCAGCACGUACGCGGUGCUGGCGGCGCACGUGUGGCGGUGCGCGUCCCUGGCGCGCGGCCUGCCGGCGGACCAGCCCACCAAGCUGUACUGCGCCACGGACGGCCGGCAGCGGCUGCAGCCGCCGCUUCCCGAGGGCUACUUCGGCAACGUGAUCUUCACGGCGACGCCGCUGGCGAACGCCGGCACGGUGACGGCCGGGGUGGCGGAGGGCGCGGCCGUGAUCCAGGCGGCGCUGGACCGGAUGGACGACGGGUACUGCCGGUCGGCGCUGGACUACCUGGAGCUGCAGCCGGACCUGUCGGCGCUGGUCCGCGGGGCGCACACGUUCCGGUGCCCCAACCUGGGGCUCACCAGCUGGGUGCGCCUGCCCAUCCACGACGCGGACUUCGGGUGGGGCCGGCCCGUGUUCAUGGGCCCCGGCGGCAUCGCGUACGAGGGGCUCGCGUUCGUGCUCCCCAGCGCCAACCGCGACGGCAGCCUGUCCGUGGCCAUCUCGCUGCAGGCGGAGCACAUGGAGAAGUUCCGGAAGCUCAUCUACGACUUCUGAUCUCCGAGCUCCUCCCAAGAAGUCGUCAGUACCAUACCAACCAGUACGCGCAGCACAGAGAAGCAGAAGAAGCGGUAGCAAGAGGUGCAGGGAGGGUGAUUUUUCAGCUAUGAAGUCUGGAGGGAGUACUCCGUAGGUUGCAGCAAGAUUCUUUGAUUUCACACAUAGUUCCUGCACACUUUCCCGUUCUUGCCUGCCCCCUUUGGGCAGGGUGUAUACUUUUUUGUGCCGUUUGGUUUACGAGCCCCAGCAAUUGUAUGAUGAAUGAACAAUUUAAUACGUUCUGAAUGAUACAGAUCAAUAAGACUAAUUAACUUACCUCUUGAGUUUUUUUUUUGAUAUAGAUAAGCAUAGAAGAGUAUACAUAUGCAGGAGUGCAGGACAGUGGUACGAUUCGAGUUCGAUCGACAAACGAGAAAGUACAGCCUGAACUUAUAAUCUGGUCUGGACAUGAUCAUAUGACUGGGCCUUCUUUUGAACGUGUACUAGUUGACGAAUUGAGACAUCCCAAACGGGCCCGCUGAAUAAUUUGGGCUCUAGAAAGACACUGCAACGGAACGAAGUACAGUGCAAUACUCUUUUUCUCGUGGAAGUGGAACGUUGUCUCUUGUCUGAUUCCAUGGAUUGCAGCGAUCGGAACAGGUCGCACACGUCCCCUUUUUGUUUAUCAUAUAUAUAGUAGCCCGAACCACACGCGUGGACAACGUGGCAACAAGAAAGAUGAGGAUUAGGUCAAGACUCGAGUGGAGCUCCAUAUUGCUUGUUGGUGUUGGUGGCUGGUGGGUGUUCGCCAACCCUGGCCGGUUGCAAGUAGGUGACGACACUGACACGGGCUCCGUGUGGCCGGCCGUAGCUUCCUCCCCGCGCGGAUUACGAUUGUACUCAGGCUGCAGGGGUCCACGGCACGGACGCAAUUGGCGAUUGCACAGUCGAGGUUGGUGGUGUAUCGUCACCACUGUCUGCCCUCACCCGUACCAAACAGAAUUUUUACCGUCGUCAACCGGUUGGAUGGAUCAUCGCCGGUAUAUAGCGUAAAACAACGUAUGUAAUAAAUAUAUAUAUAUAUAUAUAUAUAUAUAUAUAUAUAUAUAUAUAUAUAUAUAUAUAUAUAUAUAUAUAUAUAUAUAUAAAGACUAAAGUGUGGACAUUUUUUUUGUGCGACAAUCAACUUCGGCUCUUCGUCCUGCCUCCUGCGAUCUCCCAUCCCUCGCACCUACGCUCUCGCUUGCAAAAAAAAAGGAAAGAACAAACCUCGCUCGUCACAUUCCUGCAAUCCCGCAGACUCACACCCCUCACGCCGCCCCCUGCUGCGUCACAGCGCGCCUCCGCCACCACCUGUCGUCGCCCACCUGCAUCGUCGCAGUGCGCCUCCGCCGCCCGCCGCCGCCUGCGAGGCCACCUUUCUGACGUUCUUGGAGAUCUUUGGGGGAGGAUUUAGGAUACUGGAGUCUCCCGGUGGCUUCCAAACAUGCGCUCCAAUUUCCUCCACUACAAAUCCGCAGCCCUCAACCAACCUGCCUCCCACGCCGCGCCGAGUCGUGGAGGCGCCAACGUCCCUGCGCCGCCGCCGUCACGGCCGGGGGGCAACAGGACAACUGUCCGGCAGCACCGUGCCAUCUCGUCCGCGACCUCAGGUUCAUCCGAAACCUCGCUAAUUCAGGCAGGAUCAAACCGACACUUGCAACCGACACUUGCAAUGGUGUGCUCCUUCCACCCCUCCACUCCUCCUAUUGUACAUAUGAAUUUGAUUUCCUACGACCUGCGAAUCCUGCCAUCUGUCGAAUGUGGGUUUUCUACAUGCAAAUCUAUCUAUAAGCAUCUCCAAUUUUCAAUUUUCCGAGCUAAUUUUUGUUGAAUUUUAUUUCUUCCUUUUUGGGUGAUUUUUGUGGAAUUUUUGUUCUUCCUUUUUGGAUGCGAAUUGGGGCGAAUUUAUUGAUGGGCUUUGCUGGUAGGAUAUGUGACAAGAUAUCUUUGUCAUCAAACCAUUUGAUCUAACCUUUAAUUUGGGAUUUUAGAAGGUUCCCCUUUUCUAGGGUUCCGAGAAACAUGACACUGUGGUUUGGAUUUCUUUUCCAUCGGUUUUGAUUUGGUUUGUUUGAUGUGGUUUCAAGCAUACUUUACCACCAACGGGUGUCGCUCCAGCAUCAACGCAGGUGCGCGCCUGGCCUUCGCCCUGCUGACCUCAGGCACUCCGUGUUCGCCGAGGUCGAGUUUUACGGAGACGUCGUCCUUUGUUUCUUGUGUGUAGAGGAACACUUGCUAAUCUCCAGAGCCUCUGUCUCCUGCCAACAGUUGGGCCGCCCUUGCCAAUCUCUGGAAUUAUAGGAUAGCCUCACUGUGCCCACAGUUUAUAAUCCCGAGCACCUUGCCACCAGCUAGGUAUGUGUCUCAAUCUUGAAUCUUGAUCUGAACUCAAUUCUCGAUCCGGUUGGGCGCCACUAUAGUCAUAGUUUAUUGUUUGCCUCACAUCUCAUAGAGUUUAGUUUGCUGCUAGACUUUUGUUGCAUUCUUUUUCGAUGAGCAUUGACGAUUGAUAUUGAUAUUUUGCUUGUGUAGGAAAACACAUGCCUAUGUGCAUACCUCUCCUGCAGCCAUGGUUAAACUUGCAUAUGUUUCGUCGGCCUUCCAUGCAUGCAGACAUCCAUCACCAGGUUCAAUGUGAUUGUUGUUUCAUGGUCGGGUUAUUUAUUGAUAGGCCUAUGUCAUCUCGAAGUAACUAUUGGUGUUGGAAUUCAGGUUAAUCUAUUUGAUAUUUUGCCAGGGCUAUUCGAUGGACAUCUCAAAUGUGUGUGAUCUGAGGGCUACUUUGCAGUAACAAAGUUAUUAGGUAUAUCUUGCUGCGACAGAUCAUCAUUUUACUAAAUGCUACCUACGAGAAUAGGUGUCAAUUUUUUUUAGAAAAAUCAGCUUGACCAAAUCUUUCUCUCCUUGACUUUAUCAACAGUAUAUAAAUGUUUUCUAAAAUUAAAUGUAGUUACUUUUUGUCCAUGUUGCCCCCUAAUUUCAGUGUUAGCUCUCAGUGAAUUCAUUCAUUUAGUGCUUUCCCCAAAAUCCACUAAAUCCUUCUAGAGUUGAUUUUUGUCUUUCUACAAAAAAUGGCUUCACCUAUUUCCUUCUAGAGGAACAUGAGGGUAUUUAACGCAUCAGCAUGCAUGCAACUCUUACUAUUUGCGGCAUGUAUGGUAGUAUGAUGUGGAAACACAAUAAAGAAAGCACUAUGUGAUUGUAAUGGUCUAGACUGUUAAUUGAUUUGCCAAAUGAUUUCCGUAGAUCUUAAAACUAAUACUGGUGGCACUUGGCAGUAUUAUGUUUUAUUUGUAAAAUAAAUUAGUAGUUGAUGGUCAUUGUAAUAUGAAGAAUUCUUGAUUGAUGGUGUUUGUGUGUUGUCACUUGUCUGCUAAACCAAGAUUCCAAUGUGACGACUAUGUAUCCUCCUUGGAAUGUGAUUUUAUGGACACUGAUAUUUAUGACCCUUAAGUUCUAGGUGUUGGUUCUAGAAUAAAAAAAUCACAUAGUACAUUUUCAUAUAUAUUCUUUCAGUUAUGUGGCCAUUGUUCUUUAGUCUAGAGUCCUUUGUAGGUGGUAAAAGGCCUGAUCUCAAAUUCAUUUUUUUUUCUCCUAUGCAUUUGAAGUAAUUCUUGUUCUGUAUUUUUGUAAGGAUUUUUCAGUAAAGGUUGGCUAACUUGGACAAACGUUCUCCUCUACAACAGCCUGAACUAAACCUUCCCUUUGCUGGCAUGCUAAAUGUUAAGAAAAUAAUUAGCAUAAUAUAUACAAUGAUCUGCUGAAUUUCUUUUCUGCACAUACCUAUCUUGUUUCUAUUCUUUUGUGUUUCUUCCAUGAUUCCUGAUCCCUGACGAUGUUAAAUCUUGAAUGCAUAUAGGAUUGGAGUGUAUGUUCUGUUUGAAUAGCCCGAUGUGAUCGGUGAUCCAUAUUGGAGUUCUGGGCUUCAGGCAAGGCAAAUUGCACAAGGUUAACUAAGGUAAUGGCUUUUUGACAUUUUUCACUGGGGUGCAUGCAGUUGCAGGACCUCUGAAUGCGUGUCUUCUUAUCACACUGAUUUCUUAAAUUCUACUUGCAUUACAUCUCCAUCUUUAUACAAAUUACUCUAUUUUAGCAGGACUACAGAACAUGGGCGAAGCAUGUAGAUUAAAGAAAAAUAGAUGUCCAGACUAUUCACAAUGAUGUUGCAACUUUUUUAGGAGGUUUUAUAAUUUAAUGGAAAACCUCCUUGCUAUUGUAUAUAGAGCUUGUCUGCCUUAUCUUCCUCACAUAUAUGUGUGUGUACCAACCUAAAGAAAACAAUAAGGCAAAGACCAAACAAGGCUUGUUCCCCUAUAAUAUGUACCAGAUCUGUUUUUUGAACUUGGCUAAAUUUGUUGGAUUCAUAAUCAUGGCUAAUAGUAAUAUUAAUAUAUGUUGGCUGAUAAUAAAAAUAUUUCAUGGUAAAUAGGGAUGGUUUUGUACUAAUAAACAGCUAGAACCUAUAAUUUUGUUCUUACAGGUAAACUUCUAUUGUCCCUGAGCUAAGAUUGAUUUAUGUCUACUCUCUAGCUAACUCUUGGCAGUUGGCACUAAUUUUUAAUGGCAGUAAUGUGAGCCUUCCAAACUCCUAGAACCGAGAAAUGUGGGCACCAAAUGUGGACCUCAAGUUAGUUGCCAAUAUUACCAAGAUUCAGGCAGUAAUCAGUAAGAAGGAACUGACAACUUACCCCCUUGACAUGUCUCUGUGUAACAACAGCUCACAAAUUCUAUGGUUGAACCAUACAAGGCAUGUCUCCCUUUGCAUUCAGAUAUUUUUAAUGUUUAGAAGAUAUACAAAAGUUAUGAUAUUUUAUACCUAUGCUUAUGUAAUUAACAAAACAACUACAAUUUAUCUCUCCUUUAUGAUAAUUUUAAAUCUAUGUAAUUCUAUGCUUGAUUACCAAUGCUACAAUGCACAUCAUCAACAUUUUCAUUCGAUUUGCAUUACUUAAUUCUAUUUUUGAGCGUAUCAGCUGAGUGGGAGCUUAACAUUGCUUCACUUAUUGUGAUAAUAUUUUUUUUCUGUUGUAACAAACAACUAUGAUCAUAGCCAGAUGCUUUCCCUUAUGCAGAUCAAGCACAUUAUUUGGCCAGAAAAAUUGAUGGACCUGUAUAAACUUUUUUUGUCAUUCUAUUAUGAAUGCUUGAAAAUACGAAUGACUAUCAAAUUAAAAAUUAUCAUUUAGUACAAAAAUGGACAGAAAUGUAGUAUAAAAACUACGCCAUGAAAAUUCAAAACACGUUUAAAUUUAAAAUUAUCAUUAUGUGAGCAUGUGACGCCACGCUUUGUGACUGAGUUAGUUUCAGAAACUUUAUUUUUUAGAUUAAAUGUCACUUUAAUAUUGGUAUUUAAUUUUACGAUGUUAUUAUUUUAUAUCGUGCGAUCCAUGUGUUUUUAUACAAAAUGUUAAUUAUCCCGUAGCAACGCACGGGCACUCUUCCUAGUAUAUAUAUAUAUAUAUAUAUAUAUAUAUAUAUAUAUAUAUAUAUAUAUAUAUAUGGCAAACGCUUUUACGUAAUUCUCAAAACACGAACCUAACAUAUAUUUUCUGCCUAUACAUGUCGUACUCUAUUUACCCAUACUCCUUGUACCCACACUCACAUUAACACAGCCCCUCUUAAAAAAUCAUAUUAUCUCUGCAAUUAACAUAGAUGUACCCUUGAUGGCUUCUACAAAACUCGUCUGAUUCCAACAACCUAUGGAAUAAUAUACAGUAACAAUACAUUUAUUGUAGUUCUUUAUAGACACAUUUCUCCUAAUUCCUGACAGGUACAUGACCACAUCAUCCUGACACCGAGUCAUCGAUCAGCAACUCAGACGAUGAUGAACAAGGAUGGGAGUUUGAUCUCAACAUGAACCUUGGUUUAUCUUACCGGCUCUAUCACAGCCCAACAAAUUCUAUAGUCCACGGACUCGGUGCCUUUAGUAAUAUUUAGGCCUACCACUAUCUGGUACUUUUAUGCACUGCAUUUUGCAGGAAUUAGCCUACACAUCCUGCUGAUGCUAUGUAAUAUUGCUACCUACCACUCUGCAGUGCUUUCGUAUGGCCACCAAGACUUUGUGUAUGAUAGACCUAAUAUCUAUAGCUGUUGCAUAAACUGCUCUAUAUACAUAGCUUUGCUCUCUGGUGUAUAUAACAUUAUUUCAUAUCCGAGCAUGGACAAAAUGUACAUAGAUAUCAGCAAAGGCAUUCUAUAGAUAAACAUAUACAUAGUAUUAAUGUGUGCAUCUUCUCCAAUCAACAAUCAUCAGUAUCCUUUCUAAUCGUGCGCAUGGGCGCGCGUUUCCUACUAGUAUAUGUAGUAGCCCGAACCACACGCGUGGACAACGUGGCAACAAGAAAGAUGAGGAUUAGGUCAAGACUCGAGUCGAGCUCCAUAUUGCUUGUUGGGUGUUGGUGGCUGGUGGGUGUUCGCCAACCCUGGCCGGUUGCAAGUAGGUGACGACACUGACACGGACUCCGUGUGGCCGUAGCUUCCUCCGCGCGGAUUACGAUUGUACUCAGGCUGUAGGGGUCCACGGCACGGACGCAAUUGGCGAUUGCACAGUCGAGGUUGGUGGUGUAUCAUCACCACUGUCAGCCCUCACCCGUACCAAACAGAAUUUAUACCGUCGUCAACCGGUUGGUUGGAUCACCGCUGGUAUAUAUCUACUGGCUUCUCGCAUAUCAUUUUUUUUGUUUUUUUGGCGAGAAAUAUCACUACUGGUUUUAAGUGAACCGGCUAUGAUGCCUAAUUGCAUGUUACUGUUGCAGUGCACGAUUGAUUCUGUUUGCUUCUAGUUCCUAGCUGGUAAUGAGAAUGGAGCUGUCAAGUUCCUUUUUUUUUCCAUUUUUACAAAAGCAAGUUAAGAUAUCGGGCACCGACAUAUACAUAAAACCAAAUUUUUUUAAAAAAAAACAUUACAUAGAACCAAUUACAUGUGCACACAAGCACAUAUGGUAAGACAAAACAAGCAUUAAUCUCAGCUGCAUGGUUCUCAAUAUUAAGAACCAUUUAAACCACUUAUCUUGUGGGGCUAGAUUGAUGCUCACACCAGUGGACUCGUCCAUAUGUUGUUGCUAGCAAGUCAGCAGCAAACCUUCAGAAUACUUUGUUAAAUUUGGAGUUCUUUGACCAUGCAUGCAGUAAGCCAAAUGAGUCCAAUUGCAACAUUCAUGUCUCUUUACAAAGCUCAACUUCUUCUCAAAGUUUAGUAUUUGAAUUACAAAACGCAUCUGGGAUACAUGUAGCACACAACAUCAUGGCCACUACUGAUGGAUGAGCUUGUUAUGGAUGCAAACGAGUUUAUCUACAAACCCACAAUUAUUUAUGGGUUCGCAGACAAAACCGCUCGUAUCCCUAAAGGUGUUGAGGUAUUAUUAGCCCUGCUAAUGGUUUUGAGACCGGAUUACUUUGUUUUGGUGGAGCAUGGAUUGAGAUUUCAGAUGACAUGUUUAGGUUUGGACCUUCACUAAAAUUUCAUAGGUUUGAAUUGAAACCGGAAGCUCAAAAUAUGGUUUGAAACUAUAAGCCUAAAAUAUAAGUUAAACCACAUGCUAGGAUGUACGUAUACCAUUAGGCAACAGAGCGGAUGAUGUGGUACAAUAUGAAAGUCCUAGUCCUAGAGAAGGAGGCGUAGGCCCAGCCUAACUGCGUAGUCACUGUCGUUGAUCGAGAAGAAAGCUAUUGCGCAAUCAGUGUUGAUGAAGAUAGUGACGAUGGCAAACUAGCUCGGCGACACUAUUGGCAAGUUAUUAUUCUAAAAGUCAAAGAACCACCAUAUUCAAGCAUAGCACUACAGACGACUACUUCCAAGGAAAUCUAGUCUAGUGGAUAGCAGAAGUAAAACGAAAGGCAGCGUGAUGAGGACAUUGCUGUUGUAAACAACCUUUACAACGACCAAUUACUUAAGGUCGUGCACGUCACUUAAGUCAUGAAAUGAAUUCAUUACUCUCACUUUAUACUAUUGUUUCUAAGGAUGCUAUGCUAUUGAAUUCUUGUGAUAGUUUGAUUCUGAGGAAUAUGGGUGUGUUGCUUAUGAACAUGUCAAAGUGUGGAGCUCUGAUUAAUUUUAACUCAGAGUUAGAUUUUGUCUCAGAAUCAGACAGCCAUGCACUAAAUCCAUGAUAACUUCUUGUAUAGAGUCUAAUUAAGGUGAUCUCGAAUGUGUUUGAGAGCAAGACAAUAGUUUUGUUUUGGCUCAGGUCUAACUCUAGAUUCGUCAUGGAACAUUCUUUGUGAAUAAAACUGCGUGGCGUGUCACUUAGACCAAGUUAAGCCUUGUAAGCGUGUUUGAUUAAGAAACACUAUUUCCACACAUAAAAAAGGUAAGUUAUAAUAAUAUAUUUCAUAAUGUUUCUGAUUGAGCCUAGGUUGUCAAAAGUUUUAUUUUUUUUAUAAAUUUGAUCAAAUUUGAAAUCAAUUGACUUAGGUAAAAUGAAAUACAUUUUAUUUGGGGACGAAGUGAGUAGCAUAAAUAAAAGAUUCUUUAUUUUUUUUCUAAAUUAGGGCCUGUUUAAUUCCUAAAUAAUGCAAAUUUUUUAUGACCAAAAUCUUUUCGCUAUAUUUUUUACAAAUACAAACUUUACAGGUUGGUGUUUAGAUACAUACCAAAUCUUUUGGUGCAAAUAAGUGUGAGAGCAUAUAUGUCACCCAAGAACAUUUACACGGUUUUAGACCUCCUACUUCGCAAAACACAAAAGUUUAUAGGAUAUCUUUUUUGACAACUUUAAAGUGUUUAGUUCUCAAAUGUAAAAAAGUGAUCUGAAUCCAAAAUAUUUUAGCAUUUUGGGUGUAACUCCUUGUUGUGAAAAUUUAACACGCUUCUUGUGAAUUUAAUGUGCAAAAUUAUUGCUGAGAGUGCUCGAGAGUCUCUCCACUCUUCGGGAAAAUACAAAAGCAAGCAAGGAGCCAUCUCGAAUUCUCGAUCCAUUCCCCACCCAUCCAUCUGAAGGCGAGGGUUAUCUCGUACCUCCCCCGCAGGCCGCAUCCGAGCGCAAACAAAACUCCUCUCCGCGCCGGCCCUCCACCGGCGACCGCGCGCCCAUGGCUGCCUUACUCCGCACGGCCGCGGCCCUCGCGCCCCCGCCCUCGUCGCCGCUGCCCGCACGGGAGCCGCGUGGGCGGUGCCUGCGGCUCGCCUGCUCCCGGCGCGCGCCCGCCCGACCGCUCCGGGCGUGGCUGCUGCCGACUCCGCACGUCUUCUGUCGCGACGGGGCCCGGUUCCGGCGCCUGGCCGCCACCGAGGCCGACGAGGCUGCGCAGACGGCGACGCAGGUGAGGGUGGGUGUUCUGGUGGCCGUAGCUCGUGUAACCUCUGUCGUUCCUCUGUGUCCAAUGGACGGGUGGUUGCUUCAAUUGUGAAGAAUAGCUGUGAGAUUCCUGAUAUCGUUAGCGUCCUAGUAAAUUUGAAGUAGAAAAAUAUGAACCGGAGGUGACAUGUUGUUCAUUCUUUGAACAACAGGGUUGCCUAUGGUCUGUUUAGUGAUGGUAAUGAUCUGCAUUCACUUCUGACAACGAAUUAUUUGCUCUUACUUGUUUGGAGUAGGUAGAUACACAAUUUUUGUCAAAGCUACCGCUUCUUUUCGCUAUGUUUUGAUUAUAUGGCUGGGGAUACAUAAGUGCUGUAAUUUGGGGGAAUAAGCAGCUGGACCUACAUUCUUGAGUUGUUUUAUGUCCAGUUAAAAAUCUUUCAGUAUGUUGUUUGGUAAAUCAUGAAGAUUUCUGCUUUGCCUUCUUCAGUGCCCUGUAAAGACCUUGGUUAGUCAUGAUUAGUGAUUUUUAGGUGGUCCUCAAGAAGAUCCUGAUUUAGCAAUGUAGGACAGUUGUGAUACUUAAACUAUAUAGCCUCGCUGUCCAUGAUAGUUAUAUUUUCGCUGGGAAACAUUCGGAAAUUCAUGUUAAGUUAUGCUAAAUUAUGAUUCAUUUUCAAUAUAAGCUUGUUGGCUUCAUAACUCACACUCACUAGUCUAAUGUAAAUUUCUUUUGAAGUUUGAUCAAUAUUAGAGCGAGUAUUGGAUAGGACUUUUGCAAGUAAUGACUGCCAAAGUUUCACUAAUUCGAAAGCAUUAGCUAUCUGUUAGAAAAACCAGGGUGCUGCACUUUUAUGGAAAACCUUGGAAAAGUAGGGUAGUCGCAUCAGUGGUGCAUCUUUGUUUAGUGGAACUUAUCUGUACUUGUAAAAACACUUUCAUGUGAUGCUGCCACUCUGAUGGUGUGACAGCAAUAGCAGUACCCAGCUGCAUGCCUGUGCACCUGUGCUAAUUCAUGAAGAUGCUAGUCUCCUGUUUGAUCCUUGAAGUAUAGCAAAAUGCACAAUCUUGUUGGUUGAGGACAUUGAUUUGUUGCAUUUCACUAUAAAUGCUAUUAUGUUAUUAUGUUGGAAUUUUGUUAGAGGUCUUUGGAUUUGAAAAGUUAUAUAUCGAAGCCUUCAUUCUAGCUUUAGAUACAGUAUGGCACUGAUUUGUGUAACGCCUUUACAAUAGUUAAAUUGCAGUGCAGGGAUGCAAUCUUUCUGCAGAUUACAUGACAGCAACAUAAUAAUUUAAAGGAAAAUGUUCUAUUAUGUUAGGUUGGAAUUUUCUUUAAAGAUGGCAUAGUGCAACAAUAUCUUGCUUUCCUUUGAAUGCUUGUUUAAAAGCCGAAGAAAUUCAUUAUCAAUUCUAUCCACCUCCAUGUACAGAUAAUCUGUCUAUUGGAUGCUUGGGCUUUUUUGUAUGAUAUUGUUUUUCUAUGCUGCAGGAGGAUUCAGAAACCGAAGUUACUGGAGAUAGUGCUGCAGAUGAUGGUGCUGGAAGCACAGAUGAAACUCCAUCUAUUAUUGUGACAACACUGCAGUCAUACAGAGAAGCUCUGAUUAAUGAUGAUGAAGCAAAAGCUGCUGAGAUAGAGUCCUUUUUACUUUCUAUCGAGGAUGAGAAGAACUCUCUUCUGAACAAAAUCACUGCUCUAAAUGCCGAACUAGCAACUCAACGAGAGCGUAUCUUGAGGAUCAGUGCUGAUUUUGACAAUUUCAGGAAAAGGACAGAAAAUGAGAAGCUUAACAUGAUGGAAAAUGUGCAAGGGGAACUUAUAGAGAGCUUUUUGCCUGUUCUCGACAACUUUGAAAGAGCAAAAAUGCAAAUAAAGGUGGAAACAGAGGGAGAGGAGAAAAUAAAUAAUAGCUACCAGAGCAUUUAUAAGCAAUUUAUUGAGAUUCUGAAUUCACUGGGCGUUGAAGAUGUCGAAACUGUUGGCAAACCAUUUGAUCCUAUGGUAAGCUAGUCUUAGCAAAACAUCAUCUAGACUAAAAUUAAAUUCUGAGAUUUGCAUAUUCCACUUAAAGUUUUGUUGCUACACUACAUAUCUACUCGUACAUUUUUAGUAUUUCAGUGUAAUCAGGUGGUAGAGUCUAUUGACUAUUUGACUUCUGCAACAGAAAUGCUAAAUCUUUAUAGCUGUCCACAUCCGAGCAUUUGCAAGGGUCUUUUUUUUUCCUUUUAAAAUGAUUCCUUAUUGCACCUUGUGUUUCAGCUUCAUGAGGCUAUUAUGAGAGAAGAUUCAUCGGAGUACGAAGAGGGGAUCAUUCUCCAGGAAUUUCGAAAAGGUUUCAAACUCGGGGAAAGAUUACUCCGCCCAGCAAUGGUUAAGGUAUCUGCAGGACCAGGCCCUGAAGUGUCUGCAGGACCAGGCCCUGAAGUGUCUAGAGAUGAUGACCCUACAGUUGUGGAAGACAGUGUGGCACCUCAAAAAAUUGAAGAUGUUGAAGACGACGGUGUUGAUGGCGAUGCAGAAUAGGUGGAUGGAGCUUAAUCUGUGAAUCAACAAGAACAGGUCCAGAAAUUUUGAUGCUUUUCUGGAGCGUGCCAAGCAGGUAAUAGGAUAGUACCAAUCCGUUCAAGGUAGAGUUAGGUCCCCAGAUGUGCUGUUCUUCCCUGCUGCUGACAUGGGGUGUUGGUGUUGGUAUUGCGACAAAAUUUGUGUUCCUACCCGCCGUGGUCGACUUUUUGUUCUUACAAAGAGGAUUUUCAUGAUUCAUUGAUGCAACAUGAUAUUGUAAGGACUAAAUUGACUCUGAUUUGCGAUUGAUCCUCUCUGAAUUCCAUCGUUUGUACAUUCCGAUCGGAACGGCAGUGCCCGGGGCAAACAGAGUGCUGGAGUAUAUAGCAUGAUAAUUUAGAAAGAAAAUCGGACAUUGCCAAGCUUGCGAGUUCUAACAGAGAACUAUAUGAUUAAUAAUUACUAUAUCUCAGCAGCAUUUCAUGUUGGAAAUUCCUUUUACGAGUAGACGGAAAUGGAAAUCAGAUCACCGUCAUACUUCUAUGGGCCUAAUCCCCCCAAUGUGGGCCUUAACACCCUUGCCCCCAUGCCCAGCCCACGUCUUAUAUAUAGAGAGAGAGCCAUAAGAGGCAGCUGCCACCACUAACCCGAUCGGGUCGUCGCGCGCCUCGUCUGCCCCAACCCGCCGCCACGCCCCGUGCCCUACUUUUGCACCAGCGUUGGCCGAGCUCGUGACCGCCGUCGACGUCGAUCUCGUCCGUCAGCACUGUUCUUCCGCCCGCGAUCUGCAGCUGCGUUAUAUAUACUUGAGCCGAAGUCGUGCUGCCGCCUGCCGCCGGUGAUUUUCUUCUCUGGACACCUCUGCCGUCUAAGUUUUGCCUUGCCGCCUGAGUCAGCAUAUGGAUCCUGAAGUUUUGCCUAUAUGCAUGGUUUAAUCUAUUCUAAGUUUCUAACUGUAUGUGGUUAAGAGUACGUUAAUUAGCCAUUUGUUUAAUCCUUCUUCAUCCAACUGUUCUAACUCAGCCAGUCCAAUAAUUCUUUUGAUAUAUUAUUAGUUCAUCCAAUGAUAUAAAGACCCCUCUAUAUUCGUGUACUAGCGUUGUUUUUAGCAUAUACUCAAUCCAUCCCAAAUUGUAAGUUGUUCGACUUUUUUAAUAUCAAGUUUGAUCACUCGUCUUAUUCAAAGUUUUGUACAAAAUAUCACUUUUUUAUUGUGUAUUGGUUUAUUAAUAAAAGUUCUUCAAGAAUGACUUAAAAUUUGACUAUAUUUGCACAAAUUUUUUGAAUAAGUCGAGUGGUCAAACUUGGGGUAAAAAAAGUCAAACGACUUGCAAUUUGGGAUGGAGGGAGUAGCUUUGUAUAUAUUGCUGCAAAGGUUUAGAAAUUUGGUAAUGAUAUUUUCCUAAACCAUUGUUCUGGCAUAUUAUUGUGUAAAUGAUUAACUAAACUAAACUAAUAGUUUGCACGGUCUAAUGUUAGUAAACUUUUAUUAGAAAAUACCUUUUUACCAUGCUAAAUAUAUAUAGCUCGGAAUAUUUAUGUAAUGAUUAUUGCGUUCUUCUACCAUCGUAGGGACAUGUUUAGCAUUUUAGUAUUCCUUUUCCAUUUUGUUUCUAUUUCUUGGUGUACUAUUUUAUUUGUCUUAAUUUGUUUGUUGUAUCUAAUAUAUAUGCUCAUGUGAUCGUUGUUUGGUACAUUUAGAAGCAGAGCAACUGGUGAACAUUAUUCAAGAGCAAGAUUUUGAAGACGCAACAACAACAAAACAUUAUACAAAGUAAGUGUCCUUGAUCUUUUUGAUAUCCCAUUUAUCAUUGAUACAUACUGCAUGCAUGUGUGAGUUACUCAUGAUGACUUCAUAGGAUGUACAAUCUUCCUUGUUAGCUAGGUAUAUGAAGAGUAUUAAAUGCUUAGUUGCUUUACCUUUUAUUUACGACAUAUGAUGAUCUUAUAAAUUGUUGAUACACCUUAUUAUUGUAUAUGGAAUUGAUGGUGAUACUUGGUAAUGAAUUUAAUUGGAACAUGGAAUGAACAUCCAAGAAAACAUUGCAUCAACAUUUUAGUAUUCCUUUUCCAUUCUAUUUCUAUUGGACAUUUUAGUAUUCCUUUUUCAUUUUGUUUCUAUUGCUUGGUGUACUAUUUUACUUAUCUUCAAUUGUUUAUUUGUAUCUACAUAUAUAUAUGCUUAUGUGAUCUAUGAUCAUUGUUCGCUAUGUUUAGGAUAGUAAGUGGUGAACAUUAAAGAGAGAUUUUCAAGACUCUAAGCAGCAACAAAAAAAAUUAUAAAAGGCAAGUGUUCUUGAUCAUUUUGAUGUCUCAUUUAUCAUUGAUUAUAUACUGCAUGCACAUGUCAUACCUCAUAAGGACUUCAUAGGUUCUAGAAUGUUCCUUGUUAGCUAGGAUACAUGAACAUAGAUUCUUAGUUGCUUUAGCUUUUAUUUACGAUAUAUGAUUUUAUAAAUUGUUGAUACACCUUAUCAUUGCAUAUGGAAUUGAUGGUGAUACCUUGUAACGAAUUUAAUUAGAACAUGAAGUGAACAUCCAAGAAAAGAUUGCAACCACACGAACUCAUCAUUAGUUUUGCCUAAUUAAUUAGAGGAUCCUUGUGUGGACAUUAGUUUCAUACUAACAUGGAUAUGGAAGAAGGCUUCUAUAUUAGGUGGCCUUUGGAUAUAGGAGUUUUCUCCUAUGCUUGCCUAAAUCCUAGGUAUGGGAGAUUGCUUCUACAACUUGUGCUCUAUAAACUAAUACGCUUCGAGGGACCCUUUGGAAAGGCCUCGUAGUGAAACCUUGCCUAACUUUGGAAGUGUUUAAUAAGUUGUCCACCUUAGGAAAACUAGUAUCAUGUCAUGUGGAUAAAAAUCUACAACCUCUAAGAGUGUCUAAAACUAAUAUACUAAUUCUUCUCACGGUUAUGAGUGACCUAGAUCUCGCAUGUUAUAUUUAUAUUAAUAUUAAUUAUUAAUUUUUAUGCUAUGUUUCAUAUAUGCUUACUUUAUGUUAUUUAACUUAUUUAUAUUUAUAUGUAAUCAGCUAAUGGUUUUGGGAUAACACACUUUAUUAAUGAAAUGUGAUGACUAAUAAGCUUACUGGAGUAUAACUAGUGUUAGUUAUUCCUUGUUUUAAGCAUGUGAAUAUCAUUCCCUAUGCAUGCUGAGUACGAUGAUAUUCACGCUUGCUUUAUUAUUAUUUUGGAAAAAUACUGAAUGAGUACUUAGAUAGAGGAGUCUAGGCAUAUGUGUUCCAUAGUAAGCUACCUAUGGAAGAUUAGAUGUUCCAAUACGAGUUAGUUUUUGAUGUGUUUGAAUUAUUUUUGUUAAUGACUUUGAGUGAACUUUGUAAUAAUUAAAUUAUUUUAUUUAAAGCAAUAUUUAUAUUAUUCACUAAUGAUGUCAUUGUAUGGGUGUAAAACUGAUUCUGGUGCACAUAUAAUCCACUUGGUUCUAUUCUUAGAAACUUUUGCUAUUUUCUGUUACACUAUAUCCUUAGCCUUAUUUUUUUAUCCCCAACUUGUUGCUUGUUAAUUCAUUCCUCUUGUGUUUAUUCCUUGCCUCAACAAGCUUUUAAGACUAUCUCUUACCUCACUCUUUUGUAUCCUAAAGAUGGCUACAACUUAUUGGAAAAAUCCUAGGAGUCUUUUUUCACCAUUUAGUCUAAAGAAACACUUAGUUUCAAGCACAUUUAGUAACUAGUUUAGGCUUGCUUGUGUAUUUGUUAUCAUGUUUAUGCAUGAGCUGCAUCUUUGUAAAGUGUGUCAUGUAUUGUAGGUUGUUGUCCAUGACAACAAAAGUUAUUGUUAGCUACAUUCCAAAUUAUAAGACAUUUUAGCUUUUCUCUAAUCAAGAUAUAGUGUAUAUCUAAAAAUGCAUAUCAAAAGUUGUGUCUAAAAAACCAAAAUCUUUAUAAUUUGGAAUGGAGGGAGUGAUUAGUUGGGGGGUUUAAUCUUGUUAUUAUUUGAAUCAUGUUAUGUGAUAUUCUUGUUCUUUGUAUCUAAUUUUUUAUACCAUGCUAUGAUAUCUUGCAUUCUAUACCUUAUUUUCACACGUUAUAUCUUGCUCAUACCCUUUCCAUGAUCACCCUCUUUUCACCCAAAAAGAUGGUUAAUACAAUGAGCAACACUGGAGGCGCAAGUAACAACACUGGCAACAAGAACCCACCAUCUCCUUUGGCCCCUGUGACAAUGGAGAAGAUGAUGGCUAUGCAGACUUAGAUUUUGCAAGGAAUGGUUCAGAUAUUGACUUCUUUCCAGCAAGCUCAAGCUCAACAGAUGCAAACUCCACCUAGGGAUAGUCAUGGAGAAUUUAUGAAGGGUUGUCUGCCGAUUUUUGAUCAUUGUUCUGAGCCUAUAGAAGCUGAUAAUUGGCUCAAAUCAGUGGAGAGGCACCUAGAGAUCGCUCUGUGCAAUGAUACAAAGAAGGUCUUAUAUGCUUCUGGACAGCUUCAAGGAGCAGCAUUGGAUUGGUGGGUCUUCUACACCCGCUCUCAUGCAACUCCAGCUAAUAUCACCUGGCAGGAGUUUAAGGAUAGCUUUAGAUCAUACCAUAUGCCACCAGGACUAAUCAAGUUGAAAAAGAAGGAGUUUCUGAGUUUAAAGCAAGGAUCCAUGUCUAUCAGUGGGUAUCGAGAUAAAUUCAUUCACUUAUCACGUUAUGCCCCUAGCGAGGUGGAUACUGAUGAGAAGCAAGAUCACUUCAUCGAAAGGUUUAGACCUUGGUGUUCAGUACCUACUAGUAGCUCACUCAUUUGACAACUUCGAGCAACUCGUAGAUAAAGCAUUGGUAGUGGAGAACAAACUACAUGAAAUAGCAGAGAAGAGGAGAAUGACAUUCCAUAGUCAAAUAGAUAACAGUUCUCACAACUACCUUGUCACUCAAAUGGGAUCACAUGUUUUCCCUAAAGAUCUAUGAAAGCCCAGAUCAAGCUCAACCCCAACUCUAUAGUACACAAGUGUUCUGUCCAUCAUCAACUAUUUAUCCUCAGGCAAUGUCCAACCGUCAGAGUAUUCAAGCAAAAAGAGCUUAUUUCUACUCCAAGCAGGAAGGGCAUUUCAUCCGCAAAUGCCCAAACAAGCGUUUGCAUCAAGCUAAAAGGAAGGCUAUGAGGCAUAACAUUAUUAAAGGUGGCAACUAAAGAUGCUUGUAGUGACCAAAACGUUGCAUUUAGUAUGUCCUCAUCAACACAAUAACAUUUGUUUGUUUGGAAUCAGGAGCAAUGUAGCUUUGUACUUGCUAAAUAAAUGGUAUUAAAUUUCUUUACCACUCAUAUAUUAACCUCAUGCAAAUAUGAAGAGUCAUCUUUUGCUAGCCUUUACAAAUUUGAAAGAUGAGAUUCUAUUAAGGGGUAGUUUUGCCAUAACUUAUUCUUUUAUUUUGAGAUGGGAAUAAAAAACACUAAUAUGGUCUUUUUCUUUCAAACUUAAAUGCACGACCUCGUUAACUAACUCUAAUGGUGCACUCUCUAGGAUAAGUGGAGUUAUCUAGUGACCCAUUGAAAACGCUAGUGUAAUGUUCAAACUGGUGCAAAUGAGUCACAUUUACUCUUCAGUGUCUCUAAAGAACAAUUCUAGUGAGUGUAAAGACCACACUGAACUUAUUUUCUCUAACCUUUUCAAAUGGCUAACUCUAAACUAAUUUCCACAUAAAUACGAACACAUUUAGCACUGAGGUAGCAUUUUUAAAAUAUUUUGCAAAGGUUUUCACUUGCUUCCUCGCCAUGCCACUCAAUCUAGCACAUGUGUCAAUAGUCCUCAACUAGUAGCACUAGAUAAUUGCAUUAGCAAAAGAAUUCAUCUUGUACCACUAUCUAUUCAAAACCGACCAUUCACUUCUCUACACACCUUAGGCCAGUGCAAAUACCUUUGCCUUCAGACUUUAGCUUCCUAUUCUAUCCAUCUCCAUCAUCUUGUAUCACUUGUUGAGCACUUCACUUCCAUGGUCCUUGCCAUCUCCUCUAUAGCUCCAUGUAUGUCUCAACUAGCUUGUGAAUUAAGCACCUAGUCAUCUCACAAGAAAAACAUUGGUUCACCUAAUGUUGUUACUCAAUUACCAAAACAAAUCAAGACUUUGACGUUGUAUUUUCUAUAAAUAAAUGUUGCUUAACUCUUACUAGUACUACUAUCCCCUCGAUCUCAAAUAGAACACAUGCACCUAUUUCAAAAUUCAAAAUUUGUUAUCUUUGACCAAUAAUUAAUAUGAUCAUAUAAAAAGUUUAUACUAUACAAGUAGGUUAAGUUAGAUUUGCCUAUAGAAACAGUGCUCAUCGGGCAUGAGUCAAGUGAAAAAAAUUAUGAUACAAGCAUAGUGGUUGAUAGAACUCUCGAUAUCUAGCAGUAUCAAAUUAGCAAUAAACUUUCAUAUGCAAUCGUGAUAAAAAUAGAAAAAAUAACAACCACCUCCUCUUUGUAUCAGUAACUGCAAUGUUGCCUUGCCAAAGAUUUACUGCUAUUAUAUACUUCCUCUGUUGAUCCAAAAAUUUAUUUACCUCCAUCGCACAAUGCCUACCUCUAGACUCUAGAUAAAAUACUUAUUGUUGAAUGCAUUCAUGAUCCAUCUCAAAUUUAAAGUCUAUAUUCUAUCAUAUUCAUUUGUCAUACGAUCAACCAUACUCUUGUUGUACUAUAGCUAUACCAUGCACAUAUUGUAUAUAUGUAUUUGCAACUAUCUUAUUUUACCCUAGGGUCCAUUUGGAUCCUUGAAAUUUAUUCUAAUAAUUAUAAUUUAGACAUAGAUUAAUUAAGCUAAUAUAGUAUGGAAUAUAAUUAAAAAUUUAUGUUAGGCAUACAAGGGAUGUACUUAUAUGUUACAUUUCUAUUGUAGAAAAAUAUGUUAAAGAAUGUGCUAUAAAUUGUAGAAUAGAAUUAUACAUAGUGAUCUAUAAAAUCCAUUUCCAUCUCUUAUCCUAUCAAAUUGAGAUAGUCUUAUUUGUGAGUAUGGAAGAGUUAUAGAAUCUUAAAUCUCAAGCCAAAUAACCUACUCCAUUAUGUAGAUUUUAAUUCCUCUAAAACGAGGGAUACAAACGGCCCCUAACAUUAAAUAACGAAGGGUGUUUUUUGGUUUCAGGCAUUUUUGUUUUUUAUUUAUAUUUUCAGGAAUUUCUCGGACAUUGACUAAUACGAAUCUAGCUAGCUGCAAUACCGAUAUGUGUUACAACUUGUGUGGUCUUGAGUCCUGUUUGAAUACUACACCUAGUUUUGAUUCUAUAAAUUGAAUCCAAUUGAAGUAAUAAGAUUCUAGGAAUUGCUUUCAGUGAGAAUUGAAUUAGCCAGAAUGUAAUUGAAAUCUAAUAUUCUUGCUUGGUUGUACACAUAUAUUAUUUCUAAAAUUUAAAUUACAAAAAUUGUUUGGAUAAAAAAAAUAAGAACCACCUUAUAUGUAUCUCUGGCCAUUUUGUCUCCCGCACAUCCCUUUGCUAGUGGAUGAUGGCACCUCAUACCAGUCGUUGAUGAGGCAAUGGUGAAGCUAGAGCAAAUUAGAGGGAGAGGCACUUACCUCGUGGGUGCAUGGAGUUGUGCUAUUGGGGAUGCACAUAUGGUGAAAAUAUAGGAAAUACUACUAUUUUUUACAAAAUUAGGGGGGGGGGUAGGGGGGAGGGGGUGCGUUUGCACCCCGUAGUGACUACCUAGCUUCGGUCGUAUGAUGAGGGCUAUGGCACCUUGGACAAGUUAUUUUGUCUCUCACGCUAUUUCUACGAGCACAUAUACACAGACACUAUCCGUACGAGUAUUUUUAAAGGAGGCACAUAUCGAGAAUCAUGUGGAUUUGUUUUUUUCUAGAGCUAUUGAACUGUUGAUCUUUUUUAAAGAAACAAAGAUCCCUAACACUAAGUUAUUAAUAUCCUUGUGACUAGGAUUAAUUCUUUUAUUAAAAAUUGAUCAAAUAUAUAGUACCAAAUUAUGAUAAUUAACUUUACAAUAUAUAUUUACGAGUAUAUAUAUUUUUUAGUUUACCAUGGGAGAGCAAUAAUCUAUCAAGGCUCUAUUUUAAUUUGAUACAAGACUUAGUAUGACAUUAUCAUAUUAUUGCUAACAUUAACUUAUAUUAUGAAUGCCAUAGUCAUCACAAAAUAAAUUAAAGUUUUAAAUAUUUUAUAAAUAUGUAGCAUCCAUGUUGUCAUGUUUCCACGAACAUUUAUAGCUUUUUUUCUUUGUCCAUUGUCCAUCCGCCGUUUUUUGCCUUUCUUUUGUUCUGGUUCCGUUUGUUGAGAUAUACGUAAUUUGUAAAGCUCUAAGAGAUAUAUACAAAUUAUAAUAUAGAUAUAAUUUAGUACACAUUUUUCAUGAUGCAAAUUCUGGGUCCACUUCCCCGGGCCCAUUAGACAGCCCACGGGCUCCGCACCCCCAAUUUGUGAGCACAGAAAAUUUCACUGCAAUUGCUAAAAAAGGGUAAAAGUCACUGCAAAACCGUUGCGGCGAACACUCGAGCACCCCCGACCCCCGUUGAGAUGGUCUCCAUGGCGGCCGCGGCGGCGGCCGUGGGCGUGCUGCUGCCGUUCCCGUUCUACUACGCGCUGUGGACCCACCCACAGCGUUGGGUGGACUUGUGCGGCCGCGGCGCCGACCCGUGCCGGCGGAUGGCGCAGGUCUCGCACGCCAUCAAGGCGCUUCAGCUCCUCGCGCUCGCCUCCGUCGCUUCAUUCUCCUGGCCCCCGCCGCUCUACUGCCCCGUCCUCCUCGCCGUCGGCCAGUACCUCAACUUCAAGUGAGUAACCGAUUCGUCCUUCUCCUGUUUGUUCUCCCAGUAGGCGAGGCACCGUACAUGAUCCAUCCCGCUUUAAGCAAUAGCUGCGGGAUUUUAGAAUCUCUGCAGCUUGCAACUGUUUCUGUUGGUGCAAAGGCGCAUUUGAUUAAGGAGCUCUUGUAUUGUUGUCUGCCUUGACUGAAUUACGAAUUGUAAGGACUACCUUGAAUGAAUUGAGCUACUGGCUAUCACAAUGAUACAUGGCCGAAGAUAUGUCUAAGCUCUCCUGCACCUAAAGAAAAAGAUUCAUGCCAAGCCUGACGUCUUCUGUUCACCUUAGGUGAAUAACACUAACUGUAUUCUAUUCAACGGUUCUCAGCUGUAGGAAUUGGAGGUUACUGGUUUAGAAUUUGAAGGAAUAACUUAUUACUUCAGUUGUAUCUUGUGCAAGGCUUAAUUUCUCUUUCCAUUUGGAGCCGCAGAAUUGCUUCAGGUGAUUAAACACUGGUAAAUGUGAUUUCGAAACUAGGUACAAAGAAAUGGCUAGGGAAGUGGAUUAGGCAAACAAUUAUCAUUUUCUCCCUUUUAACACUCAUGGGUUUAGGCACACUGGUAGAUUAAUGGUACACCAUCUCUUGGAAUUUUCCUUGUCUUUAUAUAACCAAUGGUUUGCAUCAUGGUGCUAUCUUCAUUGAUAGAUUUUUAUUCUAAAUUUGUCUCUGUUAAAUUGUUGAUAAACCACAAAAUGCUGAUAAGAUCAUGCUGUAGGCUUGGGACUCAACUCACUGUUGUAACAGAUGAUAACAAAUUUGCCUUUUUUUUAUCACAUAUGGAUAACCUAUGUGUUUCUUUUUUGAACAAGGAGGUUAAUGCCGACUAAUCUUAACACUGGUUACCCGUAGGUGUCGUCAUAGUGUAAGGUGUGAGUGGAGUUAGUGUGGUAUGCCGUAUGUGUAACAUUAUGUAAAUUCAUUGCUUGCUUAUUUCCAUUUGCGUCGAAAUCACUGCCUUGAAGUUUCAGUUGUGAUUGUGAUUUAGUAAAAUGGAAAAUGAUGGUAGUGCUGAGGUGAAUGAUUAGGAGAGAGGUGGAUAGUACCAAAGAUUGGUGCGCUCAAAAUGAGUAGAGUUAGAUGGCUGGCUAGUGGUUACAAAGGCGAAACAGAAUUCCAGCCAUAACACUAGUUGAAUAAUGAUAAACAAGAGUAGCAGAAAAUCUUGCUGUGUGAACUAGUACAAAGAAGAUCCUGAUCUCAUCAUAUGCAUUCCAUUUUAUCAAUAUCGUAAUACUUCUACACUACAUGGACAUAGUACUAUAACGAGGGAGUUCAUAGUCAUCGAAACUUUGAAGUUCGUUUGUCUUCCAGUAUGUAUAUGCUGCUAGAUUGGUCAUGAUAGUGUAUUGAUUCUCAAUCCAUGAUAUACCAUCAAGGUGUCUAUGACAUAUGGGGCCCCUCCAGAGUCACUGUCAAUGGUAUAUCAUUGGAUUUAAUGUUUAUUUGGUGGCAUGGGAGGAAUUAUUCCAUUGAAUUAUUAUUUGGCUAUCUUCUUUGAUAGGUCCUUGCCAUAAAACUUUGUCUCUGUUGAAUGUUGAAAUAUCUUAAAAAGGCUUUAUAAUUGUGCUACCGAGAUAGUGGACUGGUCAUACUGCAAGAUAAGGGGGUUCUUGAAUUCCUUAACAAUUGACAUAAAACUUGUAUUUGAAUGCAUAUGUAUAACCCAGUCACGUAUUUCUCCAAAGAAUUUAAUGCUCGCCAACCUAAACACUGGCACAACUCCUCAUGGAGUAAGUGUAAAUGAAUUUAGUGGGGUAUGUGUUACAUCAAGUGAAUCCAUCGAUUGGACCGGUGGUUUCUGUGCAUACGAAAAUCCAUGGCCUUAAGUUUAGUACAUUAAUUGUCAUCGUCACUGCACAUUUAGUAAAAUAAAAAAUAAUGUAUAGAACACAGAUGAAAUCACUACUCUUCUGUAUCUAACGCAUACUAGCUAGAUUAGAUCAGAGGUGGAUAGCACCAAAGAUCAGGCCUCCAGUAGAUGUCGUGCUGGCACUGCUGCAUGGGUCCGGCUGUUGUGGUCACAGAACUAGUAGAGUUAGAUGGCUGGCUAAGGGUAACAAAGGUGAAACAUAAUUUAAGUGGCACGAUUAGUUAGAAAAAUGAUAAACACAUGUAGCAGAAAAUCUUGUCGUUUGAACACAAGAAGAUCCUGGUCCAGUCAUACAAAUUAUAUUUUGUCAUAUUCCAUAAUACUUGUACACAGAAUGGGAAUUGUACUGUGAGUGUUGCCCUGCUUUCUUCUAUAGUAUUGUGAGGACGUGAGGGAGUUCAUAGUGCAUCCUGUCUCUAAGGAUUGUAUUCUGGUUAUACGUGCUGUUCACAGUAUCUGCCUAUGUCUGUUCUGCUAUUCUGAAAUUGGCCACCAUAUUGUGUUUCAUUAUCCGGUUACUUCGCACUCAUGUCUUGUUAGAGUUGCAACUAAAAUUUUACCUAGCUGUAAAGACCCUAAAUUGUAUUCAAUGUAAUGAAGGACGCACAGUUCAUUGCUUUUGUUCCUGAAACCUUUGUUUCUUUUCAGGGUGUACCAGCUGCUUGGUGAGUCUGGUACAUACUAUGGCGUUCGAUUUGGAAAGAUGAUCCCAUGGGUGACAGAGUUUCCCUUUGGCUAUAUCAAAGACCCACAGUAUGUUGGGAGUAUGCUUAGCCUCGUCGCACUUCUGUGCUGGGUUCCACUUCAGUAUGUGUUGUUGUGGUGCCUUGGUUAUGUUUUCAUGAUGUGGAUCGAACACAAGGAAGAUCCAGCCACUCGUGCCAAGGUCAUCUCCUAAUUGCUUGGUUAUGGCAGCUGAUAGUUUCCUACAGGUGCCCCAGUGACAUUGCAUAAAUAUUCUUUGAAAAAUUUGGUACCUGAUUGCUGAGAGGUGAUGCGCCCCCAAGUUUAAGACUGGAGUUUCUAUGUCCAAAAACCUUUACAAAGUACUGUGGCAACCUCUAUUCUUGAGUAAUUCAUGUCAAGCAGUAUGGUUAUAGACUUUAGUUGUAGCUUGUUGGGUAUGAGAUCAUCUUGUACCCUGGGCAACUAUGCAACCGGGAGCGCUUGGUUGUUGCUGGGCAAAUAUUUUGACCUGGAGUUAAAUGCUUGCGCAUGGACACGUGGUAUGAAUCCAUGAUCGGGACCCAUGAUUAUCCAAUGAGGAGGUUCUAGUCAGUAAGAAUUGUAACUUUAGUCGAAACUUAGUGAGGUUUCUAUAGACUGCAUAUGUUCUUGUCCGAUUCCGAGAAAUCUCACUACAUAUCUAUGGCUCAAUGCUCAAUCUCUAGCUGCUGAGACACAGUCUAAAGCACAACCACUUUUUGUCCCAUAAUAUAAGACGUGCUAUCUCACAUAUAUUAAUGCAAUAGUACUAGUGUUGUGAGAGAGAAUUAAAUGCUUUUUUGUUCUUUGAAACAGGGGUAGUAAUUAUAGGACAGAGGGAGUAAUAAAGUUGUAGUGCUUAAAAAGACUUAAAACUUUGUAGCUAAAACUUUUUUCAUUUAAGUUUAUUUAGUAGCCAAAUAUUUAAUAUAAGAUUAUGAAUAUUGAUAUAAAAAGAUGACAUCUUAUAUAUAGUCAGAAGUGGGUGUGUGCUGCAGUGGUUGAGAGGUGUUUUGAGCAGUCACUAGGUCGUCUUGGGUUCAAUUUCAUAAAUGAUAUUAAUAGAUGUCCAUCGGUUCAUAAAGGCAGUCAUGAGCCCGUCUUUAGAAAUGGCCGAUAAAUGGUGACCAUUUUCCAGAGGCAGACUCGUUGCUCACCUUUGUCAAUGGAAAAUACUUGCUAUUGUGUAGGUCUUGCAACCGUAUGACCAAUUGUGACGACAAGAUAAAACUGGUUCAUGCCUAACGGUUUGUAAUGUGGUUGUUGUAAACUCCCUUUCUCUAGCUAGAAGUGCCAUUUUACCAAAUUAUAUUUUUUGUCUAUAUUUUCUAUUAAAAUAAUAUUAUGUUAAAAAAAAUCCAGGCCUACAAUUCUGAAAUUGAUUAGGUUCAUGACUCAAGUUGCUCGCGGUCCUCUCAAUAGAUUACCAUAUCUAUCCAUAUUGGUGGUGCUACAUAUAUAUAGUACAACCCAUCGGAUGAGGCUGUCUUUUCAUUUGAUGUAUCUUGGUUUCCUUGGAGUUGGUAACUUGUUCUUGCCAUCUAGCAUAUCAAGAAUCUCUCGCAUGGUGGGCCGGUCCAUGGGAUUCUCUUGUGUGCACAAAAGUCCUAUCUCAAUGCAUCUUCGUAUCAUCUUUAGCUGAGUGUUUUCACACAAUGACGGAUCAAACAACUUCUCCAUUUGUCGAGUUUUGUUCAUAAGAAAGUUCAUUCGUGAAGCUUGCUGCAGGUUCCAAGCCUGUGAACAAAACACAAUACAGAUGAUAAAGGGGGCAGUUUGCUAUAGGACAUGCAAAAUGAUGUCAUUUUUUUAUGUGGGACAAGAAAAAAACAGAAAGCAUUUUGCUUUUUUUUUUUGGGCGGGGGGGGGGGGGGGGGGGGGGGGGCUAUGAGGUUGUGUAAAUUUGAUGGCUGGCAAGUGAGAAUACUUAAUUUUUUGAACAUUUCUCUGGUGCAGGCUAAAUCCUGUCCAGUAGCAAAUUACGUUUUUUGGGGUGUCCCGCAGCAAACCGACAUCAUUUUGCAUGUCCUGUACCAUAGUUGGCCAUAAAAAGUGCAUUUUAGUACUUAUUACUCCGAUUGAUAGUGUAAAUCCUAUUAUUUAGUUUUGCUGUGUGAAAUAUACAGUACAUCUCUUGAGGAAAACAAAAGGGUCGUUCUCUAGUAUUUCCCUAGUCAGCUAAUGAUGUGGAUGUUUAGUGGUAGUUGCAGUGUCAUAAAAAUUUAAUUGGCGCAUUUAUUGCCCAUUCACUUAUUAUUAUUUUUCGUCACUCUUGUUCCUGCCAAUAAGAGCAUGUACAACCCAAAGACGGGUUCCGUCUCUAAACGUCUCGAAUCUAUCAUACAGACAGGUAUAAAGACAGAUCAUACAACCCACAGACGGAUGUCUGUCUCUAAGAUGUUUAAUGAUUUGCAUGUAGCUAGGAUCAAUUAUGAAUAUCAACUUGUAUACUAUUGUGUGGCUAUUUGAUAGAAGACAGGUUCAAGCAUAAAUAAGAUGAACAUAAUUAUAAUAUUUUAAAACCAUAUAAUAUAUAAUAUACAUUAUAUAUAAAGAUGAACAUAAUUAUAAUAUUUUAUAAAACAACUAAUAUGAUAUAUAUUAUAUAUAAGAUGAACAUAAUUACAAUAUUUUAAAACCACCAAUAUAUAAUUGCAAUGUACUGUCUAAUUUUCUUUGUUUCCGUAGCGUUGCUAUAUGUGUUCGAUUAGAUCAUUCUUGAGUUUCUUGUGUGUCCCCGAGCUUUGAUAGCGGAAUUCCUACGAAGCACCUCUGUGAAGCAUGGAUUAGGGUUGUCGCUUGUAUGUACUUUAGGUGGGAGCACUAUCGUCGCACUCGGAUUCUCAUUCAAAUCUAAAGCAACUCUAACUUAUUCCUUCUCAUCUUCCACUAUCAUAUUGUGAAGGAUAACACAAGUCUGCAUUAUGUUGAUAACGUCUGCCUGCUUCCACAAUUUUGCAGGUCGUCGAACAAUAUCAAAGCGUGACUGCAGUACACCAAAUGCGCACUCGAUAUCUUUCCUUGCCCCUUCUUGCUUCAAUGCAAAUAAUUUGUUUUCAGCCGACUGAGGGGCCGUUACUGUCUUCACAAAUACCGCCCAUUCAGGAUAUAUCUUAUCAGCAAGAUAGUAACUCAUAUCAUAUUGUGUCCCAUUUACAUAAUAUUGUACUAUCGGAGCUUCCCCUUUUAUAGCCUGAAUGAACAGUGGAGACUUGUUUAGGACGUUAAUGUCGUUCUGAGACCCGGCCGUACCAAAGAAAGCAUGCCAUAUACGAAGAUCAUGGGUUGCCACUGCUUCUAGAAUCAUAGUAGGAAUGCCUUUAUCACCACGAGUGAACAUGCCAGCCCAACCUUUCGGGCAAUUCUUCCAUGCCCAAUGCAUACAAUCGAUGCUACCUAACAUUCCAGGAAAACCACGAGCCUCGUUUUCUUGUAAGAUUUUCUCCAUUUCAUCACUUCUUGGAGGACGUAAAUACUCUUCACCAAAACAUUCAAUAACUCCUUCAGCAAAUUUUUCCAAAAUCUCCAAACAAGUGCUUGCAGCAAUUUUCAAUACUUCAUCAAGUUGAUCAGCCGAGGAGCCGUAAGCUAGCAUCCUAAUAGCGGCAGUACACUUUUGAAGUGGUGAAAGAGAAUCCCUACCGGUUGCAUCGAAUCUUUGGGUAAAAUAAGGAGACCACCCCCUAAGACUAUCGACGAUGCGUAGGAAUAAUGGCCUAGUCAUCCUAAAUCUUCUACGGAACAUCUCAUCGGUAUAGAUAGGAUUUGCAGAAAAAUAAUUAGCAACAAGAUCAUCGUGACCUUUUUCUCGAUUUCUUGGUAUGUACCUCCUUGGUCCACUCUGUCGACGGCGAGGUAUAGUUGAUGAUUCUCCAUCGAUGUCGGCCUUCAAUUCAUCUCGAAUCUCCCUUAUGAAUUCUUCUACGAUUUCAUCCUCAGCUAGAAAAUCUUCCACAGUUGAUCCAGCUAGAAAUUUCACUAACAAAUAGGAUAAAAUUUCACUAACAGAUAGGAGCAAAUCUAGAUCAAUUCACAGGAUCGGGUGAUUACCAAGAUGGAUCCCAAGCUGCUGAGCGCAUAAACGAAGGAGAAGCUGGAUCAACGUUGGCCGGAUCCCACCAAGCAGUAGAUGGUGAAGUGGGGAAUGGAAACCCAGUAACCCACUGUUCGAAGACGAUGGAGCCGUCACAGCGCCGGGGAAGGCACCUCCACCAGAUGUACCAAUGGAGAUAGGAGGCAUCGUUGUGCUGUUGCUGAGGGAACGGGAGAUGGGGUACCUCGGCGCCAUCGCUGUUGUUCCGCUUCCGCGACCUAGGGUUCGGCCCGCGACAUCCGCGCCCAACGACGAGCCUCCACCCUGACUGAGGUUGCAGGCCGCCGCCGCCGCCAUUGCCGCUGACGCAGUAGCCGGGGCACCCUUGCUCUUCUUGUUUGCAGAUGCUAGCGUGCUCUUCCUUGCUGAGGCACUCAACAUCGCAGCCGCCAAAGGUUGGAGCUCUCGAUUGAGGAAGAAAGCUGCAGCGCAGUGCCUGCUUCACCGGUGAAAUAAGAUGAGGUAGAGACGGAUUUGGCGGGACGGCUCCCUCCCGCGCGCGCCAAAACUUCACGCAUGCGUGCGAGCGCCCCGGAUCUACGCGCCGUCGAGACAAGGGGACGACUCCUACAACGCUGCUUGGCUGGUCUCCUCUGCAUCGGUGCACGGGACGACUCCGUCCCUUCGCGAGACGACGGAAGGCCCAUCUUCAGAGCUCAACGGGGGUUUUUCUAUAAAAAUACCGACGACCCGUUGUACAUGCCCUAAGGUACGUGAAUGAGAGAAUACUAACUGACGUGAUGUUUUUAUCUGAAAUAUUUUUGAAUCAGUCCAAUUUACGUCUCUUGAGUGAAGAAGUGCAAUUUUCACUCUCAAAACUCUUAUGUCUUAUUAAUACCCCACACAAUCAAUUUCUAUUGUAUUACUAAAUCAAAUUGGUUCUGUAACCUCCCACUCAUUUUUUUUGGUUGCUGAUAAUAGUAAUAGUAACUUACCCAUUCAAGUGAAGGUUGGCAACGAGCAGCUUCAGAUAUGCACAUACUGCUAAGGAUAUCAAGGAGGGUGACGCCAAAACCAUACACGUCUUUCUUCAUCAAGGACUCUCCUUUCGUCGAAGACUUAAGCCGACGGUUGCCAUAAUAUUCAGGAGCCGUAUACCGCCUGAAUUGGUGGACAUAUAUAAAAGCUUCCGUUAACAUAAGGAUAAGGAUAUGCACACAUGUCAUGGAAUAUGGAUGAAGGGUAACGGAAAACAGCUAAACUGUAAAAGUUCUGCUAUAUCGCAACAUGUUUCAAAUGACAUAUAUAACUGCGCAUGUUUUGUUUUUCCAAAUUAAAUAUGCGGUGCGCAUUUGAUCACCAGACUAUACCUAUGGCAGUGGGUGGAAUGACAUCUUACAUUGAGCCCACAAAGUGGUUGUCAGAUAAGUCAUUCUCUCCGAGAUCCAACUCUCUAGCUACUCCAAAAUCACCUAUCUUGGGAUUGAAAUCAGAAUCCAAGAGGAUGUUGCUUGGUUUUAAAUCCAAAUGCACAAUGUUCCGAUCAUGAAGGAUUUUAACGCCUUGGGCUAUCCCCUGAAUUAUGUGAAAUACAGAGGACCAAUGAAGUCUUGACCCUGCAGAACAUAUAUUAUACUAAUCAUUGCUAGUAAGCGAACUACAGUGACAGUCAGCAAAAUACGACAUAACUAAGAGACAAUCGGUCCCGAUAUCUGUGAAGUGUUAGUCUAGGCAAUAUAUUUCAGUGGAAACAUGUAUAUGUGUACCUAUACCAUUGAUAAUUCUGUCCAGGCUCGCAUUCGGCAUAUAUUCUCCAACCAUGAAAGAACUUGAUACUUGGGUUAUUCUAAAGCUUUCAUCUUCACUUCCUUCAUCUUCAUUUACUUCCUCGACGGCAAGGCAAUAUCCCAAAAAGUUGACAAAAUUUUUGUGACGAAGUUUUGAAACAAGCCUAAGUUCAUCAUGGACGCGCUCAUGCAGACGGUCUGCCGGAAUGCGAGAGGAAGGAUUAUAUAGCUUGAUAGCAACCAUCAACCCGUCAUCUAAUACACCCUGUAAAGUAUAUGUUUAGUGAUGAAUUCAUUACAGAUAUGCUAUCCAAUUGUAUGCAUGGGCUGAAAAGCGCUAACAAAGGACAACACGCUAUGUGCAAACUGGAAAAUAGGUAUGUGGAAAUAAUAUGAUUAUGAUCAUCGGAAAAAGCGUGAAAACAAAAUUCGCCAAACCGAGCACAUGCAGUGUGCCAGUGCAUGUAUACCUUGUAGACAAUCGAAUGUCCACCUCGUCCAAUGAUGUUUUCCUCUGAAAAGUGAUCGGUAGCAGUCUCUAAUUCAGACAAACUAAACUUUUUCAAGCCUGCUGUGGCUUCUAACCCAGAGAAUCUCAAAUGUCGUAUCCCUGCGGGUGGUGAAAUCAACGCAAGCCGAUUUUAUUCUUUUAUGUCUGGCCAUUUCGUUUGACUAAAAAAUCAUGACCGAAAGUAGACUCCGCAGAAUGACGGGUAGAUUCGGUGGAUAAUCUCAAGCGAACAGGCUUGAAAAGUUGAUCUUACUUGCUUCAAUUCCUAGGGAGGAUGGCCAUCGGGACCCUGACCUCGGUGGGUGUGCAGGCGGAGGAGCACCAGCACCCGGCUGCACUAGCAUGUUCAAGCUCAGGGUGAGCUGGGUAGUGGUGGCGAAGACACCCAGCACCAUUUGCCGCAGGAUGUCGUCCUGCACCCGGCGCAGCUGCCUGGCCAUGGCCCCAGCCGCGCAGACACGGUGCAUCGUGCUCCUCUUUUGGCAGCUGGUGACGAGCUUGAGGGCGCGGUCCAGGCUCCUCUCGAGCGCCGCCAUGGCGCCGUCCAUCGCCGGGUCGCUCGUCGCCGCCGCCGCCGCCGUCUCCAGGAGUUGCGACAGGAUGGAACUCACCCUGGUUGCGAGCUGUUCGAUGUCACGGCACUCCUCCUCGUUCCGGCGAACCGUUUGCACCGCCCUCCUGAUCGCUAGAGCCAUCUUCACAAUCUGUUUCGCCGUGCCAAUUGGGUCCGCCAUGCGUCCCUCCCGCCGUACGACCUGGCAAAGUAAAGAUCGAGGAACCUUCACUGUUCACAGCGAAUCCCUGCACCCCAAUUGAAAAAUGCAAAUUGAAAAUUAUGCUCGACGCGGUUUCACAUGACGUUGGUUGAUGUGAUGGGCUGAUGGCACUGGAACGCAAGUCAACUCUUCUGUUUUUCCUUUAUCAAGAUAUACAAAACUGAACAUAAUGAUGUAAUCCCUCAGUCUCUUCGGCCGUUCUCACUUCUUGAUCUCGAUAACUUAAACAUACACAACAUUAGCUAUGUACGGCAAUGUUAUUCUACACCCUAGGUAUAUUAUUCUACACCGCAAGUCAAAACUGAGUAGAAAAAAUACUGAGCAGUACUGAGCAACGUUCAGUAUCAUCCAGUCGUACACCCAGUACCAUGAAAUACUGAACAAUACUGAAACACAGGUACUGAACAAUACUGAAUUAUGUUCAGUAUAACAGUUUGAUGUAGAAUAGUAUUCUACACCUAGGGUGUAGAAUAUAUAUAUAUAUAUAUAUAUAUAUAUAUAUAUAUAUAUAUAAUAGUACAUAAUUUAUAUGAUUAAAUAGAUCUUUGAAUCUAUUUUAAUAAUAAAUUUAUUUGGAUAUACAAUGUUGCUAGUAUUUUUCUAUAAAUUUAGUUAAGCUUUUAAAAAAAUUAUCUAGACAACACUUAAAAGGGGGCAUACACCAAUUAUUUUGAAAUCUUUUUAGAAAAUGAAAACUAUCUAGCCUAUGCAUCAGGACAUAGCCAAUCGUCACAAGAUUUUCAGCGCAAACACUGACAAAUGAAAUAGGAAAAAGCACACUCAAAUAUAGAGAAUCAAAAGUAAAGUCUAUUAUUAUUGCCACCUACUCUUAGGCAACAACCUCCAACUCUUUGCUUGCCAAACUGAAUUAUUUUUCCUUUGUGCCCUCACGUUGCAGUGCCCAAAACCACAGUUCAUACCAGUAUGCUCCCUCAGUCUUUGAAAGCUUUAAUUACUAGAAUCUAUAUUAGUCAAACUUUUUUAAAUUUAACUAAUUUUAUAGAAAAAAAUAUCAAUAUCUAUAAUAUAAAAUGAGUAUCUUAUGAAAAUAUAUUCUAUGAUAAAUCUAAUGAUACUAAUUUGAUACUAUAAAUUUGAGCGUUUUUUAAGAAAUUUGAUUAAAGUUUAAAAAGUUUGACUUAAGACAACUCCAAGAAUUGAAGCUUUUAGGGACAGAGAGUACUAAAUUGCCCAAAUAAUAGCGGCAAUCCCCCACAAAAAUCAAACUUCUUUUUAUUCUCCCAAUAACCAUUAAAACCUAUAUCUAUAUAGUUAUAUAUGAAACAAAAAAAUUCGGAAUGCUGAGAGCACUGCAACCAGAGCCCAUGGCUGGCGCCUUUAGCAUAAGGCCAGUCUCGAUGCAUGUUUCAUGAGAGUGUCAUGCACAUUAAAUAGGAUGUCAUAUAAGCAAAAUUGCUGACUUAGCAGGGUUAUUAAAGAAGUUUCAUCAGAUGAGAGAGGAGUUUCAUCCCCAUAAAACUCAUAUGGCACGGUUACCUAGUUUAUAAUCUUGGUAACAGUGUCAUAAAACUAUGCAUUGAGACUGGCCUAAGCGAACAUCCCCCAUUGUAAUUUGUAAAUACUCAUCAUCUUUAAAAUGACUUGUGUCUAACCGAAAUAUCUAAAAUAAUUUCAUUGGAGCGCAGACAAUAGAUGUACAACAAUCUGUUACUUCUUUUGCGGAACUACUUCGAACCUUGUUUAGUUUCCACUCAAAAACAUCAUUAAAUAUAGAUUAAAAAUAACCAAUUAUACAGUUUGUAUAUAUUUUGCAAGACAAAUCUUUCAAGUCUAACUAGUCUAUAAUCAGAUAUUAAUUAUUAUAAUUAUAAAUGUGCUAUAAUACCCAAUAACUUUUUUUUCGCAAACUAAACUGUGGUCAGUGGAUUUCUGCCGACCGGACCCGGCGGCUACUGCCGUCAAGCGACCGGCUGUAAACCGACGACUACCAUCAGGCGCUCGGCACCCGGCCCGGCCCCGGCAACCGACAGAGCCAAGCGGAUCGCACAACGGCACAACCAAUGCACAUAAGCACGCAUUAGGGCCACUAGAGUUGUGGGGAAACAGAUAGGAAAAAGAUUAGUUAGGAUUAGGUAAUAAUAAUUUAGAAUUCAUAUAUGCAUCGGUCUCAGUAUAGUCUUCAUCAGCAGCAAACAUACAGAUUAGGCUCACUGUAAAGCCACAUGUAAAACCAACGCACAUUCAGGCUAACAGAUGAUAGGAGUACUAGAAAAGGAGGAACGGCCGACCGACGAACAAAGACUGUUGUACAACAGGGCGAAAUCCGGAUACUGCUGCUAGCUGUGGACUCUUCUGCAGCGACUGGAUACCAGAACUGUUGCAUGUAGCAACAACUGAUCCACACAUCGCUAGCGACGACGUCUCUUGUCGUAGUCAUCCUCUUCUUCAUCAGAGUCACCUUUCUCACGGAAUCUGGGAUUCUUCUCCUGUAAACGAAACAUAGAAUGUUUUAUGAAUAUCUCCGGUCCACAAAGAAAUAAUAAGGGACCAUGGCAUAACAAGAAACAUUGCUAAUACCGCUGGAUCAGAGUCUGGUGCUCUCUUGGACUCCUCUGGUGCCGACCGGUCGUCGUUCCGAUAGCGUUUCCGCUGGUAAUCUGGAGACUCAUAUCGUGUUAGUGAGCAAAAAUAAAACACACAAAAGAACAAUUUUGGCAUGUGUUACCUCCUCUGUCAUUCCUAUGAGAAUCUCCGUAUCCUCUCUUCCGCUCACCUCUCUCAUCUGCACAUUAAAAUAAGAUGGCAAAUUCAUGUCCCUAAUAUGGUCAGGUUAAAGCACAUCUAAAGAUAAGAAUAUAAUGGGAAAAAUCUACUUAAAACGACUGGCCAACUAAUGAUCAAAUGAUUGCAAAAUAUGCUGCAAAGAAUUGAUUCGUCACAAUCAUGGUCCAGACAGCAAGAAGUGAAACACCCAACUUAUGCAAGUUCACAACAUCACAAAAGUAAACUGAUUGCCACUAGGGUAAAAGAGAGAUUGGACUGUGUAAAGAAUGCUAUGCAGAGUAAGGAGUAACAGUCUAACAGAACUGGAAAAAGGGUAAAAUUGUUUCAUAUAUUCCAGCAAACAUUACAUGUUGAAUCAACCAAAGUUUAUACAAACCCCUAAGAACUCAAUCAAAGACAAAAAUCAUAGGCAUCACAAAACAAAUGCGAAUUCAUGGAAAUUCGUUCUCAAAAGAACAUAAUCCAAAUAACAUCAAACUUACAGGGAGGUGGUGCAUUCGGUUGAAAAGAUCCACCAUAGUCAACUAAUUCUCUUUGUGCUUCUAGUUCCCUCUGAACCAUCUUACCAUAACCACCUCUUCGUUUGAUUCAUUAAGGAAAAUUGAGAGCUCCUUAGAAAAGUGGUUGAACAAAGGGAACAUGCAAAGGUACACCAUAAUCAAAAUUGCACCAGUAAAAGACAACAGGCGCAGAGAAACAUGUAAUUUUAUAGCUCAAUUUAAGUUGACACCAGCAGGUGCAUAGCAUUUAUGGAAUCAUCUUAUGGUUUUCUAUGUUUUAUAGCACCAGAUCAGAAUGGAGUAAACUGUAAUAGAAUAGCAUCAAAGGAUAUCAGGAUCAUAAUCUGUACGGUACUCAUCUCUGACCUAUGCAAGGAACAAGCAAUAUAUAAGCAUAAAGCAUGUAGAAACCCAUGUAUAUUUGUUAGAAUAAGAUCAAGGCACUACUUGUCCACCACUUCGUCCACGGCCCCAUUGCCUGCCUUCUUCAAAGCCCCAAUCGAAAUCAACACGGAUUGGACGAUCAUCAAGCAUCGUUCCACUAAUGUAUUUGACAGCAUCUUCAGCAUCCUCUCUAGAGUAGUACCUGGAAAGACAGGAUCAAAUUGCAUAGGCAUAAGGCCUUGUUUAGUUUGCAAUUUUUUUUGUUUUUGACUACUGUAGCAUUUCGUUUUUAUUUGACAAACAUUGUCCAAUCACAGAGUAACUAGGCUCAAAAGAUUCAUCUCACAAAUUACAGAUAAACUGUGCAGUUAGUUUUUAUUUUCGUCUAUAUUUAAUACUUCAUGCAUGCGACCAAAGAUUCGAUGUGAUGGGGAAUCUUGAAAAUUUUUGCGAACUAAACAAGGCCUAAGCAUGGCCAUUAAAACAACAGAUACUAACAGUCAAACCAGACUAAGUAGUAUUCUUGCAAUGCACAGAUAUGUGUGAACAGCAAAAUUCCUUUUUUUUUUCAAAAUUGACAGCCGAUGAAUGUGUAGCUUCUAUGAACCUAACAGAAUAGUGAGUUUAUUCAGAACAAGGCAGACUGACACACUGUACCCAACAAUACAGUUUGCAUCACUAAAUUCAAUAACCUAUGCCCCGGUUACAAAAGUAAAAAAAAAAAAAACCAUGAUUCUCAUCCUAUGAAUAUAGAAUGACACACAUGAACGACAUCAAACUAAACAUGGAAACAAAAACAUAGAAACUUUGCAAGCAGAGGGGGAAAAAGGCUAACCGCAUAGUUGUUAUCAGUUUAGCAAAACUUCAGCAUAAAUAACAUCAUAUUCCUCGUUGUAACCCUUGAUUUCCCACUUUACAAAUAAGGAAUCAAACAUAAUUGCAACAACCCAAUAAAUCCUAAGGAAAAUUUACACUCAGAUUGGAACGUGUAUAGCUAAAUAUCAGUGCCCAUGAACUCACAUCCCAGUCUUCUGGGGAAGGGGCUCACAAGCAAGCAUAGAAAACAGCUAUGGUACAAACUUAUACAUAUACAAAUUCUCAAAUGGCCACUGAAAUCACCAGUAUGGAACAUUAUAUGUUAUUAAAUCCCAGUUCCCAUAAAAAAUGAUAAAUUAAACGACCACACCCUAAUUAGAGAGUGCACAAGUCAACAGCGGCCAUAGCAGCACUUGAAGAUAAUUGUUUAGGGGCUGGGCGGCAAGAUAUAAACACAUAUACACUCAACAUCUAUAUGGUAAAAGUUGUGUUUUCUAAAGAACUUCCACGCACGGGGGGCUCCACCCCUGAACUAAAACAAAGUACAUGAAAUUAAGUAAUAAAAAAAUGAAAAGAUGGAUUGUUUUUCUUAUAUAUGACAUCGUUUCUACAAGAACCAAGCACCUGCUAUUUACCGCAACCCCGACCCCCCACCCCAGACCAGCACUCCAAUUUAUUGCAAUAUCCUAUGGAAUAUACACGCUGAGAUAGCACAGUUCUCUAUUCCUGUUCUAGGCAUGUCACAUGUUCCUGGCAGCAAUCAAAUUUCAUGAAGCAAUGUCCAGAUGCAACUAGCAGAUGAACAGCUCACACUACUACACUACUGAAGAACCAAAUCAAUACAUAAACAGGACUGGAAAGCCAUCUACUCAGCAUCCAAUUGCAUCAAACUACACUCCAACAGAACAAUUGGAGCAAUUUUCCCUAAAAAUUAAACUAGGGCGAGGGCUAUGUUCCUGUAAAUUGAAGGAAACUACAGCACCGAAUCCAAAAUCACCCAGCGCAAGAACAAACAGGAAAAGUAACGCGACGUAUCAAGGAAGGGGAAGAGGCCCGCACAGCACGAAGCAGAAACCGCAUGGGGUCUUGGAGUUCUUGUCGAGGCCCAUGAUGAUCUUCUUGAUCUCGCCGGCGCGGGAGAAGAGCUCGUAGGCUUGCUCCUCCGUGGUGUAGAAGGACAUGUUCCCAAUGUACAGCGUAGUCGACGCAAGCAGCGUCGCCUCAUACUCCUCCUGCGUCCCCUUGAAUCGACGGUCCCUGUACGCCGAAAGCUUGCUCGGGUCCUGGAGGCAGCAGGAGAAGCCGCGAAGAGCCGCGUCAGCAUGGCGGGGCGACGGGACCUGGAUGCUCGGGGAAUUAGGGUUUUUGAGAUCCGUACCUUGAAAAGGGACGCCAUUGAGGGCUGCGGCGGCGGCCGCGCGUGCUAGGUCGAGAACUCUGCGUUCAGCGGUUGAGAGUUGAGGGGGGUUUGGCUCGAGUGAAGAAGAGCCGGGCGUGGGGAAUUUUGGCGAUCUGCAAUUGGCGAAGGCCGAAGGGGACGAAACAAGGAGGGGGAACCGGGGACGGGGAGGUGUUAAAAAUAGGCAUAAAAAAUAUCAUUUUACCAAAACUAAAACAUUCUAAAACUUCCCUUAAAAAGGUUGCCAACAUAAUUCCCACCGCUCAGAUUUGUUCAGCUAAAACUUCAAAGAGAUAUUAUUUACGCCUGUUUGAUCUAGGAAGAAAAAGAUGUAAUUCUCACUUUAAAAAAAAUCAAACGAUGUGAAGUUUGACUAAUUAUAUAAAAUAUUAGCAUUUACCUAUAUGGAAGAUUUUUAAGUUUAGGGACCAAGAUGAUACAACCGAACAAGUUUAGGUACCUAAAUGGUCGUUUUGCGAGUUUAAGGACCGGGAUGACACAUCCAAAUAAGUUUAGAGACCGCUGAUGGACUUUACUUUAAAUUAAUUAUGAAAUAUAUUUUAUAUAGUAUACUUAGUUCAAGACAUAAAUGUUAAUAAUUUUAGUAUAAAUUUGAUUAAAGUUAAAGUAACAAAUCCUACAGUAACAUUCUUUUGCAGAUGGGGUGAUUAAUUCGCUACUAACAAUUACCUAAUUUGGAUUUUGAUCAAAUAGAUUUAAUUGAUAGUCUAAUUAAUUGCUAGCUAAAUACUAGCAACUAACAAUUAUUUCACUAGUCGGAUAAAACCAACUAAUAGUUAGCUGACUAAUAAAAGCUAUAAGCUAGCUAGCUAUUAGCAGCUAAUGAAUACAAACAUGGCCAUAAUUUAUUGGCUAGAACAAAUAUAUAGAUGUUCAUAGAAGCUUAUAAAGUGUCUUAAGAGUCACCCUAGACACAAAAUUAUGUCAAAAUUAACUUUUGAACCUACUAUUAUAUGUUCAUGCGAUCAAUUUGGUAUUUUUCAGUAAAUACAGAAAUCAAAAUUCCUCGAUUUUUAGAAGGAAUCGAUCGAUAGCUAUUUUCUAAAGAACCCAAUUUCCAUAGAACCAAAGUACUGAACUGUAACACUCUAAAAAUUAUAUACUUCUAAACAUAGGGUUGAUUUAUUGUAUUUUUGUGAGCAUUAGAAUAAAGAAAAUAAUAAUUUUUAUUAAAGUAAAAUCAACUAUAAGGACAAGUUACAUGUUUGAGCAUCCAUACUGCUGCAUUAUUUUGCUUGAGUGGUCGUUUCAAAUUCAAAAAAAAAGGUUUUCAUUUUUUUUGAAAUUUAUCUAAGCAAAGGUUUAAAAAUAAAAACAGAAAGGACCUUAUUUUCUCCCCCUCACUCUCUCUGGAAUUCGGCCCCAAAUCUCCUGCGGCCUGCUUUUCUUCUGUGGGCUGAAGCCCAGUUCCCUCUCUCCUUCUCCCCUCUUUCGCGUUGUACAGCAGGCCGGCCCGGUUAGGCCACGCGGGCGUCGUCGCCUUUGGUUCCGCUGACGGCCUCGUCUCACCCUCCCUCUCGCUGACGCCUCGAGCCCACUAGUCAGUCGCAUCUUCUACCUCUCGUUGUCGAGACGGACUCUGUCUAGGGCUACCAGCCGGUGGAUUCCUCACGUCUAGCGUGAACCGCACGCUGAGGGCUCCUAUAAGUAGUAGCCACAGCCUCGCCAACUCCCUAUUCCUAACCCUAGAGCAAGCCGCUGCCCUAGCCGAGACGCAGCAACCGCCGAGAUCGCCGUCGAGGUUGAACUUCUGCUCCGUCGUGCCUCCACCUCCGUGAACCCAUUGUCGAGCUUCGUAUCGACCUUGCGAAGUCACCGAGCUCUUUCUCUCUUUUUUGUGCUCUCUGUGCUCCGUUUAACCUCGCCGAACCUUGCAGGAACUCAGCCGUCCACCGUCAUCCAUUGUGAGCACACUUCGGCCGCUCCCCGACUUCGAUUUUGCCUUAGGUGAGAUCGCGAUAAGCUUCUUUACGUCCCUGUGCCCUUGGUUUCUUGAUUCGUGCUCUAAAUCGCUGGAUCGAGUAACUCCGGUCGUGCUCGUCCAUGGCGCCGCCAUGUUCUACCCCAACUCCGGCCGGCUGCCUCCUCGCAUGUUUCCCCGAUCUAAUCCUCACCCUCUAAACGAGAUCCAACGGCCAAGGUCGAAGGGUACCCCUUCGGCCGUGACUUUUAUAAAAGAGCCCCUCGGCUUUUUAGUUAUCGAACCCGCAGUUCAUGGCGUAUUCCCCGGACACGUUUUCCUUUUUCAAAAGUCUACUUUCUUUUUAUUCAGAUUUAAAUACGUUUUCUCAAAAUUACAGAUUUGCCACUAACCUUGUUUUGAUCAUAAAAUCUUCAUUUUGACUCCGAUUUGAACCACUCAAAUUGCGUUAGAUUUGGUUUUCCGUAAUCUAUAGAUUAGUACCAUUGUUAUACAUGUUUCCAACUUUUAAAAUUCGAGCUUAGAUUUAAUCUAUUACCUUACCGUAGGAAAUCUUGUUUGGAUCAUAACUUUUUCGUUAUAACCUCGAUUUUCAUGAUUCUCAUGUCUGUGUGAUCGUAGUGCAACGUAAAUUCAUUUUACAAACUUCUCAUAUUUAUUUACUAAUGUUGGUGUAUUGUUCUAAAUAUAGAUUUGUUUGCUUUGUAUGAUUGUCUCUGGAUGAUUGUUGUUGAUGUGAUGGUUGAAUAUAGACGGUGAGCAAUUCGUGCGUGAUCAAGAGUAUUUCUACGAAUAGGAUCAACAGGACCAGUUUGAUCAAGGCAAGUAUAGCAUGGGAUUAUCUUUGUUUUCCUAAUAACUAUAGUCACACACAAUUCAUAUUACAUGUGUCGUCUUGUUAAAGAUUUUCUAGUAUUGAUCUUAUAUCUUGUCACCUAUGGUUUUGCAUUGGGUAGCUUAUGCUAGUGCUUCACUAAACCAUGAUCUUGUAAUUUGAUUAAUGAAAUAUGCAAUAAACAUUAAAAGAUGAUUUUAAGCAACUUUGGUAAAGAGGGCUAGAGCAUUGCGCUAAUUUAUGGUGCUCUAUUUUCUCUCCAUAAGGACUUACCUGUAUGUGAUCAUCCAGGACAUACAGUACAACUAUGAGGGCUAUAUGGCUCUGCCUUUAGUUCAGUAUAAGGACCUUUUCUAGCUUGUUAGUGGUUAUCCUUUAUGGUGCAAUAGGGGCUUGCCGAAUCGGGUAUUGUGCGGCCUUUGUCCUUAUGUGUAUAGUCUGCACGUUAUUGUGCCAUUUGGAAGGGGGCUCUAUAUCUGUUUGCCAAUUAGAAAUCUAGCGGCCCUAACAUUGUUAGACGAAUCAUUGAAAGACUUUAUAGUGAACCCUACCGACCUUCCUUGGUAGUGGGUUAAGGGGCUGAUCACAUCAGGCCAAAAAGUAAAUCAUGACUCACAGUGAAAGUGUACAACCUCUGCAGAGUGUAAAACUGAUAUAUCAGUCGUGCUCACGAUCACGAGCAACCUUGGAACCCUUACAGAAUAAAUGAUCACUAAUGGCUAUUAUUAUUACUAUUAUUGUUAAUAUAUUGUUUAUGCAAUUCUUUAUUCACUUUAAUUACUUGAUCAUGAGUUUACUUCGGGAUAUGACAACUUGAUGCUACUCAUAUGCUAAAUUGUGCCAACUAAAAGCUACGUGUAGUUUAAACUCGUGUCUAGCCUAUUUGAGCCUCAUGAACCCCAUGUUAUGUUGCUGAGUACGAGAUGUACUUAUGCUUGCCUUUACGUUUUAUUUGGAUAAAAAUCCCAGAUGGAUACCAGAUUAUAAGUUUCAAGGAGUUUAGGCUUGUGAUCAACCAGUUAGUUAUCCCUGUGGAAUUGGAGCUUUCUGUAACAGAACCGACCAAAUUAUAAGAGAUUAAUCCUAAUAGUGACCAUUUGCAUAGUCAAACCAUCGAGCUUAAGCCCAUAUAAUCCCGGUAGUCCAUGAAAUCUCGAAGGAUUUCAAACCACAUAUCGUACAUACAGCCAAGAUCGUAAUAAGUUUAGCGGUCGCCAUCCACAAAUACAUCCAGAUUACAACAUUCAGAAAAUACAUCAGAGUUCUUAAAAAUUAUUACAAACCAAGUUCUCAAGUAGCGGAAGCUUCAUAGUUCGAAAUAACACACACAUACUUAGUCUGAUACAGUGCCAUUUUUUGGUCAUUCCCACAAAAGCAAAAGAAGAGACUGAGUGACCAUCGCCCUUGGUCUAGUCAUCACCCAUGGCUGGGUACAGACAGAGGAUGCAAUAACCAUAGUACAUUUGACCAUCUGCAAAACAACAUGGGAGUAGAACCCUGAGUACGAGAAUGUACUCAGCUAGACUUACCCGUCAUAAAUUAAAAUAAAGACUCUUCAAGGAUCAUGAAGGCUAUAUAGUGGGGCAGCUGACAACCUUUUUGCAAAACCGCAAGAUUCUAUUAACAUGCCCUACAUAAAUCUUCCUUCUUUUAAUUUGCUCAAGUUGACAGUAUCAUUACUUAUUAUCUAGGUUUGUACCUGCACUAUUACAAUCAAGUGUAGUAAUAUGAUGAUACCUCAUCAUAGUAUUCAUGAAACCAUUUAUCUUUAUAAUCCAAGUGUUCCGUGUCCUUACUACGAGGACGAAGCUCAUGUCAAGUGCUCACUAUCCAGGAGCGAUGGCGAUUCGAAUCGAUUUCUAACCAGCUGGCGAGUUUAUUCCCCACACAAACCACACUCACUGAUCAAGUGAGCUACAGAUCACCGUAUUGCACUAUCCAGGACCAAUUCGCGGGUUCGACAGGCACCGCCCGUACCCGAGGACCGUUCCGGCGACCGAGGUAUCCAAGGUAUACCAAGGUUGUGCGCCGCGCCCUCGUCGUUCCCCUCAACCAUCACCAAUACAGCGCGUACAUCGGGCCGAUUUCCGGCCCGGAUAGUGCUCAGGCUUCGCGGUCGGAACGACUUAUCCUUCCAGCUAAAUGUGGGACAUGCGUUCAACAUGACAAGAGGGCCGUCAACGAUCGGUCCUUAAUCGACACAGGCAGGGGCACUAUAGUCAACCCACUAUAAGACCCUGCCCGGUCUCAAAUUUCGUUCCACACUUGGUUAUUCUUUUCCCAAAGCAAUCACUGCUUAAUCAAGCAGGUAUCCACCUAUAUCUCGCAGGUGAUAGGAAAUCACCCGACUUCUACCGGACUAAGCAAGCUAAGCAUAGACUCCGCACCUAUCUACAUAGGACAAGGUAGAUAAAUGAGGGGUGAUAUCAAGGAGUACCAAUGCAUCAACGGUAUCAACCAACUCCUAUCACUUAAAUGCAGUACAAUAGAACAAGCAUAAUAUAUCAUGUAAGUUAGCGAGAAUAGGGAGACUUAGAAUGCUCCGGGGCUUGCCUUUCUCAAACGUGCUGGGCCGGUGAUCCGGACACUCCUGUAGCUCUUCUCCGGGUUCCGGUGCUUCCGGAGGUUCCUGCUUCUGAAUCUCCUCUGGCUCCUCGGGUCCCACCUCGUUCUCCUGCGAGCCUGUGUGAUGUAUGUAUGCUCAUGAGUGGAGUGCGGGAUGUCCGAGUGGAUGCUUGUAUGAGAAGGUACCAAAUGAUCAUGACAUGAUGCAUAUGUGAUUUAAUUGGUCAUGCUCUUUACAAGGUAGUCAACAUCAUCCAAGAAUAGGCAAUUGAUUUUAAACAUCUAUUGCAUUCUCUCCUACAAAUUGUUUUCAAGUAUAAUCAGCAACCCACAAGCUGCUUCAAAGAUACACCAAACCCCUUC